Molecule: long non-coding RNA, 157754 nt
Filed under: Eucalyptus grandis
Lineage: Eukaryota; Viridiplantae; Streptophyta; Magnoliopsida; Myrtales; Myrtaceae
Description: long non-coding RNA (EGRA_LNC000805)
Source: RNAcentral
CUUCGUCCUUACCUUCCAUACCCAUGGGAGGAGGUAGUGAUCAAUACGAUGUGUUCUUGAGCUUUAGAGGCUCCGACACUCGCAAAGAAUUCACUGAUCACCUCUACCGCAGGCUGAUCAGUGGAGGGACUGUACCAAUUUCUGUUUUCAGGGACGAUAACAGCCUUGAAAUUGGCAAGGAUUUUAAUUCAGAGAUUCUCAAUGCCAUCACGUGAUCUAAGAUUUCGAUCCCCAUCAUCUCUGAAAAUUAUGCUUCGAGCAAAUGGUGCCUCCGUGAGCUAGUACGCAUCAUGGACUGCCAGAAGAGCAUGUCACACACAGUGUUGCCCAUUUUUUACAAAGUGCUCCCAUCGGAUGUGCGGUAUCUAAAUGGAAAUUUUGGGGAGGCCUUCCAUUCGCGUAAGAGGCGUUUUGAUAAGGAGGACAUUCAGGAAGGUCAACGAGCCCUUACAGAAGUGAGUAACUUGAAUGGAUGGGAAUCUGAGAAAUUUGCCAAUGGGUACUUACCUUUUGCCUGCACUUUUUUUUAUUCCCCUAAGUAUUGUUAUUUAGCGAAACCAAUGUCAUAUGGAUGAAUUGCUUCCACUACAAGCUUACAAAAAAUCCCAAAAUGUCCCAGUGAAUAACCAUAAUGGCCCACGGACUACAAAGAGAUUGAAGAUAACUAUGCCAUUUACAUGUGGAAGGAUUGUGACUUUUAUCCAUAUCAAGGAAUUGAAGAGUUGAAGUUGAGGUGCUUAAUAAAAAUUGGAGAUCGUGGCGAGUUUAGGAUGCAUGAUCAAUUGAGAGAUCUUGGAAGGAGUAUCUUUUGCCAAGGACAACCACCUGAGAGAUGUCUGAAACUAUGGAUUGAAGAUGAAGACCUUUUGCAGAGAGGAGACCCAGAGGUAAUGUAGCUCUCUCUUAUAAUUUUAAAAAUUCAAUGUGAUUUUUUCUAAUCUUUUAUCUACUACGAGCAUAUACUCCUAUUCUCGAGGAAAAAAUCUACCUAUACAUCCAUUCAUGACCGUCGUAGAUGAAUUGUGAUAGUAAAUUGAUUAUAAGUGUCCCAAGGAUGAAAAGGUUACAUUAUUUAAUUCAAAUUGAUAUAUUUAAAUUAGAUCUAUCAAAAAUUUAAUUUACUAUCAAAUUAAGAUUCUUUAACUAUGAUUAUUAACUAAAAAUCUUGUUCACUAAAAGCAUCUAAUUUUUUAUCUAGUUGAAAAUAUUGAUAAUAUGAAAGACUACAAUAAUUAAUAAAGAUGAAGCAUAUACAUCAUAGAACAAAUAUGUGCCAAUCAUAAUAACUAAUAAUUAAGCAAAUUGGUAACAUUAAAGAAAAUUUUCACACUUAUGAUAGGUGCUUACUUUCUAUUACGGUCGAAUGUAUUGUGGUACUCCUAUGAUUUAGGAAAUCAAUGCAUGAUGCACUUUUUUUUUUUCCCAUUUUGAUUUUGAAGAUAUCCCUCCCUUUGCUUGUUAUAUCUAUCAUUUUUCAUUCUUCUCUCCUCUUAAUAGACAUGAUGGUAAAAAUAUCCUUAGGAUUUAUAUUGGGAAAACCUUAAAUAUGUUUUUAAGGUUGUAUCACGUUGACCUCGUUCAUCUCGUGGAUUAGACUAGGUGUUUGACAAUGAGUGGAUUUUCUUAUUUUCCUUUCUUUGCUUCUUUCAUUUCCGUUGUCUUUUCCUUCACUUUUCUUAAUAAACAUUUCUUUGCUCUCCAGGAUUUUUUAUAAUAUAUAUAUAUAUAUUUUUGGUCAAUGCCCUUUUGUGCCAAAAACCGCUUGACAAACUUGACAAUUUGGAGGAAAAGUCGUGCUUAUUUUUACAUCGAUACCUUUUUCUUUAUUUUUUUUAAUUAGAUUGUCAUGUUCAUGUCAUUUCAUAAGUUUAUAUUGUCCAUUAGGGAAGCCUAAUAGGUUCAUGACUGAUCAAUGGCGGGAAAUUAACCUUAGCAAGUCACUAAGAGAUGCUGGGCAGAGGAAAAAGCUUUAUAUUCUUGAUUUGAAGUGAAAUAGUUCGCUCUUGACAUUUUAAAGAGCACACUCUUUUGUUGAUUCAAUAACUAUUUAUUUAUUAUUAUUAUUAUUUUUUUUGGUGUUGGAUUCAAUUACUAUUUUUAACAUUAGCAAAAACAGCACUAUGGGAGCUCAAAGAAACGAAAAAGAAAGUCGAAUGUAUUGAACUAAGGUAAAUGUUGAAAGAUCUUAACUAGUUUCGGAAAACACUUAAGUGAUUGUCAGAUGUGAGGGACGUUAAUUCAAGUUGGAAAAUGAAAUAUUUAUGGGACUAAUUUCCAAUUAUCUUGAAUAUUUUCACUAUAAUAUCCUAUUUCUACAAUUUAGUUUGGUAAAAUAUCUAUUCAUCUUUUAUCUAUCUAAUAUGCAGUAGACUUAAUGUACGAUUGUAAAUCAUGAGAGACGACGUGAGAUGAUAAUUACGACAAGAUUUAGUGACUUUUCAUACAAACAGACUUAAGAGAGAUUAUAUCCGCUGCACGUUUUUUAGUAGUAAAUAUAUAAAGUUCAAAUAAUGACAAACGAGUCAAACCCUUAAACUGACGCCAACCAAAAAAAUAAAAAAGGGAAUUCUAUCUUUGGUUUCGUAGUGUUUGUGAAAGUUCAUAUUUCACAAACAAACUUGGGUUUUGGCGGUUUAGUUUAUUCUUAAUAUAUCAAAGAAACUAAUGAAAGAAAAUAUGCACUUUCAAGCUAUGUUGAUGGGUCGAUAAUUUUAGUUUUUUUGAUGUUUACUAUAUAUCUCAUGCCCUAUUGUAUCUUCCCUUCUAUAAAUGCACUCGGCCAAUAAAUAGCCUUCCAAAAAAAAAAAUUAAAAAUAAAAGUAAGAAUUAGCUUUCAAUUUGGAGGAAAUACCUUUCUAACAAAAGUUCAUGCGAAAGAAAAAAGGAAGUCUAGGUGCAAAUCCUAAAGAACUUGACCAUAGAAUAAAUUGCAAAGAAAAAACAACUCUCUAGACAUGUCUCCUUGGUGCCUAACUGAGCGUGGCUUGGUGCCCGCUUUGAUCCAGAAUUGCACCGCUACGCUGUUCAAGCGACUGGCUGAGUCUUGCUGAGGCCCAGCCACUGACCAAUAGCUUUAAUUACUUGCAACCUCUGUCAUGGACAUCUCAGUCUUUUUCCUCUGAACGUCUGCACCACGUCAAUCUGCAAAGUCCAUCGCCACGGGUUCUUAUAUAUGCACAUUGAGUCGCGGCUUGAUUCAUUUGUGGUCAAGCUUGAAAGUUUAAGUGGAGUUUUGUGAGUUUGGAGUUAAUGCUCUUCCUUUUAAGAUUUUGAUACUUGAACGUUAUCAAAUGUAGGGAGCACGUAGUAGAAGCCUGAUGUCUUUAAGCGGGGAGAUUGCUAAGUGGAAACCCAAUUCCGAGCCCGUCAAUAUAUCUAAAUGAACCCAUAUUCACUCUUAAGCUUAAGUCAAUGGAUUAUGGGUCAAUUUGAUAUAUUAACUACACUACAUCAAAUCACUUAUCCGAUGUGAGACUUUUUUAAUACAACUCAUAUGUGCAUCCUAUCAAUCAGAUAUUGUUAUUGAUCAGCUAAAUUUUCACCCGGAAAGGGGGGGAUAAUAGAUAUUGUUGUUAAUGUCAAUCAAGAUCUUUGGGAUUUUGUCACCAUCUUCUACUAAUUAGAUUAUAUCUUUUAGCAACAAAGUUAAGCGGUACUUUUGACUUAAAAGAUGUAAAAAGAAACGGUGCCAGUCUCAGGAAACGGACAUACGGAUCUUCACUUUUUUGUUUUGGUAAAAUACACGAGUAGAUUUCUCCAGAAACUCUCGUCCGCCAGAGUUUGCCAAAAGAUAAUGCCCAGCGACAACAACCUAUUGUUCCAAAUGUUAGAAACCUUAAUCUAACAAUAACACCAAUAAAGGAAGUCAAUUAGUUCAUUUUAAGUUGGUCCAAAACCAACUCUUUUCCAAUUCCCAUCUAAAUCUAAAAUAUUAUUUAAAUACUGUCACCUUUUGAACAUACAUGACAAGAAAAGUUUCAUUUUUAAAAGCGAUGAUUAAACACUUGAUAGGAGAAGUUAACGAAUUGAGAGAAUCCGGUUCUUCCUUAGCUACCUAACAAAUUAUCCAUGGGAACUCUUUAACAUUUGCGUGUUUUAAAAGUUUCACUUAUUUCACCUUGGAUAAAAGUCAGAGUUCAUACAUUAGAAGAUUCGGAAAAAGCAGUAGGUAACACAUGUUUCGUCUUCAAUUUUUUAAAGCAAGAGGCAUUGUUCUUUUUGUUUAAAAUAUUGUUUCAAAAGAUUAUCAAUAUAUUAUAUGUGAGUUAAAAUAUCAACAUUUAUGCAUAGCUAGAGGGAAAAACAUGACAAAUUGUGUAAGUCAAUUGUGUAAGUCUAGGAUUUAGAAAACCAAAAAUGAAAAAUAAAAAGUCAAUUAAAACACUCGAUUGAUUUGAUAUGCAGGGGUUUCGUAUAGGUCUCCACACUUUAGCAUAUCGUUGGCUCCAUGGCUGUCCCUCUACAUGCACAAGUGAACUGUUUAAAACCUUACCUAUCUCAAGGUUCCUUCAAUUGCAUUGGAAGGCUUUAAGUGGAGACUUUAACGGAUUGUUUUCUGAAUUAAGAUGGCUUCAGUGGUUUUGUGUUGAACCCAAUAUGUCUUCUUCGGCAAUCAAUUUACAUCUGCCUAAAUUAGUGGUGCUGGACUUGUCACUAAACAAGCUCACAGAGGAUUGGAGCGGAUGGAGUUCAAUCAUGGUAAGAUGGGAAGAAAAACAUUCUCUGUGAUCUUUGCUUUAUAUUGUCUUGUCCAUUAAACUCCUUUUUUGACAGCUUAUUCUCCUUUGUACAGGAGGCAAAGGGACUAAAAGUUCUCAACCUUUCAUAUAGCGAGGAAUUAAAAGGUACUCCUAAUUUCUCGGAUUUCACAAAGUUGGAGAUUCUUAUCUUGAGGGAAUGUCAUAAACUGGAGAAAGUCCGCCCUUCUAUUGGCAAAGUCAAGAGCCUCGGUUCCUUGGACUUGAGACACUGUUACUUUAUUAGAGAGCUACCAAAGGAAGUGGGCGAAUUGCAAAACCUAAAAGAACUUCUUUUAGAUAACACCGCUAUUAGAGAGAUUCCUGUGUCAAUUGGUUCUCUGAAGAAGCUGGAGAAACUAAGUGCCUUGAAUUGUUGCUUGUUGGUUGGAAUCCCUCCCUCAAUUGGGAAACUUACUUCUCUCAAACACCUCGACCUAGGUGGGUGUUGGUUACUGAGAGAUAUCCCUAACUUAGAGAAUCUUUCUUCUCUCCAACAUCUUAACCUCUCUGAAUGUUGGUCAUUGGAAAAACUUCCUGACUCAUUUGAGAAUCUUUCUUCUCUAGAAUACCUUGACCUCUCUGAUUAUUGCGAUGAGCAUCUUCCUCAUCCAUGUUAUUACCUAAGUCGUUUAUCAUUGGGAGUAUUUACUAUUAUGCAGGGAAACAUUUUUCGCAGAGAAGUUGAUCUAAGCCGUAGCAAAUUUUGGAGAGAAUUCCCUAUCUCAAUUGGGAACUUAUAGAACUAACAAUAUAUGGACAUUAGUCAUUCUGCGAUUGAAGGGUUCCCCAAUGCUAUUGGAAGGCUUGAAAAACUACGGAGGCUAAUUUUUAAAUCCCGCAACGAUGAGAGAGUGGGAUUUCAAGAAAAAAUCCGUGAAAAAUUUCCUUUGCUUUUCAACAUCAUUCACAAAUUCCAAUCUGAACUGCCAAAUAGCAUGCAGAAACGUUCUCUUCUCAAUAUCCUUCGCGGAUCCUAUAAUGAGCUCCGAUUGUUGCUAGGGACUUUUUCCGGCUUAACAUAUAUUCAUGUCUAUGACCCGAUUCGCAGAUUGCCCCAGCUUUCUUGCCUAAAAGAACUAGAAGAACUUCAUCUUUAUGGAUGCAAUGAACUUGAGUACAUCCCGGAGCUUCCCCCAAGCCUCUUGAAACUUUGUGUUGACUCCUGUCCUAAGCUGAUAUUGCCUGAGUUUGACGAGUUCAAGUACUUGGAAGAGUUGUCAAUAAAACACUACAAUUCCAUUGAAAGAAUGGACCUCUCAAAAUUGAAUUGUCUGAAAGGAUUGGACAUUGAGAAUUGCAAUAAUCUAGUUGAAAUUCAGGGCCAAGGUAAAUUAGAGAUCUCGGAGACGAUAAAUAUAUGUAGGUGCAAGUCCAUUGGAAGGCUGAUCCUUCCAGAAUUACAGUGUUUGAGGCAAUUAAAGGUUCACUUUUGCGACAAUCUAGUCGAUAUAUAAGGUCUUGAUAAGGCAGUGUUGUUGGAGGAAUUAUAUAUUUCUUCUUGUGAGUCCAUUGAAAGAAUUUCUGACUUACCAAGCUUCGUGACCUUGAAAAAGUUGGAAAAGCUAGUUUUAUCUGGCUGCGGGUCCAUCAAGAAGCUGUUCCUUCCAGAAUUGGUGUGUUUGAAGCAAUUAAAGGUUGACUCUUGCUACAAUCUAGUCGAAAUACGAGGUCUUGAUAAGGCAGAGUUGUUGGAGGAAUUAGAUAUCUCUUUUUGUGAUUCCAUUGAAAGAUUACCUGACUUAUCAUGCUUCGUAACCCUAAAAAAGUUGAAUAUCAUGGGUUCUCACAAUCUACUUGAUGUUGAGACCCUCGAGAGAUUCUUGUCUUGCCGAAGCAUAUAUAUAGAGGGGUGCGAUUCCCUAGAAAAAUUACCGAACCUAUCAAAAUUUGAAAAUUUAGAGCAUUUUACAUUGAUAGGUUCCUUUGUUAGAGAGAUUCCCGGGCUUGAGGAAUCAGGAUCUCUGAAACAUUUAACAAUUAUGGAAUGCGAAGAAAUUGAGACUUUGCCAGAUUUGUCGGGAUGUAAGAAGUUACAUGCUCUAAAGGUGCUAUCCUGUGAGAAACUUACUCAGAUUCGGGGACUUGAAAAAUUGGAUUUAAGGUGUUUGGAAAUUUGUGAGUGUGACUCAUUGGACACGCAACCAAAAUUACCUGAAGCAGACGCGGGCUGUAGUUGCGAUGAAGCGUAUGGAGAUGUUAGUUGCAUUAUUUUGCUGUAAUAAUGAGGUGAUAAUUCUUAAGCUACAACAAUGAGACGAGUCAUGUUUCCUUAAUAGUAAGCAAGUACGCUAGCAUUUUUUUUUCUGGGAUACAUAACCUACUUGUGAUUACUAUCUUCUUUUAACAAGGUCUUCCUUGACAGGGUUUCGUACUUCCCUCAAUUCCAAGUCUUACGUGGGGUAGUUGGUCGUGGAAGCUGACAUGAUGCUUCGGCCCAGAUGGAAAUGUAGAUCUAAGUGCGGUUCUUCGUACAUUAGAAGGCAUCGCUCAUCUGGUAAGAUUCUUCAUCUCAUCCCUUAACAAUUAGCAUGAGCGAAUAGAGUAAUGAUUUUCUCAAGGAUGUGUCAUUUAAUAAUUUUUGCUCAACAUUAGGUAUCGAUUUGAUCUGGAUUUGCCUAAAUGUAUAUGUUAUUGAUUGCAUUAUGGCAAUGUAUUUUCGGCUAUACUUCCAUUGGCAACUUUUGUAGACAGAUUGGCAGCUUGUGAGGCAAUAAAUGAAAAUAUCGACAUAGGUAAACAAGAAUUACUAGUGAUUUACAGUUUACCUCUUGGUAAACCUAAGAUGGAAAUUUUCAUAAAGAGGCUGAUGAUUUUCUGCUACUUAAUAUUAUAAACUGCGCCCAGAUCUCUCUCUCUCUCUCUCGCAAACUAGCAUUUUCCUUAAAAAAAUCCUUGACCAUUUUGAACUCCUUUUGUGAGCAGUUUUAUGUGUCAAGUUUGACUAAUGGUAGAUAUCCAGUUUAGAACAAACACCUCUUGAUUUUUCGUGAUGAUUAGAAAGCCUGUCAAGUUUCUUAUUGUUCAUUCAAGUAUGAAUUCUGAAUAAGGAAGAGAAACUGAGCUAAAAUAAAAAUCAAGGUUCAAGUUUUUCUGGUGGGUGAUUUAGCAAAAUAUGAAAAUUAGUUUUGGCUAGCCUGUUUCAUAGAUAUUUGUAGAUAGGCUUUCCAUAACCAAUUGCCGAAGUGUUGGUUUGAAAGAUUAUCAAGCGAAGUAAGUUGGUGCUGCUUUUGUGACAGCUCUGGCUGGUCUAUUUAAUGGUCAAGGUUUACUUUUGUACUCCAAUUCAAAUGACCUUUUGCAUGAUUGGAACAAUUUUUUGCCUGUUGUCUAAAACUAGCUAGGCGUGGCAUUUAUGAUUUUGCUAAUUAGUUUGCAUCCUGUUUGAUUCUGUUGUUGUCGUAGAAUCAUUUCAUUGCAUGAUUGAUCUCGGUUUGGCUAACUUGGCUUAGGAAAUUCAAAUUCCAUACCAGAGACCGAUCAAAAUGAAGAAGAGAGAUUUUGCCAAGAAAUCAUCAACAGCAGCUGAGGGCAAUCUUUUGUGCCGACCUUGAAGAGGCUCACAGGCCAACUGGAGUGAUCUGAGGAAGUGUUUUAUGCCUGUGAAGAUUAAAGCACUUGAUCUGGUCUCAAAGGCACAUAACCGAGUGAUUGAGAACAAUUUUUUUUUUUUUUUUUCAAUCGAACCUGCUUUUGGUAUGCUUAUUAGGUUUUACUUAAUCAAGUAUGGAAGUGCUAAUUUUUCUGCAUGUUGCCCUGAAUCCCUGAUGCAGAGUUCUUUGAUGCAAUUGUGUUCUAAUGAUAUCAUUCCCGAACUCAAUUAGGCUCUGCUGAUAAAGGUAUGCACUGCCUGUCCUACCAUAACUAAUGAGAGAGUAACUUGUCUGCCUAUACUUAAUUGAAUGUGCUUCCUAUAUGCUUGUUAGGUUCUACCUCUCUGUUAAUCAACUACAUACCUACUGAUAUUCUGCGUGUUGACCUGACACAGGUGUCUGAUACUGUAUCGUUCUACUGAUAUCACUCUCAAACACAAUGAGGCUCUGCAAAGGUUGGUAUGCACUGCCAGAUAUACCAUAACCGUGAUAGAGUAACUUGUGCGCUUAUACUAUAUCAGCUGUGGAAUUUCACUGGAAAAUCCAUAAAAUAGGAUGCAUGAUGAUAAUAUCCUCUUUUCUGUCAGUUUAUAAUAUCCUUUGCAUGUUGUGAUAAAGUCUCUGAUACAACGAGCUUAGAUCUCAUGUUGCGGUGUAGAAUUUGUUAAGUUAAAUGUAGUCUCCUAGCAAACAAUCCCUUAUUGCUGAUUUUGCUUAUUAGAUAUUGCAAAAUAACCAAGUGACAAAUGCAUCUUUCUGUUUUGUAGUUUGGGCACUUCAACUUUUCAGAAUCGGUUCUGUUGCCAAGCACAAACAGGGAAGAUGGUGCUGUUUGCUUACUUCUCUUCUCCUAUGUUGUUUUCUUUUUCUUUGCUUGAUAUUGAAGUCUCCGUUGAGUGCUAUCCCAAUGCAAACUAAUCAGAGACGCGUGUAAUGUGUAGCAAAAACAAUGUCUCCAGGUUUUGGUGUUGACACAAGUAUUUCAUUGAAGAGGAAAUUAAUAGAUCACCAGAAUCUGGACCAGGUCAAAGUAAUCUUGUUUAUAUUAAUGGACUCUCAAGUCUUUGCUUACAACUUUCAGCUAAUUUUGGACGCUCCAUACAAAAUACAUCUAAAAAUAGAAAGAACUAACCAAGGAUCAAUGCAGUCACGCCAAUAUCUCUCGUUGAGAUGAUUGGAAAGUGUAACACAGUUUACUCUCAGCCAUCUCGUGUACCUCAUGCAUCAUCCUCUUUUCUUGACCAUUUUUAACUAGUGCUCUGGUGGAGUUUAGUCAUAAGUCUCAUAAGGUUGAAUUUGCUAAUGUUAGUAACUUUUGAUGAAUAUGAUAAGUGAACCUGAAUUUAUCUUACAAUAAACAACCUGAAACUAUCGUACAUUCUUUUCCUGAAUCUUUUACAAGGUUCAUAUGAAGCUACUAGAAUAAUUAAUUAUUUUCAAACUCUCAUGGGACAACAGCUAUUAGGAAAAGCCAAUGAUGCAGAAACUUUUGCAUGACUUGCCUCGAAGGACACAACCAAGACAAGGCAACAAAAUCUCACCAAGGAAUGAUAAAGGCUGAAAGAAUAAGAGGAAGAAGAAGAACUUUGCGCCAUCUUUUUUGUGAUCAGUCUGUACAACUUUCUGGUUGUGUUUCGUAAGGCUGUUUGAAAGUCUUUGCUCAUGAAAUUCUGAACCCCGUGUUCACUUUCUGGCAAAGAUCUUCAAUUGUUUUUAUAGAAGCCAUUGGUCAUCAUGGCCAAGGAAGAAGGAAAUGAAGCGGAAGAUGAAGAAGGUAUUAUUUGUGCAAAUUUUGUUUAUUUCCUAGUUAGUAAUGCCAUAUGCCUCAAUUGAGUUGACAACAAAAUGUGCUGAAAAUCUCAAAAAAUCGAAAGAGAAUGUAUUCCAAGUUCGAACACAACAGAAGGAUUGCAGCUACCCCUACUACCAGGACCUUAUGUGGACUCGGCUGCCGCCUCCUCUGUGGUAUAACUGGUAUGAUGAUUGGUUCAUGAAAUAAUUGAUAUAAUGCCAAAGUGCUUAUUUACAAGUCCCCUCUAUUCAUUCAGUAGUAUAAGCUAGCACGAGUUCAUUUUUUCACUCUCAUAUCAGCAUUAGCAUCACAGAGUUGGGUCUUCCAAUUCCCAAGGAAAUGAAUGUUGUUUUUUGGUUCCUCUUUUUGCCUUUGCAGGGUUUUGUACCGAUAAACUGUCGAUGCUCCUUGCGAUAACCUUCGAUGAUUGUGGUGUACAUGAUCACAUCUAGCGCCCAGCCUCUUUCUUCCAAAUUUGUCAGCAAUCGAACGGCUUUCCUAUUAUUGCCGGUUCUGCACAAUCCCCCACCAUGGCUCCGCAUGUGGCCAUAUCUCCCCCGAUUUAUCUGGCUAACAUUUCAUCUGCCAGGCUCAUGGCUUCGGCAAUUUUGUCCUCUCCGACAAGGCCAUUGAUCGAAGUGUUACAGCUCACGGAAGUGGGUUCAAGUGCAAGUUCGACCAUUUUACACAAAACUGAGAACCCGGGAUCGAAUCUUUUCAAUUGGCAGAGGUAAUUCAUCAAAAUGCUGCGAGUAAAAACAUUGGGAGUCGUUCCUUUCGAACCCAUCCGCUCGAUCAUGUCAAUGGUGACAUUCGAGCGAAACAGGGAGGUGAAGGCAAAUGGUUCAUCCGAAUCGUCCUCUUCAAGUAGAACAAAGCAUCGGCAGCUUCCACCAAUGCACCAUUUUUGCAUUUGUUCGCCAGAAAGGCCACAGUUCGGAUCAGUCGAUUGAAUCGCUCAUUCCAGCAGUGGAUGGGCAAGUGUGGGAGCGACGUGAAAUAAAAUGGUUCGAUUCAGAGAAGGGAUGAGAACUGAGGUUUAGCGAGAUCACCGGAUUCUCGAGCAAGACGGUGAAGAGCAGAAGUGCAAAUGGAUCGAUAGCAGAAGUGCAAAUGGAUCGAUUCAUUCCCAUCAGUUUCACCAUUUUUCUCCUCUUGAGUUCCGGGAAUCCACAGGUUGACAGUGUAUGGAGAGGAUGAUUGUUAGGCAGUUCAAUAACUGAAAACUUUAGAUGUCUGAUAACAUAGUUUUCAGUUCAAUCAUCGAAAAUUAUUUUGAUUGUCAAACUGAAUAUUUCUAGAAAUACUCUGAUCGAUUCUUUCUCAUCAGUUUCGCCAAUUUUGCAGUCUGAUAAAAUGUUUCUCCCGAACACGUGCUUGAAUCUGUAAGGCAGUUGAAGAGAGGUCUGUAUGCAUAAUCAGAAUGGAUCGAUAUCUCACACGAUGACGAUGAGUAACACCAGUGGAGUCAAAGUAUGGCCUGUCGAAAUAAACAUAUCUAGCCUUAUUAUAAUCACCCGAAAAAAUGAGAAAAUAAUACGAACGUUGCUACUCUUGUCAUUGUGUGCACAGAACGUAUUACAUUAUACCAAUUUAACGUUUUGUUUUUGGUCUAUUCGAUAUUAUUCCAUUCCAAUUUCUUCCCGAUACCUCCCAAGGAAAAUCCCGAAUUGGAUUCACAAAUUGACAGGUUAGUGUGAGCUUAUUCAUGCGGUUAUGCACUCUUUCAAUAGGAAUCCAUUUUUUUGAAAGAUCCUAGCCUAUUUUUUGAAAGAUCCUAGCCUUGUGGAGAAUGAGGCAGGCGUCCUGGCUCAUAUAGUGCAAAACGACGUCACCGGAAAAUUUUUUAUAUGUAUUUUUUGGCUGGAUGGUUUACAUGUGAAGUACGUAACUUCGUGAAAGAGCAUUAUAUUUCGUUCUUCUUUUCUCCGAUGGCGUAGGUUUGCUUAUUCAGUGGAUAAACUCUAAACAUGUAAAGACCGUGCUAAUGCACCUAGUUAAAGUAAGUUGAGGCGAGUAAGAGAUGGCUCAGACACCAAUUGGCUUCUAUAUUAUAUAUAUAUAUAUAUAUAUAUAUAUAAAAGCUAAUGGAUUAAGAAAAAUUGUACGCUGUAAAUCUGGACUGCGAAAUCUGUCUUUGAUAAUGUGGUUUUGCAAAAAUCGAUUCCAUAACGUGCGCUUAAUCCACAUGCGCAAGUUCCUUGUGAAUCACAAAACCAAUUGCAUGAGUAGUGUCAGGAAAAAAAAUCAUGAGUUAUGACAUUUGAAUGAACGAAAAUGAAAACAUUCUUUUUCCCCACCUUCAAAUUGUCCCCAUUUUCCCAGAGAGUAUAGUUUACAAUUCGUUUCUCAUCUUAAGGAUAACAAUCGUGCAUGAUAGCAAUCGUGCAUGAUAGCGCAAAACAGACGUAGAAUUUUAACCAAUAACUCCUUCUUUUAUGCUUAUCUUAUCAUCAUGUUGUUCAAUUGAGUAAAACACGCGACUAAUUAGCGAUUCCACAGUAUGAGGACAUGGAAAGACAAUAAUUUACAAUUUAACUAGACAUGAAACCGAACGUCACACGGAAAUAAAUUAUAAAAAGAGAAAACUAAUAAUUAUCAAUAAGGGAAUAAGUAUUGUAAAUGAUUCUUUUAUUCAUUUGCUCCCUAACAUAAAGGACCAUUUCAUGAAAGAACAUGAGUUGUCAAGUGUAAUUAAUGACAAUAAAAGGCAAGUCUUGAGGNNNNNNNNNNNNNNNNNNNNNNNNNNNNNNNNNNNNNNNNNNNNNNNNNNNNNNNNNNNNNNNNNNNNNNNNNNNNNNNNNNNNNNNNNNNNNNNNNNNNCUGGCAUAAUCUUCUACAUUGUCGGAAAAGAAUCUUACUCACAUCUGGAAGAUGCAUAUCAAUAGUUUUUUCGUUUGACUUAUAUAUAUAUAGAGUGCAUCUUCCAAUUUUUAUUUUUAUUUUUUUUGUACAUCCAUGUACUAGAGAGUCUGCAUUGGCUGAUAGAAGAAUCGCUGUGCAGUAAUUUCAAAUUAUUGGGUGAAGUUAUGAAUCCAACGGUCCAUCCUCGAGGAUGGUAUAGAAUGGGUCUUGGAUGAAGAUACCGAUCAACAUCCUUUUGCUCCUAUCCACGUAUGACGCAAGAGCAAUUUUAAUGUAUUUUUUAUUGGUUACUUUUUAAAAAAGUCAAAGACACGUGUAUGGUUCCUACUACAUCGAGCAUGUCUAGAUACGCAGAGAUUAGUGAAAAUGAUUAAUGUAUGUUGUUGGGUCUUGUUUGGUUUAAUUAAUAAGAAACUAAUAAGUGAAUUCUCGUUCCUUGAAAUUACAUUUUAUUAUUUUUCUUUUCUUAAUUAUUGGUUUAAUGUGGAAUUUCAUUUGAUCGGUUGGCGGGUAAUCGUUGUUGCCCACUAACUCAUGCUGCUACCACAAACGCACCACCACCCACCCACCCCCACAGCCGCCUCCUUGCCACCUCAAAUGCACACCACCACCGCGAGGAUUCCGUUAGCUCAUCUACAGCACCAACCGCCCACUGCCACCGGCCACCACCAAACCACCCAUUGCGCCCAUGCUCCACUACGAGCCACCCUGACGCCACCAUCAAAGCACCACAACCAUCACCAACAAUAUUCCAAUACAGCCGGCGUGCCGAAGCAAGAACCCCCUAAUGACUUCCCCGCCUUCGCUACUGAUUCCACCCCCUUCCACUCACCCACCGAGUCAGCACCUUCUUCCACCUCCCCGACGUCCUCCACUCCGCCGAGAUUCUCCGAUCAUGACCACUGCCGUCCACUGCUCCCACCCAGCACGACUUGGAGACGGUUGAUGGACUCUCAAGUCUAUGCUCUCAACUUUCAGCUAAUAUUAGACUCUUCAUAACAAACACAUCUAAAAUGUAGACAGAACUAAACUAAGGACCAAUGCAGCCGCGCCCAUAUCUCUUGUUGAGAUGAUUGGAUAGCAUAACACAGUUUAGUCUCGACCAUCUCAUGUAACACAUCCACCGUUCUCAUAUUCUGACCAUCUUUAACAAGUCUCACAAGGUUAAAUUUGCUAGUGUUCGUAACUUUUGAUGAAAUACCUGAAGUUAUCGUACAAUCUUUUCCUGAAUCUAUCACAAAGUACAUAUGUAGCUAGCAGGAUCAUUAAUUAAUUUCAAUAUCUCUCUUGACAACAGCUAAUUGGGAAAGCCAAUGAGCAUGAGACCCAAUUACAAGGUUUAUAUGUGAUGAUGCGGUUCAAAACUAUAAAGAGCGCACACACGCCUCCAGGUCGUCCAGAACUUCUGCAUGACUUGCCUCCAAGGACACAACCAAGAGAAGGCAACAAAAUCUCACCAAGCAAUAAUAAAAAACUGAAAGAGGAAGAAGAAGAAGAAGAAGUGUUCUGCGCCAUCAUUUUGUCACCAGUUUUUACAACUUUCUGGCCGUGUUUAAUAAAGUUGUUCGAAAGUCCUUGCUCCAUGUAACUUUACAGUGCAUUCUCACUUUCUGGCCAAACAGCACCUUUUACCAUAGGUCUUUAAUUAUCUUUAUAGACUCACAUUGGUGAUGACCACGGAAGAGGGAAAUAAAGCGGAAGAUGAAGAAGGUGGUGUUUGCGCCAGUUUCUUUAUUUCCUAGUUAGUAACGCCAUCUGCCAUUUGCCUGAAUUGAGUUGACAACAAAAUGCGCUGAAAAUCUCAGAAAAUGAAAGAGCAUGUUGUCAAAGUUCGAAUGUAACAAACGGAAUGAUGGGGAUUGUAGCUAAUGUUGCUACCGGGGACUUCUAAUGUGAACUGCAGUGUCGCCUCCUCUGUGGUAUGAUGACUUGUUCCCCAAAUAUCUGAUUAAUGCUGAAGUAUUUGAAGACACAGGGAGCUGUCAAUGUUGCUAAUUUCCAAGUCCACUUUAUUUAGUCAAUAGUAUAAGCUAGCACAAAGUUCAUUUUUCUUACUCUCAUAUCAGCAGCAUCAGAAAGUCUUCUCUUCCAAUUCCCAAGGAAAUGAAAUUUAUUGUUUUGUUUUCUUUCUUUUUUUACUUUGCAGGGCUUAUACCAAUAAAUUGUUGAAUCUCUUUUUGCUUUGUCAAAAUGUCACAGUUGGCAUUAAAACUGAAUUGCAUAUUAACCUUAUUAUUGAUAAGAAAAUUUGACAGUAGAUUCACUUAUAAAGUCUCAGCUAUAAAUGUCCAUCAGUUUUCCAACUCAGCAGAUUGAGAGGGAUGACAGAGUCCUCAUUGCUCAAAUUCUACCUAGAUGUUUGUUAUGGCACUGAAAUUGAGGCGUAGCUGGAGAUUAUUUCUUCUUUGCCAGAGUUGUCAUUGUGAGUCAACAAUAUAUCGAACUCUCUAGAUUCCAUGCCGAUUGGAUGAUACAAAUGUGUUGUCCCCCAUGGAGUAGUUUGGUGGCACUUCGCAGCAUGAUCAAGCGCUUUUCAACUCGGUGCUAUGCAAUGGAUGUCACUAAUUUGCAUAAUUCUUGAACGUAUAGUUCUGUUAGGAAAUAGUAAUAAGGGUAAAAUAGUCAUAAGAGGGUUACUAGGGUUACUAGGGUUAUAUAUAUAAAUCCUUUUUUGAUUAAGUUAAUACAAUACGUAGAAUACUCUCUCCUUCAACAUGGUAUCAGAGCAAGGUUAAAACUUCAAGAGAGUGAUCCCACCAUCAGCACAACCCAGCAGUGGAGGCUGUUGCUAGAUCUAGACCCUCCGCCGCCGCCGCCACAGCGUGCUUCUCUUCUAGAUAGCGGAGGAGAAAGAACACCUACAUCGUCGUUCGGUCAUCGUCCCUAGAUCCAGAUCUGUCUACUGGUUUUCUAAGAUUUGGACAGAACUGCUACCUUGCGUCAAUCGCCGAAGCCCAUCUAGCAAAAUCGGUUUGUGUUCAGUCUUCUUUCUUGAUGACGGGAUUGAAAACCGAUUGCGUGAUUUGGUCUUUGUUUGUCUUGCGAUCUAGAUUUUGUGUUUUUCAUAUAUCCUGAGGAUUUUGGAAGCCUUCGGUUCUGCAAGGGUUUCGUUCAAUUCUGCAAGGGUUUCACCCCGAAAAAAAAAAAAUCGAAAAAAAAAAAACCGACCCGAACUGAGGGCAUCAUAAGUUGUUUUCCAGUAUACUUAUAUGGAUUCUCAUUGAAGUAUAUUGCUUGUUGAAGUGCUAGUUGGUAUGAUUUAAUGGCCUCCUAGUGAAGUAUAUUGACUCAGUGGUGAAUCGAUUGAACCCUUAUUUCUGUUUGUUGUUCUGUGGCUAAUUGCACAACUGGAGUAAAGUGCUUGAUUAUUGUGUCAUUCUUAUUGGGUUCGGUCGAUUCUUGUGUUCAACCUGUCUGGCUAAUUGCAUUAUUGGAGUUCAGUAGAGUUAAUACUGAUGGCUUCUACAUCAUCUACUGGUUUAAUGCAUUUUCAAUUGACAUCUGUCAAGUUGGAUGGCACUCACUAUCCAUCAUGGUCUAAAGCUGUACAAGUUUAUCUUACUGCAACUUGACAGCAUGAUUAUCUUACAUCCACACUUCCCUCGGAUAAGAGUAAAGUAGAUGAUUGGAUUGCUGGAGAUGCAAUGAUCCGUACAUUGUUAUGGAAUAGUAUGGAUCCGAAGAUUAGCCCUCACUUCAUUCAAUGUAAUUCUGCUAAGGAAGUUUGGGAUAAAUGUGCUCUAUUUUAUUCUGGCCAAAAUAAUAUGACACGAGUGUGUGACACAUGGGAGGCUCUGUUUGAUCUUCAGCAUGGAGAUCAGUCUUUAUCUGAAUAUUAUGCUUGUUUCACUACACUUUGUAGACAGCUAGAUACUUAUCUUCCAGCUUCCAAUGAUCCAAAUGUAUUAGUCAAACGUCAGGAGGAUCUUCGAGUGAUACUAUUUCUUAAAGUACUAGGGCCUGAAUAUUCCUUCCUUCGCCAGCAGAUUACGUCUGAAAGCUCCUUUCCUACAGUUGAUGAGGUUUUCUCCCGAGCCUUAUGCUUGACACCUACUGACAAGAUCUCCACUACAACUUUAGAAACAAGUGCCAUGAUUUCUCAUGGCUCUAGUGGACGUGGAGCUCGUGGUCGUGGUUAUCGAGGUCAUGGACGUGGGCUUAUUCAAGGUGGAAGUCGUGGUGGUCGUGAUAGAAUUCUUGGUAGCCGUGGCACUUGAUAUUGUAACCAUUGUCGGAGGGCUGGACACACUGAAGUUUAUUGCUACACGCUUCAUCCAGAGCUUCGACCCACAGUUGCUACAUUUGCUGAAGUUGAAGAUUCCUCACCAGUUCAAUUCGAUCCUACUAAUGUGCAGGAUACAAAAGAUUCAGUUACAUUGACACGUGCAGAAUAUGAGGCUUGGAUUCGUUCCAAACAGGUGACAGGAACUUCAGCUUCCAUUGCCACUCUAGUACAUAACUUAAAAAGUAGUUCAUCCUGUUUACUUUCUACAGUGUCAAACUCNNNNNNNNNNNNNNNNNNNNNNNNNNNNNNNNNNNNNNNNNNNNNNNNNNNNNNNNNNNNNNNNNNNNNNNNNNNNNNNNNNNNNNNNNNNNNNNNNNNNUUUUUCCCGAAUGACUUGGUUGUUCCUAAUAAAAGAUCGUACUGAGAUUUUUGAUUGCUUCGUCAAUUCUAUUUUGAAGUGCUGAAUCAAUCUAAUACUUCUGUAAAAAAUCUCCGAUCCGAUAAUGCCAAAGAGUAUCUUGCCAUUGCCUCUGGUUUUCAACCUUUUCUUGCUUUCCAUGGCAUUAUUCAUCAAACUUCUUGUUCAUAUACACCACAACAAAAUGGUGUAGCUGAACGUAAAAAUCGUCAUCUUCUUGAUGUUGCUUGUUGUCUUAUGUUUCACAUGCAUCUUCCGAAAACAUUUUGGGGCCAUGCUGUUCUUACAGCUUGCUUCUUAAUUAAUCGGCUUCCAACUUUUGUUCUUUAGGGGGAGACACCCUUCUCUAUUUUACAUCCAAAUCGUCCUCCUUUUGCAUUACCUCUACGUGUCUUUGGCUAUGUUUGUUUCGUCCAUUCUCUAACUCCAGGUCUUGAUAAGUUGGCUCCUCGUGCUGAUAAAUGUAUCUUUGUUGGGUACUCUCGAACUCAGAAGGGCUAUAAAUGUUACAAUCCUAUUAGUCGCCGAGUGUUUGUAUCAGUAGAUGUGACAUUUUUUGAGGACCGGCCAUACUAUAGUACUCAAACAGUCUUUACUGUGUCUCCUGACAUUGACAAGUGUGUCUUACCAAUUCCUCCACCAAUCUCACCUCCUCCAGUAUCAUCAACAGGAUUUCAGUUUGCUAAUCAAACUUACCAUAGACGAGGAACAGCUCCCACUACAGAGGUUCAGCCAUCACUUGAUUCAUNNNNNNNNNNNNNNNNNNNNNNNNNNNNNNNNNNNNNNNNNNNNNNNNNNNNNNNNNNNNNNNNNNNNNNNNNNNNNNNNNNNNNNNNNNNNNNNNNNNNNNNNNNNNNNNNNNNNNNNNNNNNNNNNNNNNNNNNNNNNNNNNNNNNNNNNNNNNNNNNNNNNNNNNNNNNNNNNNNNNNNNNNNNNNNNNNNNNNNNNNNNNNNNNNNNNNNNNNNNNNNNNNNNNNNNNNNNNNNNNNNNNNNNNNNNNNNNNNNNNNNNNNNNNNNNNNNNNNNNNNNNNNNNNNNNNNNNNNNNNNNNNNNNNNNNNNNNNNNNNNNNNNNNNNNNNNNNNNNNNNNNNNNNNNNNNNNNNNNNNNNNNNNNNNNNNNNNNNNNNNNNNNNNNNNNNNNNNNNNNNNNNNNNNNNNNNNNNNNNNNNNNNNNNNNNNNNNNNNNNNNNNNNNNNNNNNNNNNNNNNNNNNNNNNNNNNNNNNNNNNNNNNNNNNNNNNNNNNNNNNNNNNNNNNNNNNUUUCUCUAGCAGCACAUUUUGGAUGGUUUCUUCAUCAAUUACACAUCAAAAAUGCAUUCCUACAUGGUGAUUUGGCUGAAGAGGUGUAUAUGGAGCAACCACCUGGAUUUGUUGCUCAGGGGGAGAAUCUGGUAUGUCAUUUACAUAAGGCAUUGUAUGGACUCAAGCAAUCUCCUCGUGCUUAGUUUGGUAAGUUUAGUGAUGUGGUUAUCAAGUUUGGAUUAAAGCGUUGUUAAGUUAGACCAUUCAGUCUUCAGUUCUAUCUCCUCAGCUGGUUGUAUUCUUCUGGUGGUAUAUGUGGAUGAUAUUAUUAUUACUGGCAGUGAUUCAGAUGGUAUUCAACGACUCAAACAAUUUCUGCAUACACAAUUUAGUACUAAGGAUAUGGGACGUUUGCGGUAUUUCUUAGGUAUUGAGGUUGCCUACUUGCAUACAGGUAUAAAUUUAACUCAGAGAAAAUAUGUUCUUGACAUUCUUGAUGAGGUUGGACUUGUUGGGGAAAAAUCAGUUGAUACUCCUAUGGAACCUAAUGUGAAACUUGAUGCAGAAGAUGGAGAAUUAUUACACGACCCAUUGAAAUAUCGGAGAGUAGUUGGUAAGUUGAAUUAUCUUACCGUCACAAGACCUAAUAUAUCUUUUGCCGUUAGUGUUGUAAGCCAAUUCAUGGGUUCUCCUCGGACUACUCACUGGGAUGAUGUACUUCGAAUUAUCAAAUACUUGAAAGGAGCACCAGGUAAAGGACUAAUUUUCAAGAAUUGUGGCCACCUGAAUACCACAGGUUUUUCUGAUGCGGAUUGGGCUGGAUGUUCUACUAGUAGAAGAUCUACAUCGGGUUAUUGUGUAUUUCUUGGAGGUAAUUUAGUUGCCUGGAAGAGUAAGAAACAACAUGUGGUUUCUCGAUCAAGUGCAGAAGCGGAAUAUAGAGCAAUGGAACAUGUGACUAGUAAAUUGCUUUGGUUUAUUGGAGAAAUCUUUCCAGAAUAUUUUGAAGAUGACAAAACAUUUCUAUCAGUCUAAUCUGGAUAUUUGCAGACCUUCUGUUUAGAGUCUGAAGACUUUCAAAUCACCAGACUCAAGACUCAAGACUCAAGACUAUUCUCAUUGACAGUUUGUCUAAUCUAGUGAGGAAGGUAAUCCAAAGCCGAAGUAUUUGGUUGAGGAUUUAGUCCUAUCCUCUGGAGAAGAUAUCUUGGCUGGAUAAAUAUAACAGAUUCUUUUAUUCGUAAUCAAGAUCGUUUAAAGAUCCAAUGGUCGACGAAAUAUUCUUGGAAUGUUCUAUUCUUGGAAACCAAGAUCCUGAUUGUAUGGGCGAACAAGAUUGAUGGGCUAUCGUCAGGUUCCUUUAAUAGCUUGAAUGAUCUUCUUGAUUGAUUCCGUCCAACGGGUAGAUUGGAGGAAUUCCUUUGGUAAGUGCCAACGGGUAUGAUGGCAUAAAGGAGUAUAAAAGGGAAGACGUUCUAGUUGCUUAAAAACAUGAUCGAUAGAGAAAUUCCAGAGUCUGAAACACCUUGAUAUUUAGUCGAUACAUUUUGAGCGAAAUUGUAUACACAAAGAGUGUCUAUACUUAGUGAUACCUUGAGCGAGUGUGGUAGAUCACCUACACCAAGAAAUCAAGGAAGAUCAACGCUGUAACAUCUCUUUGUUCAUAGUGGAAUCCAGCCAAUAGGCUGUCAGUGCAGAAGAGUGGACGUAGGCUUGAAAUAAGCCGAACCACUAUAAACCGCAUGUUCAAUUCUCUCCUUCCUUCUCUCAAUCUUACUUUGAUUAUUGUUUGUCUCAAAUCUAUCAACUGUCUAGUAUUGUGCAAUUAUCGAGAAAAAUCUUUUAUAUACCUAUUCACCCCCCUUCUAGGUACUUAUACUAGCUAUAUCAAUUGGUAUUAGAGCUCGUGUACUUACUUUAUUUGAAGUGUUUUACUUCAGAGUAAAAGAUCCAUGGCUAGUAUGCUAGCACCAGGGCUAGUUGAAGGGCAAAGUAAUACCAGACCACCCUACUUUGAUGGAAAGGAUUACAACAUCUGGAAGAACAAGAUGAAAGCUUUCUUACGAUCAAAGGAUCCUCUGGAAUGGGACGUUGUAGAAAGAGGAAUUACUCCUACAGCUGCAUCAGUCUCUGAGAGAGGGAAAGAAACUGUUGAGACCAAUGGAAUGACUCAGGAAGAGAUAAUCAAGAGACAAGCACUCGAUACAAAAGUAAUUUACUCUUUAUAUUGUGCUUUGUCACCAACUGAAUAUAACAGAAUAUCUUCUUGUGUUACAGCAAAAGAAGUUUGGGACAGAUUACAUAUCACCUAUGAAGGAACAGAUCGAGUGAAGGAGACCGGAAUUAACAUUCUCCUUGGUCAAUAUGAAGCCUUCAAAAUGAAACCAGGAGAAUCUAUAACUGACAUGUUUAGCCGUUUUACGGAUAUUGUCAAUGGUCUUGAGAAUCAAGGACAAAAAAAUUUUGAUCCCAUGAAGGUAAACAAGCUACUGCGUGGACUCUCCAAGGAUUGGAAUCACAUAAAGACUUCAAUAAGAGAGACGCAAAGAAUUAUGCCAUUAUCUGUCGACGAGCUGAUUGGAACUCUUCAGUCUUAUGAAGUGGAACGAGUUAAUGAAGAUGAAGAUCCAAAAGGUAAGAAAUCUAUUGCAUUAAAAUCAAAUAAUGAUUCUGAUGAUACAGAUUCUGAAGAUGAUCUGGACGACGAGGAGCUUGCUCUUAUGAUAAGAAGAUUCAGAAAACUGAAUAGAAAAAGAAGGUUCAACUCAAAGAAACAAAGUUUUCAAAGACAGCAGACCAAGUCUGUUGAUGAUGAGGAACCAAACAAAGAUGUAGUUUGCUUCGAAUGUAAGAAAAAGGGACACAUCAGACCCAACUGUCCUCUUGUGAAGAAGAAGAGAGGAAAAGCUUAAAAGUUUCGAAAAGCACUCAAAGCCGAAACCUGGAGUGAUACAGAGUGUGAAGAAAGUGAUGAUGACUAUGCUAACCUAUGUCUGAUGGCACAAUUAGACUCAGACUUAGAUUCUGGAUCAGACUCAGACAGUGAAUUUAAGGCAAGUAAUUUCAAAAUUCCUAUCAAAAUUUCUAAAUACAUUGAUGAACUGUGUUUUAAUCUUAAGACUUCUCUCAAAAGAAUUUCCGAACUUAAAAAGGAAAACUCAGCUCUAAAACAAAAGGAAAACGUUUUAGAAAAAAGAGUUAAAAUUUUAGACUCAAAUGUUUUCACUCUUAAAGAAAAUGAAGAUAAUCUUUUGAAAGAAAAUGCUCUUUUAAAAACUGACUUAUCAAAAUUUUCAAAGAAAUUUUCAAUAGGGUCCGAAAAACUUGAAAAAAUUCUUUCAGCUCAAAGACCUUACUUCAAUAAGUCCGGUCUAGGUAUGACAACAGAAACAAUUCCCUUGAUUGAUUUUCCUAAGGUAAAAAAAAAAAAAUUAAGAAAAGACCUUCGAGAGAGGCUUACAAAAAUCAUUUCAAGAAAGUUUUUGUAAAGUCUGUAGGUCGAAAUGCUCUCAGAUGUUCAAAGUGCAACAGUUCAAAUCACUUUGAAAAAGAGUGUCCUAUGGUUUGGAAACCUGUUAAGAAAGUAUGAGCUAAUACUGUUUAUCAUACUAACACCAAAGGACCCAAGAAAAUUUGGGUACCAAAGAAAGCUUGAGACUCUCUUUUGAAUGCAGGUCUCCGUCAAGAAAAAGGUAAAAUGGUAUCUUGACAGUGGAUGCUCAAGACACAUGACAGGAGACUCAAAUUGCUUCAUAAAGCUUGUUCAAGUAAAUGGUGGAAAAGUUUCAUUUGGAGGAAACAACAAAGGAAGUAUUGUGGGAUUUGGAACUGUGAAAAUUGGAAAUCUCACAAUAAGUAAUGUUUCCCUAGUAGAAGGACUGAAUUACAAUCUUCUCAGCAUUAGCCAAUUAUGUGAUACUGGUUUGAAGAUCUUCUUUCAAGAAAGAACAUGUUCUGGAAUCAGUAAAGACUCUACUCAGUCUUUCAUGGGUCGAAGACAUGGAAAUAUCUACCUCUUAAACGUGAAACCAAAUGAAUCGCAAUGCUUAAUCUCAAUUCAAGAUGAAGCAAGCCUAUGGCACAGAAAGCUUGGUCAUGUCAACAUAAAGCAAUUAGCCAAAAUCUCAUCAAAGCAGCUUGUUCGAGGUCUACCAAAAUUACCAUACCAAAAGUCCGAUCCAUGCACUCCAUGUAUUCUGGGAAAGCACGUAAGAAAUUCAUUUAAACCAAUAAAUCAUGUUUCUACUAAUCAUGUACUACAGUUGCUGCAUAUGGAUCUCUUCGGACCAACCAGAACCCAGAGCAUUGGAGGUAAGAAAUAUUGCCUAGUAAUUAUGGACGAUUACUCCCGCUUUACUUGGGUAUAUUUCCUUGCAAGUAAGUCCGAAUCCUUCUCGUAUUUUGAAACAUUUGCUAAAAAUGUUCAAAAUGAAAAAGGAUGUGUUAUCUCAAGCAUAAGAACAGAUCAUGGAGGUGAAUUUGAAAAUCAAGAUUUUACAAAAUUAUGUGAAGAAUCUGGCUUUAAGCAUGUGUUCUCCUCUCCAUAUACUCCUCAGCAAAAUGGAGUUGUGGAAAGAAAGAACAGAUCUCUUUAAGAAAUGGCUAGAACUCUUUUGACUGAAAGUAAGAUUUCUUCUCGAUUUUGGGCUGAAGCUGUUUCGACAGCGUGCUAUAUCAUUAAUAGAGCCUUCUUAAGACCUAUUCUAGAGAAAACCCCCUAUGAGUUAUUCAAAGGUAAGAAGCCUAUUGUUUCAUACUUUCAUGUGUUCGGUUGUAAAUGCUUUAUAUUGAAAAAUGCAAAAGAUCAAGUUGGUAAGUUUGAAGAAAGAUCAGAUGAAUGCAUCUUCCUUGGAUAUUCUACAUCAAGCAAAGCCCACAGAGUCUAUAAUAAGAAGAGCCAGUCUGUGGAGGAGUCAAUGAAUGUCAAAUUUCAAGACUCUACGCAAGAUGAAUCGAGCCUGACUCAUCAUGAAGAGUCUAAACCUGCUCCAGACCCUCCAAAGCUUACAACUCAAGAAGCAUCUCAGACUCUGGAGGAUCAGCAUCAAGCUGUUCGUGAAGAUUCAAAUAAAGAAAGAGAUCAUCAACCAGACAAAUCAACUAGUAACUGGAAGCAUAAAUCCAUUCAUCCCAAAGAUCUCAUUAUCGGCGAAAUUAAUGAAUGAAUUCGCACCAGAUCCAAAAGGCGUGAAGAGUCUAGUGUUGUGGCUCUCAUUUCUGAAAUUGAACGAAAAAGCAUAGAAGAAGCUUUAUCUGAUGAAAGCUGGAUUGAAGCUAUGCAAGAGGAGCUCAGACAGUUCAACAUUAAUGAUGUCUGGGAGUUGACAUCUAAACCAAAAGGCAAAACUGUUAUUGGAGCUAAAUGGGUGUUCAGGAACAAGAUGAAUGAGAAAGGAAAAGUCGUACGAAAUAAAGCAAGACUCGUGGUCAAGGGUUAUACGCAAGAAGAAGGAAUAGACUAUGAUGAGACUUAUGCACCAGUAGCGAGGUUAGAAGCUAUUCGACUAUUACUUGCGUUUGCUUGUUAUAAAAAUUUCAGGUUAUUCCAAAUGGACGUCAAAAGUGCCUUCCUAAAUGGAUUUAUCCAUGAGGAAGUUUACGUGGAACAACCUCCAGGGUUUGAAGACCCAAAGAAGCCAGACUCAGUCUUCAGACUGAAAAAGGCCUUGUAUGGUUUAAAGCAAGCACCUUGAGCUUGGUACGACAGACUAAGUAAGUUCCUAAUACAUAAAGGUUUUGUCAAAGGUAAAGUAGAUACUACUUUAUUUAUCAAAAAGGAAAACAAAAGCUUUUUACUUGUUCAAAUAUAUGUGGAUGAUAUUAUUUUUGGAUCCCCUAAUGAAAGUUUGUGCAAGAAAUUUUCAAAGUCUAUGCAGGAUGAGUUUGAAAUGAGUAUGAUGGGAGAGUUAACAUUCUUUCUCGGGCUCCAAGUGAAACAAUUGGAGGAAGGAACUUUCAUUUAUCAAGAAAAGUAUGCAAAUGAUCUUGUCAAAAUGUUUGGACUGGAAAAGUGCAAAAAGACCGACAUACCGAUGUCAUGUUCUUUGAAGAUAGACAAAGAUGAAGAAGGGAAGAAAGUUGAUCAAAAGCUGUACAGGAGCAUCAUUGGUUCACUUCUUUAUCUUACUGCUUCUAGACCUGACAUUUUGUUAAGUAUUUGCAUCUGUGCUAGGUUUCAAUAAGAUCCUAGAGAAUCUCAUCUUAGCGCCGCGAAACGUAUUAUUAAAUACGUUGCUUCAUCUUUAAGCAUUGGUCUUUGGUAUCCUAAGAAUGGAGACUUUGAUCUUCUGGGAUAUUCAGACGCAGAUCUGGCCGGCUGCAGAGUUGAUAGAAAGAGCACUUCGGGAACUUGCCAAUUGCUUGGAAGUAGGACAGUGUCUUAGUUUUCAAGGAAACAAAGCGCUGUGGCUCUCUCAACAACAGAAGUUGAGUAUGUAGCUCUUGGAAGUUGCUGUUCACAAAUUCUAUGGAUAAAACAACAGCUACAAGACUUCGGAAUUAGGUGUGACAACACCAGCGCAAUCAAUCUCACUAAAAAUCCAAUCCUUCACUCAAGAGCAAAGCAUGUAGAGAUUCGACAUCAUUUCAUUAGAGAUCAUGUUCAAAAUGGAGAAAUCUCGAUUCAAUUUGUUGAUUCAAAGAGCCAACUAGCAGAUAUUUUCACAAAGCCGUUGGAAAAGAAUCAAUUCGAUCAUAUCCGUUCCAGACUCAACAUUUUGAAGAUGGAGGAAGUUAAAGUCUAGAGACUCUCCAACCCUCAGACUCAGACAUUCAUGGCUAUAAACUGUAAGUUGUUCUAUUCAAUCUCGAAAAGGUACGAUCAUUAGUUCAGUUAAUUUAUAAUUUCCGUGAAAAACGGAAUCUUGCCUUUUCAAAAAGGAUAACUUAAAUUUGAAAUGGUAGUUUUCUUUAAAAAGGGGCAGUUAUCAUUUUUCAAAAUUGGACGACUGUUCACUUUCCUUUGUGCCGAUUGGUUUUUUUUUCCUUUUUAACUGAGUUAUAUAUAUACAGUUCUCCUCGCUUAAACUUUAAAACCCUAAAAAGGCAUUCUCCUCCCAAUCCUGUCUCUACUUCUUGUUCAUCUUCGAGAGAGUUAUCAUCUUUUCUUGGGAAAGCGAGUAAAGGAAUCUUUUAGCGACAAGGAAGGAUGUCUUCUUCGAGAAAGUCUUCAAGAAUCGCGAACAGGGGACCACAGAGAAUGAAGGAGGGACCUACCCACCUCGAUCUCACCGAGGAGGAAGAUUUAUCGGGACAGCAACAAAGCCCAUUUCACUCUCCACCACAUCACUCUUCAUCUACCCCACAAGGUGCGGGUCAACAAUCGAAGGAAGAAAUAAUCGAGGACGUGGACCCUGUAAGAGUUCAAAAACCCUCUUAUAUUUACAAGCUCUAUCGUGCGUUUAAAACCACUGGUACUCCGCUGAACUAUAUAGAUGAUUUCCUUAAAGAUAAGAAUUAUGGGAAUGAGUACAUCUUUUUGAGGAAAAUGGAGGAUUUGGGAAUUGCUCCCAAAGGAAAGGCUGAAGAAGCACUUGCGAACAUUCCAAGUGACCCUCGUGUAGGAGGAUUGAAUCCCACUGACGGGAAUGAUGAUGAUAAAAUGUUCAGUGAAUUUCAACCCAUAAUGGGUGUUGCUGCAAAGGUGAAGGGAAAAAGGAUGGAUUUGUUUAAAUCAAAGGAAUAGGAGAACCUGUUCUUUAGACUGUUGAAACGAGGGGUGAGAAACCCUAGAAGUGUUGAUUUCGAUUUCUUGGAUGCCAUUAAUGUGAACAUAAGGGAGAAGUUCAAUCUGCUUCAAUUUGAGCAGUUUUGCUCCAAUACCACAGACGGUUAUGUGUAAUUGACAGCAUACUUCUAUUCAAAUCUUAGCUUUUUAGAUGUGAAUAGAAUAUCAUUCAGUGUUAGAGACCAAGACCAUGUGGUAGAUGUGGACAUGUUGGAUGACAUAAUUGGAGUUGAACGAGGACGCUAUCAACCGAUCAAAGUUUCGAUUGCUCCUGCUACACUGGAACUUGUCAAAGACAGGGAUACAGAGGGAAGAAUUACCUACUCAAGAAUGAGUGCCAUCAACAUUUUGCUUCACAAAAUUGUGAUCAACUGUAUCAGACCAAAGUCUACAUCCAAGACUGACGUGUCUAACUCCGAGGCAAAAUUGAUGUACGCAAUCAAUUCAGCAAAGAAGUUCUCUCUCCCUCGCACCAUUCUCUUUCAUAUGUACAGAGCAAUGGUGAAGGACAAGGGGCAAUUGCCUUACCCAGGUCUUGUGACCAAGAUCUUCAGACACUUGAACAUUGAACCUCCACAUACUCUUUGUGUUCGACCAUGCGACAAAAUGGUGGUGGGUUUGAAAAUGCUGACAAAAAUGCGUCUGAAAGAGCUUAGCAAGGCAAUGGAGAAGUUCAAAGUGAAGACUCCAGUAUCUUCUGCAUCAAAGAGAAAAGGGAAGGAGCCAAUCGGUGCUCCAUCCAAAAAGAAAAGAUCUCUCAUCUUGGAGGAUGAAGAAGAAGAGGAAGAUCUCACUAUCUCUGCAUUGAUAAGGACUAGACGUUCUGUACCUGAAUCAACGGAACAUCAGAAGAAAGGGAAAGAAGCAAAGGAAAGAGAAUAGAGAAAAGAAGAGGAGCAGGCAAAGAACAGAGAAGCAGAGGAGCAACAAGAGAAAGAGAAAGAGAAAGAAGCUGAAGAAGAAGGAGAAGCAGAAAAAGAAAAGUCUACAGAUGCUGAAGAGCAUGACCAUCACUCUUCCCCAAUUGAGGUCUUAGAGACAGGGGGAGAUGGCGAGCAAGGAAGGAAUACACCACAUGCUGUCAACAGUGAAGGUGUAAGUCGCUCACCAGCAAAUCCAGAAGAUUUUCAGGCUUCUCAAAUGCUUGAGGAAGGACAUGAUAUGUCAACACCAAAUCUGCUCGAUUACACAGAAGUUCCAUCGUCUGCCUUCACUCCAUCCAAGAGAGCAAAUGCGAGCACACAGACGGACAAUACAGCAGAUUUUCGUCGUAUUCUUGAUGUUCUUCUGGAAAUGAAGGGUCAAAUCUAUGCUCUAGAAUGUGAACUUCAAGUCAUGAAGAAUGCUGGACAAGCAUCUUCUGUUACCCUGGCGGAUCAAAUGAAAGACCUCGCUCUUCAAAUUCAAGCCAAUGCCAAAAGAGAAGAGGUAGCUCAUCUACGGGAAGACUUGAAGAGGUUGGAAGGGAUCAUACAAUCGAUGGGAGAUUUCCAGAUUGUGCACAUUCCCAAGAAGACUUGACUCUUUUCUCACCUUUUUUAAUGAUGACAAAAAGGGGGAGAAUUGCAAUUUGAACGAAAUCUUUAAACUUUGACUUUAAAUUUCUUUUGUGUUUGAAUGUUUGUUUUUGAGUAUGACUUGGGUGUAAACUUGAAAUUGACUGACUUGGAUGUGGAUUUUGAUAUUUGACUAUUUGCAUCUAUAUCAAGUGUUGUUGUAUGGUAUUACUCAUGAAAGACUAACCAAUUUUCUGUGGAUGCAGAGUCUGGUUGUUUUAUUAAUCUUUAUGAGAUAGCCAUAUUGCUUGAGUAAUGUUUUGCAGGUCAAAGUUGUUCAAAUCUACAGGAAAGUUUUGUCACCAUCAAAAAGGGGGAGAUUGUUGGAGAAAUCUUUCUAGAAUAUUUUAAAGAUGACAAAACGUUUCUAUCAGUCUAGUCUGGAUAUUUGCAGACCUUUUGUUUAGAGUCUGAAGACUUUCAGAUCACCAGACUCAAGACUCAAGACUCAAGACUCAAGACUCAAGACUCAAGACUAUUCUCAUUGACAGUUUGUCUAAUCCAGUGACGAAGGUAAUCCAGAGCCGAAGUACUUGGUUGAGGAUUUAGUCCUAUCCUCUGGAGAAGAUAUCUUGGCUGGAUAAAUAUAACGGAUUCUUUUAUUCGUAAUCAAGAUCGUUUAAAGAUCCGAUGGUCGACGAAAUAUUCUUGGAAGGUUCUAUUCAUGGAAACCAAGAUCCUGAUUGUAUGGGCGAACAGGAUUGAUGGGCUAUCGUCAGGUUCCUUUAAUAGCUCGAAUGAUCUUCUUGAUUGAUUCCCGUCUAACGGGUAGAUUGGAGGAAUUCCUUUGGUAAGUGCCAACGGGUAUGAUGGCAUAAAAGAGUAUAAAAGGGAAGACGUUCUAGUUGCUUAAAAACAUGAUCGAUAGAGAAAUUCCAGAGUCUGAAGCACCUUGAUAUUUAGUCAAUACAUUUUGAGCGAAAUUGUAUACACAAAGAGUGUCUAUACUUAGUGAUACCUUGAGCUAGUGUGGUAGAUCACCUACACCAAGAAAUCAAGGAAGAUCAACGCUAUAACAUCUCUUUGUUCAUAGUGGAAUCCAGCCAAUAGGCUGUCAGUGCAGAAGAGUGGACGUAGGCUUGAAAUAAGCCGAACCACUAUAAACCGGGUGUUCAAUUCUCUCCUUCCUUCUCUCAAUCUUACUUUGAUUAUUGUUUGUCUCAAAUCUAUCAACUGUCUAGUAUUGUGCAAUUAUCGAGAAAAAUCUUUUAUAUACCUAUUCACCCCCCCUCUAGGUAUUUAUACUAGCUAUAUCAUGGUUGAGGAUGUUAUUGUCAGAAAUUGGGAUGUCAACAUCAAAACCUUCGAUAUUAUAUUGUGACAAUCAAUCAGCUAUUCAUAUUGCAAACAAUCCCGUCUUCCAUGAGCGAACCAAGCACAUUGAGGUUAAUUGUUACUUCAUAAUAGAAAAAGUUCAGAAAGAAGAGAUCACUCUUCAACAUACAAGAACGGAGGAUCAGCUUGCAGAUAUUUUUACCAAGUCUUUACGAGGAAAUAGAGUGAAUUUUUUAUGUAACAAGUUAGGAUUGUUUGAUAUUUACAUCCCAACUUGAGGGGGAGUGUUAGGAAAUAGUAAUAAGGGUAAAAUAGUCAUAAGAGGGUUACUAGGGUUACUCAUAUAUAUAUAUAUAUAUAUAUAUAUAUAUAUAUAUAUAUAUAUAUAUUCUUGUAAUCCUUUUUUGAUUAAGUUAAUACAAUACGUAGAAUAGUCUCUCCUUCAACAAGUUCCAUGGAAGGUUCUUCCAUGCUUUUCCUCAUAAAUGCUGAGGAAAAUCAAUGCCAUGCCUCGCAAAUACAUUGCCUCAGUCCCUUCUUUGUAUGAGCUAUUUAAUUGCCUGUUGUGGUUAUGGUUGAUUAGUUUUUGAAGCAGCUAUUCACAUUGAAGCAGUUCAUGGAGGUUAUAAUUGCUGUUUUCAUACGGUUAGGACUGCAGUAGACUCUCACUAUCCAUCUGGUCCCUGAUUUGCUGAAUCAUUAUUACUAUCUUCCAGCUGAUAAUCGGGCAUCCUAGCGAAUCGUCAGCUAAUCAUUCAUGCACAUGUUGGGAUUUUUGUGAGUUCAGCAAAAUAAUUUCAGACAGCACUAAUGCUUCGAGAAAUCUUGUUGAUGUUGGAGAGUUUCUCAAACCACUUGUUGGAGAUGUUAAAUUCAUUUCUCCAUGACAUGCUUGGCAUCAACAUGUAGAACUUAAUCUGCACUACAUAUAAUCUGGGACUGGUACAUAUUCUGUUUCUUGGAGUAUUAUAAGAAACGAGGGGAAGUAGAGUAGAAUGGAACCAUAUCAAAUGUUGAUUGAAAGAAAAAUCUUGCGCAAUUCCAGAUAAAUGUCAUUUGUCUAGAAUGCAGUUCCAACAUAUCAGCCAAAACCGGCAUUUCAUAUGUGCAAGUUGCCCCUAAAGAUGUCACCUCCAAGUCAUUGCCUAAUCAAUCCAAUGGUCUUCUACAGCCGGCAGCCUCUCUGUAAAAUUACUUUGCGUUUGGGGAUAGCAAGCCUGUGUCCCGCCUCUGGAGCCUCCUUCUGCAUUGCAUUUGAUCAGAUGAAGCCUGCAACCUCUUUCUGUUAAAUUCAUUAGAAAUCUGACCGCCUUUGCAGUGUUGCAUGGCCCCCCAGCCAUAAUUCCACUAUAUAUCCUUCGGCAAACAUUUCAUCGACUGAACUUAUGACAUGGCUUGUGCAAUUUAACCUUUUCCUUAAAGUCCAUCAAUUCAAGGGGCAAGCUCGCAACAUCUGGUUCUAGUCCAAGCUUGAAGACUAUAUUCAAAACAGAGAAGCCAAGAUGAAAUCUUUUCAAGUGGUAAGAGGCAAUUUAUCAGAGUCCUGAGAAUAUAAAUGUCUCAAGAUUAAGGGGGUGUGGGUCCUCUGCAAGUUAAAACAUAAUAAAAUCUACAGCAAGCUAUCAUGAAAAGACAGUUAAAGGAAAGAACCGUGGUCAAUCUAUUACUAGAAUAAAUAGCCAAAAAUUUUAAAUGGCAAAGCAGACGUUAGAAAAGCUCUCAUUAUACCUUGGCAGAUUCAUUUUUCAUUUUCUCAUACCAUCAGCAUCAUAAGGAUAUCAUAAAAUCAAUUCGGACCUUUCUUUUCCGGUCUUCCGAUUCCAACAAAAAUUAAGAGAAAUUAGGCAUGAGUGCCUUUUUAUUUUGUGUUAAAUUAGUGCCUUCAGUGUCUCAUCGCAUGUACCUUUUUAUCUUCUGCAAGUUGAAAAAUGCUAAAUCUAUAGCAAGCUUCUGGUGAAACACAGUUAAAGAUAUGAACCCUGAUCAAUCCACAAUGAAGAUUUAUAGCGUAAAGGUUCAAUGAGAAAACAGAUGUAAAGAAAAACUUUUGUUGUAGCUUGGUAGAGUUUUGAAGAUGGUGAUGAAGAACCUACAAGAGUUCCAUUGGGAGGAGACUCACAGAUCAACACAAUCUGGACCAUGUUUGUAUUGGUGUUCUCUCAGGUCCAUGCAUACAACUUUCAGCUAGUUUUAGGUCUUCUUGCCAAAUAUAGUCAAAACAGACAGAACUGAGGAUCAAUGCAACCGCUCCAAUCAUCUCUCAUUGAGAUAAGAACUCUCUACUAUAUACAGUCACUCUCAACCAUAUUGUGCAAUCCAUGCAUCGCCCUCAUUUUCUGACCAUUUUUAACCAGUGCUCGGGUGGAGAGUGCAGCUUCUCUUUCAUUUCUUGAAGCAGCUCAUAGGCAUCACUCAUUUGGUUGGCUUUACAUAGCCCUGCAAUUAUAGCACCGAAUAACAAAGCAUCAUGUUGCAAACCUUUCUUAGGUAAAGCAUUGGAGAGUUCUAUAGCAUCUUCAAGUUCCCCUGCGACAUAAGCCGCUAAUAAGGGUGUUAUAGCUGAUGAUAUGGACAUUUCCAUCUUUCACUUGUCGAUACAAAGCAAUUGCCUCAUGAAUCUGGUGACAUUUACAAAGACCACCUAACAUUAUUGAUUGUUGUUGAUUUAAAUGUUCGCGACUAGCUAGAAUUUUGUAAAACAAAUGGCGUGCAACCCGAGGCAUUUCAAUGAGGAAAAAGCUACCCCCUGAGAUAGUUAUAGGCGGCAACAUCAAGGAGUGAUCCAUUCUGUAACAUUCAUGAAUCAAUGUUAGAUUGGUUGUGAGUGAAAGCGAGCAGUUUUGUGCAAUCAUCCAAUGAAAUGUACUGGGUGCAUCAUCCAUUUGAUUUUAAUAGCAGUAACCACCAAGCAAUGAAUUAUAAGCAACUAGGUCGGGUGUAAAUCCUCCUCAGAUCAUCAGAUCAAAGAUGCACUUUGCCUCGGUAGUCCUGCCCACCUCACUCUGCAAAGCGCAUCCACAAUGAUCCUGAUGGUUCGAACAUCUGCCAUCGCUCCUCUUUGCAGCAUCUCAGUUAACGCAACUGAAGCCUCUUCCCAUUGGCCACCACAGCAUAGGCCUUGGAUGAAGGAGUUACAAGUGAAAACAUGUGGUCAGAUUCCAUUGCUAAGCAUCUUGUCCAACAAAACCUGUGCUUCUUUUCAUUAACCUAUGCGAGUUGAGCAAGAGAUGACAGUUGGGCAUCAGUAAUAGUAUUAUAGAACUUCAAAGCCUCUGUCCCGGUGCCUCCUAUGAUCGUGGUGUACAUGAUCACAUCUAGCUCCCAGCCUCUGUCUUCCAAAUUCUUCGGCAAUCGAACGGUUUUCCUAGCCUUGCUGGUUAUGCACAAUCUGUCACUAUGGCUCCACACGUGGUAAUAUCUACCUUGAUUCAUCUGACCAACAUUUCAUCCGCCAAGCUCGUGGCUCCGGCAAAUGGAUCGAGGGAGGGACAAAGGUGUGGACGGUGUCCAUCACUCUGCCACCUUCGCGGAGCGCGUACGGGAGGUGGGCCUUCAAACUGGCAUUAUAUUCUUUUUCGUUUUUCGCAUUAUAUCCUAGAAUUUUAUUUUUUAUCUUUUCGCAGUAUACUUUAGUGGCCAAAAGAAAUUCUUACCUUAUCUAUAAAUUUCAUCUACUUAAUAAUUUAUCCAUAAAUUAGAUUGAUAAUGUAGAAAAGAACUAGAUUUCUUGGAAAUUUCUCUUUUCAACUUAAAUAAAUGUUUAUGAAAGUAAUAUCUAACAAUAAAAAAAAUAGUGCCUUUGAUAUACAUGAAAAAUCUACAAUAAACAAAAUCUAGAUAUAUAUGAAAUUCUUAAUUAUAGGAAGGAGAUCUUACAUAUAUAUAUAUAUAUAUAUAUAUAUAGAAAGACUAAAAAAAAGGAAAGUAAACAAAUUUGGGACCACCAAUUUGAAUUGCAAUUGAAAACAGAGUUCAAUUAUGUCUUUUUAAUGAAAACGGAGUGGAUUUAGUCAUAUAGGGGAUAGAAGUAGCACCGCCCCAAUAAAUUGCAAAGAAAGAAAAAACAACUUAUUAGACGUGUCUCUCUUUAGAGCCUAACCAAGUGCAGUUGGGUGAAACUUCUCUGAUUGGGAAUCGCACUGCUACGCCAUUCAAGCAGCUGGUCGAGCCUUGCUGGAGCCUAGGGCAAAAAUCUCAGUCUGUUCUUUGGAACAUCUGCUCCAUGUGAAAACUCCAAAAUCGCGUCGGGACUAGAUCUAUUUGUGCUCGAGCUCCAGAUACUAAUCCAAAUAAAAAGUUCAAAAGGAGUUUUGGGUGCUUGGAGUUAAUGUGCUAGCUUUCAUUGAACACUGUCGAGGAUCGACUGAACGUUCGGAGGAAAAAAACAUGAAGUACUGUCGUUGAAGUCAACCAAAGCCAUACGGAUUUUUUUUCUCACCAUCUUCUACUAAUUAAAUUAUCAGUUUCAGAAUGGGAGUCAAACAGUAUUUGUUGACUUAUAAGAUGCAAAACGAUAUGGCGCCAAUAUUAUGCAAACAACCAUACGCAAAACAUCGAGGCGGGCACCAACUUAGAUUUUUUUGGGAAAAGUACCAAAAAAGUCCUAAACCUAUUGCAUUGGUACCAAUUCAGUUCUAAACUUUUCAAUUGAACCAAUUCAGUCCUAAACCUUUUAUUAUUGGUACCAAUGUAGUCCAUCCGGCCAAUUUUGGCCGGCCGACGCUGACGUGGACGUCGACCGGUGGCCGGAUGCCGACGUGGCAAUNNNNNNNNNNNNNNNNNNNNNNNNNNNNNNNNNNNNNNNNNNNNNNNNNNNNNNNNNNNNNNNNNNNNNNNNNNNNNNNNNNNNNNNNNNNNNNNNNNNNAGCGUCCGGCCGACGUCCACGUCAGCGUCGGCCGGCUAAAAUUGGCCGGAUGGACUGAAUUGGUACCAAUAAUAAAAGGUUUAUGACUGAAUUGGUUCAAUUGAAAAGUUUAUGACUGAAUUGGUACCAAUGCAAUAGGUUUAGGACUUUUUUGGUACUUUUCCCGAUUUUUUUAAGGCAAUGCAUAUUAUACAUUUUAUUUUCACGUCAAAAUUUAAAAGAAAAUUGUUUAAAUUUCAAAAGAUUAUAAAUUAAAUGGGAAUUUAGGUGUCCUACGGCAAGGGUAGAAAAUGGACAAAUUGCACGAGUGCAUAAUUUUUUUUUUUUCACAAGUGCAUAAUUUAAUAAAGAGAAAAAAAACGAAAAAAUAAAAUAAAAAGCCAAUCUAGACACUUAGUCGAUUGAUUUGACACACAGGGAACUGAAAGGAUCCAAGCAAUUCGUCUCGGCAAUGACUAUGACCAUUUUUUAGCACACAAAAAUGAACAGCUUAAAAAGUUACAGAGCCAAAGAUGACAAGUACCAAAUCUAGAGCAAAAUGGUGAAAACUCUUUAGUAUUCCAAAGCAAUACCAAUUCCAAUAAGGCACUAUUGAUAGAGAAAGAAGAAAACCAAAAGAAGCUUGGCAGCACGUGAGACAUCAUGUGGAUGAUAGCUAAAGCUUCAGUCAAGGUGCCACAAAGAUGUUGCUACGGAAUAUUCAGGCAGAAAAAUAUAUAUACACAAGCUGUCAUUUAUGGAUACAGGUAUAUCUUGACAAACAGCUCUUCAGAUGCAUGAUAACCAUAAAAUCUCCUUGCUCGUACGAGGCUGCAACCACGCACGUGUUGCCGUUUUACGCCAGCAUUGCCUUUGAGCUGCGGUAACUCACAAAACAAUCCUUUCAGAUACAAACUAGCAAGUGAAUCGGACAAUAAGUUAAAGCCAGGACUUAAUAUUUUCGAAGAAUGACAAAUUAUACCUUCAAGGCUUUCUCCAUGGCUAGAGAGACAGCAUUUGUAAAUGCAUCCCCUGUGCAAUUCAACAGUGACUAAUUAAUUCCAUGCUAGUAGCAGAACAUGAAUUCGAAAUAUAUAAAAGCACGAAUAAUUCAAAGAAAUUGAGAUAAAGUCUACAGCAACAUUAUAUUACGAGGACAUUGACAAAAACUGGUCAAGUAAAACCACAGCCAUGUUGCCAAAAGAACAUAUCACCCUGAAAACACACAAGCUACAUGCUAGAGGUAUUGUGAACUGAGAGAAACGUUGAUUAAUUUCUUCAAACCAAGAUAUGCACAAAGCAGCCUAUGCAUCUGUAACACGCACAAGUACCUUCAGACAUUGGAUUGAUAGGAAUAUCUGUACAUGGUACAUACAAAUAGGGUAAAGCCUACAAGAAAAAAAAAAAAACAUAAUUUAGAACCAGUACGAAAAAAAUGUACAAGAUAUUGGUGUCUCAUAAGCUAUGCAAUGGACAAGCAUCAUGUACUUUUCACAAUAGAUUGCUUGGAGCCACGUAAGCUCCUCAUUUGUUAUUUAGACAUUCAACUAGUGUCCAGCCAGUCUAAGAAAGUAGACUGUUGCCAAUAUGGUGCCUCUUGCGAGCAGAAAGUGGAAGAAACUUUCUGAAUCCUGAAUUUGCCUUUUAUCUCGUAGCAUAUACCUUAACUCAAGUCUGUAUACCCAUGCUGGUUUAAAUUCUUCAUCGGCAGAAAGGAAGUUACUUUCAUUGCUCCACAGCUCAAGGGGGGUAAAGCAAGUACUUGGAACAAUUAAAAAAACUACAAAUAAACAAGGAUUGCACUCACCUUAUGCACAUGUAAGCAAGUUUUUUGACCAGCAGGAGUUGAACCAUAUACUCUUAUUACAGGAACCUCAUUCACUUUUUCACCUUCAUCAAUCAAUCAUGAACAAGAUUAUGAACAUACAAAAGUAGAUAUUUCUAGCUAAAUUUCUAGCUACUGUAUAGUAAAUGUAACUGUUAUUUUUGCAGGUUAAAGGUCAAAUCCUCACACAGAAUUUUAAAGAUUGACAUGGGACCACGCCACAUGAAAACUGUAAGCGCACCUUCUUCUCUUUGCAUCAGCAACAAAAAAGCGAAUUUCAAAUAUGUCAUCAUCAAGACAACUACACACUCCAAACGAAAAGUAAUCAUCAGUCUACGGAAGAAGACGAUGAGUUAAACAAUGCCCACCAAAUAUUAAGAAAAAUAUUCAAUACUCUCUGGAUUUUCUAAGCAACCAAACCAAUCAUGUAAUAAAUUAUUAAGACACCAAUGUGCUGAUUCCAAGACUGUGCUACAAUUUUAUUCAAUCCUUGCGUAUAUCCAUGCCAGGCAAUUACUUAACAUCAAUCCAGCAGCCCCAACAAGAAGUCCGAAUAAGACAUCCACGGACAAACUGAUAAGUUCUUAACAGAACACUAAGCCAAGCAUAUUCCUUGCACUCAUAAGAAAGCAAACAAACUUUUGUCUGCAAUGCAGUAACAGAUUGAGUCCUACUCUAGCAAACAAAACUAACAGCUUCCAGAUUCAAACCACAGGCUUCUCUGGCAUUACUUACCACUAGAUUCCAUAACCAAAGAAGCGAACACAAAAAUUAUGCUUCAAAAGAUGAGAGCAGACUCUCAUUCUUUUUUUACCGAAGACGCGUUACGUACAUUUAUUACGAUAAAAACAUAGAAUAACUUCAAAAGCAUCGCUAUUCCUAGGAGAAGACAACAUCAAGACCCAUUCUAAUACCCCAAUUCAGCCACAGCUCCAGCAAGCAACAAGACCCAACAACAUUACGGUGUGGCAACUACCUAUUACCAUCACGGGCACAGUAAAAAAGCAGAGUCUUUCCAUCUGUUUUCGUGCUUCCCCUAAUGCCCAUAUUCCCAGUCUCAUUCUUUUUUACUAAAGACACGUUAGAUACAAAUUAUUACCAUGAAAACAUAGAAUAACUUCAAAAGCACCGCUGUUCCUAGGAGAAGACAACGUCGAGACCCAUUCUAAGACACCAAUUCAGCCACAGCUCCAUAAAACAACAAGACCCAACAACGUUCCCACGCCGCGACUAUACAUAACCGUUACGGACACAGUUAAAAAACGAGUCUUUUCCAUUCAUUUUCAUGUUUCCCCUACUGCCCAUAUAUCCCACCGUCCGAACUGCACGUUUAUUUUACUGCUGUCAAAUAUAAUGAUAGAUUCCGACCAAAAAAAAUUAAUGAUGGAUUCGGUCAAAAAAAUAUUUAAUGAUAGAUUAAAAAUUGGCUUUAAUCUAUCUUAUUAAUUGGUUUUAUAUACUAAGUAAAUGCUAACAACAAUGUUCAAUUAGAGAUAUUAGCUAUUGAUAACUCAGCAACCAAAUUACAAUUUUAUAACUUUCGAAUAUAUUAAAGAAAUAAAAGUAUUGGAAAUAUUAAAACUUUAAAAAAGUGCAAUCAAAUAAGAAAAUUUCUCAUAAAUGUACAAUUGAGUUUUAAAAUUUUUAAGAAAAUACAAUCAACUCUUAAAAUGGAUUAAUGACUUUCAUAUGAAUUAAGAUUUGUGUUGAAUUAAAACUAGUUCAAAACUUAAUUAAAGAAAAUUUGUGUAUCGCUCGAAUUAGGAUCUGUAACUUCAUAAAAGAAUUAAUGGCUUUAACGGUUGACAACUUGUACAACUAAAUAUCUAAAAAUUAUUAAAACAAACAAUAAUUUUGGAACAAUCAAACAAACCCCAGUAUUUUUUAUGAAAGUUUGGGUACAAACAUAUCACAAGCCAGAUACGUCGCCUAUCUUUUUUUCAAACUGUUACUAAACAAUAUUUCUGAACAUACCAAUACAGAACACCAGAACAAUCCUGGUCAGUGGUGAUGCUCCCGGAUUACAGACCUUCAAGAGGUUUGUUCAACAACAAUAGUCAUUGAAUUCAAAAGAUCUGUCCACCCAUUGCUACAUCUACAAGCCCAGCUGAAAGUUUAUCAACACUUGGACCAUUCGCUAAAACAUUAGUCGAUCCACACACAAAUUACUCCGUAAAUAUAUUAGUCAGUCCACGCAUAAAUAAAUCAUAUGCUCCAUUCCUUUGCAAAAGGCUAAAAAUAUAUGUAUGUUGAUAAAUUGUCAGAGAAUCAUACAAUAGCGCCCACCCUUUUCCUUUUGGACACUAUAUCUACUAUGAAAUGCAAAUUACAAAUGCAUUAUAGAAGGUUCUGUCCACAGAGUAAUGGGGAAACAAGCUAAUCGACGCUUGGAGUUGCCCCAAGAAUGCAAAGAAACAGAUGCGGCUUGGUGGAAUUGAAGAUUCACACACAUGGAGAAAUAGGUUCAAUUCCAGUCCCGUUCUUCAAGCUGCCAUCUCCAUUCAUUUCAUCUUAUUAAAGCAGCCAUAAUGUUGCCUAACCAUUUCAUUUGGGCCAAUCCCACCUGUCUCUCCCACCUAAGGUCUUCGGAGAAUUUCGAGAGUGCAGCCCUCGGAUCACCAUCAGAGAUAGACAAGUAGUACUGAGCAGUCCCAUCAUCAACCUGCAUGCUCCUCCUAAGCGAGUCGAGUAUUCUCUUCUUCCCUCGUUCAGAGGUUGUCCUCUUUAGCAAAGAACUCAUCUCUAUGUCCUGGACGCCUUCUGGGUAAAGCACGGCGACUUCCCUCUUUGCAUGGUUAUCUCGCUCUAUGUAGCAUGUGGAAUCGAUAAGAAUGUCAGGGUUGCUUAUGGGGAUUAACAAUCUCUCCCUCGAAUAUAUACCAUGAUCACUCAUCAUGCUGUUCAAGCGCUUUAUGUCCAUGACCUGACGGCACAAAAGAAAUUCUUGAAGCAUGUGACAUGCGGUAUAGACAGGCACAAAAAGGAUAUGCUAGACAGAAACAUUGAAGCAGGGAAGAAAAAAAUUUCAGGGAAGCCAUUCUAAAAGUAAGUCUCGGACAACAGUUAUCAAAACAUUGAACCCAGAGAGAUCUAGCUACAUGACAUCAUUAUUGACACUUCAGGGAUUAUUAUGACUACAACCAUGGAAAAUUUCCAUAUAAAGACAUAUUAAUUUCCUAGUUGCACAAACAAUUUAAGUUCUGCUCUCAGAAUUUGAGGUUCACGUUCAACCAUUUCGAUGAAUCAAUAUCACCACCACAGAAUCAUCAACUAUUUCUAUGUCAAUGUUAUUAAGUCGGAGGAACUAUCAUGAGGAUCACAAAGUGCAUUGCCAAUAUUUCACACUGAUUACUUGCAAAAUCUUAGCAUCAUUUAGCCUCGUGUGUUCUGGCAACUAAGAGAUUGUGAUUAUCUAUUAAGAUAAUCAAUAUAUAGUCGUCAAUCAAGCAUAUCUGUUUGCUAUUAAUAACCAGAGAUGCUUCUCGCUUGGCAAACUUAAGAAAACAUUACCACAUGAAGAGAUUUCAUAAUGUUUUACAUGAAGAGGACCCUAUGCUCCCUAAGACAUAACAUUUUGGUCCAAGCCCCAACCUUCCUCCAUACCUCCAGAAGAAACCACGACAGUGACUUCCAAGUGUAACCGUUUCCUUUUCCUUCUUUAUAUUUUAGGCUUCACUAAAAGAUGAAGUCACUCCAAAAUUACAAAAUUCGUAUGUCAAUUAGUCUGGCCUUCUCCAAUGGGAAUAAAUCUAUAAGAUUUGCAGUAGUAAAUUCCAUUGAGCAUUUAUCCUACCACCUAUUUGAUACAAUAUAGAGCCACAGUAUAAAAUUAUAACUAACCCCACUCAAUGGGAGAAAUCUGUCAUUAACGUGGAAGUCAUUCAACCGCCAGCCUGCACAAAGAAGCUAUGAACAUCAUCAAAUGAUACUUUAGCUAACUUUUAAAUGAAAUCGCAAUCCAUUUGUUCUCAGAAUCAGCUGAAAGUGAAUCUCUAUAAAAAAUGCAGCGCCAAAGCAUGUCAUUUGCAAAUGACUUUCCAUACAAUUUUCUUUCAUAAAUCUUAAAUUUUCCACGACCCAAACAAAGUCAUGGGAACCAUCGGUCAACGGAAUUUGAUACAAUUCCAUAAACUAAAUUAGUUGGAAUAAAACAGGCGAAGCAUGAUUUCCCGUGUAACGAGGGGACACAUGUCAGAAGGAGAUCGUUUUGGAACGGGGGGAUUGACGGAAUGCCGGGGGGUAGACGUCGCGCUGUCCCUUCCUGGUUCGUGCUCGGUCUUCGCCUCGUUGUUGGUCAACGGAUUGGAACCGCAGGAGGAGGAGGAAGAGAUCCGGAAUACUACGCUUCCGAGGCGGAGGCUGCGCACGUGGCGGAAACCCAGAUGAGCUUCCGGGGCACGAAAGUGAAGGAGCGCCCAAAAAAGAUCUCCCUUUUUUUCUUUUUCUUGUCGACUCCGAGAGAGAGAAGGACAGAUUUAUAUAUAUUUAAAGAAUUAAAUUAUUUUAUUUUUUUUGCGAAUUUUGAGGAGGUUGAGGUGUCAGUGCGAUGUACCUAGCCUCAAACUAACUUAGAUCACAUGUAAAAAUUUUCAUGACGUUUUUAUAAGUUUGAUGGAAAAAUAUAUAUUCUUCUUUACUUUUUGAAUAACACGAAUAGAAUAGUUUUUGAAAAAUUUGGUCAAUAUGAAUUAAAGAGUUUCAAAUGUUACAUUCUGCAUAAGCUUACAAAAGCAUGAUAAAAAAGUAAAUUGCUAAACUUAAAUGGAAAAUCGAAUAUAUUCAUUAUAACAUUGGUAAUCUUUUAAGUACUUGUAAAAUUUUGAAGAAGUUGGUGAUUUGCUAAUUUGACUUGAUAUGUCGAAGCCAAGAAAAAAAAGGGUGUGGAGCGAGGGCCAUUUCUGCGAUCCCGUGCUUUUGCGCACGACAACUUUGUCAUGUUUCUCCUUAGCCGUUGGAUUCAAGUGGUUUAAUAUCAGCCGUUCGAUUAAUAUGAGUUGUCAGCGUUUCUGAUCACUCCCGUUGGUGGAAAACUCGUGGAAUUGCCCACUCGAAGGUGCCAAAUCACGGCAUUGCCCUUCCUUUGUUUAUCGCCUACUUCAAUUUUUCUUCCACCGUUCCCUUCUUUCCAAACUACAUACGUUAAUAAAAUUUUUAAUCAGUGCAUUAACAUUGUCGCAGUUUCUUUAUAUAAGCUGGUUUUUAUAGAAUGACACAUAUUCUAUUUUUACUUUUAGCAUGUAGAUAUAUUUCAUAAAUAGUUUAUGCUCCCAUUUUGAGAUUAUCUAUGUUAAAAAAAAAACGUAUAUUGACCGUGUAUGUAAUAUAUAUUCUCUUCUAAGGGCUUUUAUUUUGUACAAUUGCAAAAUAAUUUUUUUUUGCACAAAUAGGCUUUAGAUAAUUUUUUUGGCACAAAUAAUUAAGAUUUAUUUUCUCUCUUGUUUUAUUUUGUACAAUGAAGAUAUAAUUUUUUUUUUUUUUGCCGAUGUUUAUCACCUGCCGAGUGGCUAUGACUUCAAUAUUUAUUGACUUCUCGCUGGCCGGUGACCCCUCUUGCAAUGAUUUUAAGCAGCCAGCCCAUCUUUUAUUUAAGAAUGGUAUCGAGAGCAUAUGCCUUUAGCAAAAGACAAGUAAUCAUCUUUUGUUUAAGAAUGAUAUCGGGGAGAAUGCACAUUUAUAUUAUAUUUUUAAUAAAAAACAUUUGUUCGUUCCAGCUGUCUCUAACAUGAGUUGCAGCGAUUAUGUGCAUUCACAUGUUAGAUUUGUAAAUUUUCUCCAACCCAUCUUUUAUUUAAGAAUGGUAUCGGGAGCAUAUGCCUUUAGCAAAAGACAAGUAAUCAUCUUUUGUUUAAGAAUGAUAUUGGGGAGAAUGCACAUUUAUAUUAUAUUUUUAAUAAAAAAUAUUUGUUCGUUCCAGCUGUCUCUGACAUGAGUUGCAGCGAUUAUGUGCAUUCACAUGUUAGAUUUGUAAAUUUUCUCCUCUCCUUUCGCUUUAAAAUUUUUUAAAUAAAAAAGGGUAUAUACCUAAAGUGGUUGACCAUAUGUACGUUCUUCAAUUUUUCAGCACCAUCCAUGCGUUUGCUUUUACCAUAAGUUAAUUGUGAACAAAAAACUAUUAAACUUAAGUGACUUGAUAAUUCUAGUUUUAAUUUAAUUAAGGAUCGAAGUGUACAUAUAUGUCUAUGUUUAUAUGGAUGAAGAUGUAUUUAAUACUGCAUCAUGUCUAUAUGGAGAGUCGAGUGUUGGUUGUCGGUUCAUAAACAGAUGAUAAAAGAGUCACUUUUUUCUUGAGCCACCAGAAAAGGCUAGCAUGGCGUAAAUACUUUACGUUAGAAAAAAAGAAGGAAAGAGACCCUUUCAAUUAUUUGGUUGUUACGAUUAUAAGUAGCCCAUCUUUUAUUUAAGACUGAUAUUUGGGAGCAUGCGCAUGUUCCCAUUGUUUUGUCAAAGAUCUGAAUAAAAGUUCGUUGACAGUGAAUGGUAUUUGUUUUUCAGCCCACUUGUGACUUUAUUAUGUGCGUUCAUACGCCAGAUUUGAAAAUUUUCUUCUCUCUUUUUAUUUUAUUAUUUUUUAACAAAAAAUAAUAUAUUUAAAAUAGUUGAUCAUUUGUGCGUUGUCUAUUAUUUUUACACGCUAGGGUUUUCUCUGCGAGUUCUCUCCCUUUGCGCCUCCCUCUCUCUCUACCCUCCUUCUCUCUCCGACGAACAGGAUCGCGACCUCCCUCUGUCUCUGCCCUCCCUCUUUUCGACCGGCGAACUACCGCGAGCAACCGACGGACCACCGCGCGAGAUCGGCGAGAGGACCGCGAGCAACCGACGAACCACCGCACGGGACCGGCGAGAGGACCCCGAGCUCCCUCUCUCUCUCUCUCUGGCCUCCCUCUUUCCAACCGGCGAACCACCGCGCGGCCCCUCCGGCUCCAGAUCCGGCCCCGACUCGUCCGUCCCUUGCUCUUUCUCUCCCCUCGCGUCUCUGUCUGCCUCCCUCUCUUGGACGGCGAACCAGCGCGUGACCGGCGAACCAAUAUUUUCUCCUUGCGGAGAAGCAACGAAAAUAUCUUUGAAGUCUACAGCGAGGUAGUCUGACCGAUUUCGAGGAAGGAAGGUUUGUUUCGGUGGUCUUGGGUCAAGAAGGUGAGGGUAAAAAAGCAGUACAAUUACCGUGUGAAAAGACGCGCAAUCUUGUCGCGCAAUCCUCUCCACAGGAUUGCGCGUCUCCUUCGGGGCAAGAGGUUCGAAGUAAAGCUUUAUUUAAAGUCCGAGUGCUUGUGACCCAGGAGCAGAAACGCCAAUCACCAUAAAUCAAUUGGGACGCUCGUCUUUCACUCUGAGAUAUCUGGCUUUGAUAGUUCUAGAUUGAGGCGUGGAGGUGGUCUCAGAAUUGUGCUGCUUUGAGACUCGGACACGACUCGGAUGUGCUUUAAGGUAACUCCUUUUUAGACAUUAAAGCCCAUCCGAGUAAUUCCGUCUCUGCAUCACUCCUCCAGAUGAGCCGGAUAGUCUAUUACAUUUUGAUAGAAGAAUAUAAAAACAUUUGAUUAUUACUCAUUGCAUGACAUCUAACAUCCUUAAAAGCAUGCACAAUAUAACAUGUGAAGUUCCAUCGACUUUUUCAAAAUCACGGUCGUCACAGUUAUUGCAGAUUCUUCUUACUACGUUCCCCUUAUUCAAACUGAUCAGUAUGAGCGGUUGAACUGGUUAAACCUGGUGGAAUUUGAUAGUUCUCUCUCUCUCAUAUGUCUCACUUUCUGUAUCUUUUACAUCUGGCCUCUCUUGCAGAACAAUUCAAGGCUAUCAUCUACAGUCCUCGCUCACUUUCCUUGUUUAUUUCCCUCAUAAAAGUUCUCGGCGAGGCUUGUUUAGGGGUCUUCUCUCUCCAAACUUGCACCCCUCUUUGCAUCUCGGCGCGCAGAAGGUAAUUGCUUUUUCAUCUCUUAUUAGCGUGUCAUUUCUGUUGAUUUGUUGCGGCUAAACUAGCGUGGUUUGGGCUCUUUUUGUCUGAUGUGGGUGGCUGUUAACUUGGUGUGUCACCAGCUCAUAAUUGACUUCCGUAGAAAAGGGAAGCCUUUGCUUUUAGACCUUAGAUGUGACUAAUCAUAUGGCCUCUGUCUCAUUGUUCAUUUUUAUCGUAACUUAGGCUCCGUUCAUUUUGCGGAAAAUAAUCUCCCAUAAAAUAUUUUUCGGAUUUUCUAGCGUUCAUUUAAUGGGAAAUGAAUUCCAUUGGAAAAAUAUUUUUCAUGAAAAGAAAAAAGUCUUCUAAAUUAGGGGAAAAUAUUUCACUUUUCAAAAAUAAAAAAUAUUUUCGUCACUUGAUUUCUCUUAUCUCACACUUCUAUAAAUUCCCACUUCCUCCUCUCCUUUAUUCUUUUUUUUUAUUCGAAUUAUUUUCUAAUUUUCUAAUUUUCUUUUUUAAUUCAAAUUAUUUUUAAAAGGGAAUUUCCAUUUCCUCCUCACUUGAUCUCUUUUAUCUCACUUGAUUCAUUUUGCGCGACAUUGCUAAUAUGUAAGGUCAUUGGGGAACAAAUAAAAGAGAAAUAGCAAAGAGCUUUUGUUCAUCUCUAUCUCAUUUCCAAAUUCAUUUAGAAUGACAAUUUGAAAUUAAAAUGUAAGAUCACAUUCCUAAUCACUAACUAGGCCCUUUCUUCAUAUCUUCCACACAUUUCCAAUUUCGUUUGAACUCUUUUAUCAGCUUUUAAAUGAUUUAUCAAAUUAUGAUUUUUAAUAAUCAAACAAGAACAGAACCUUUGCUUAUUUAUUUUAAUGAACGCAACUUGCUUGUACACAGAUUCUAGCUUUUUAUAGCCCAAGCAAGAAUUUAACAUCGUGAGCGGACCAAGCCAACAUCUUUUGGCUUGACUAGAGGGUGAGAUGCAAAAGAAGAUAAGGCAAGGACUAAAAGCAUCUGCAACUGCUUCUGUUCAAUCAAUUACAAAUUUAAUUAAAGAUUUUAUGUUAAUCUGUUCUUGCUUGGUAAAAAUUUUUUGGUGGGGCCAAGACUUAUGGAUGAAUAUGUAUUUUUUUUUAAAAUAAUUGGGUUUAAGCAUAAUUUCCGAGAGUUGGCCCGGGCGGCUCACCCUUAGCCCCGCAUUAAAUCCACCCAUAUUGUCAGACAUUUUGGAUGUGGCAGGAGAAGAACUAAACAAGGAGAAAACUCAGGAGGGCAUGGGGAAUAGAUAUUGCUGAGAGAGUUGAAAACUUAAUUAGUGGAGGUUAGGGAAAUGAAGAAAAUAAGAAUAGAAGAAAAUUAUUAGUAAUGAGGGCGAGGAUAUGGACAUGGAUGACCCAUUUAGCAACAAUGGUUCCGGAAGGCCUACCAUUGCUGGGGGAGAGUUCACUCUCAUUUUUUUUUUUUCCUUUUUGGUUGGGUCAAAAGCUAACUUUCAUUGAGAUUGCGUGAACAAAAAUGCUUGGAGAGAAAGAGUUUGCCUAUUUUGACUAUUCACUUUUCUAAUUUUACAUAACAAUUUCUUAUUUAACGAUUCACAAAUUUGAUUGCUAUUUCCUUUAAAUUGUUUCCUUUUUAAUUGAUUACGAAGAUUUGAUAUUAGAUUCUAUGAAUAUCAAUAAUCAACACUUUGAUGAAGGCAGAGAUCGAUGUAUAUGCAUGUACUUUCAAAUAGAUGCUUACAUUAAACCACUGAUCAAAGGCAUGAUUGGAGCAAAUAUGAAAAUUUUCUAGAGGACCCGAGUGCAUAUGACCUUAAUAAAUCUGAACCUUUGUUAUUAUUGAGUCUCAUGUGAAAACCACAUAAUAUAAGAGGGAAGAUUCAUUAGGGGCAUAUGGAUUUGAGAAUGCCUAAUGAAAUAUAGGCAUCAACAUGUUAGCUUUAGUUAAUUUUACAUGUGGGCGACAUGUUUAAUUUGUGACCAACCAAUAAGAGACAAUUAAUGAAAAUCUCCUCGAUUAGGAAAGUCCAUGCAUCAAGAGGAUGAGGUCCAUGGGAAAGAGAAGAUGUGCAUUACACUGCUCUAAAACAACAACUUGUAAUAUUGGAUUAAUCAAUAGACACCCCUCUAAGAAAACUCAAUUCAUUAAAUAUUGUGUACAUUCGGAAAUCAGGUGCUUUCUAUCUAGCCAUUUCACUUGUUUAUCUACAUCUUUUAGUGGAGCAGGAAGGCAUCUUCUCUUCAUUAAACAUUUUAGUGUUAGUAAUCGUUCAUAAUGCAUGUGCUCUCCACCAAAGAUUAGGAGCCUUGACUAUAGAGCACGCAUGUAGAGAUGAAGACUAGCCAUUUUUUUCUUGUCCAUGAGUGGACACAUACCAAUGAUGUUGCCUUGACGAGAAAGCGCGGUCCAUUGGAAAGAAAAGAUGCACGCCUAAGUCAAUAACUUUUACCAUUCAAUUAGUCAAACAGACUGACUUGAUCAUUAAACAUUUUGGAUUCGAAAUCGUUCCGAAAUCAUAUGCUCUCCUCCCAAAAAGCACGUGCUCUGCCUUUUCAUUUGCUUAUCUACUUCUUCUUGUGCAGCAGGUUGGCAUCCUCUCUUCAUUUUUGUCUAUAAGAUUUCUAUGGGGAAAGGGCAAAGUCUGAGCAAAAUAAAAAGAAAAAGAAAAAGAGCGCAAAAAAAAAGGAGCAAUAAGGGAGAAAAAGAGAAGGAUUGCUGAGAAAGAGAUCACUGAUGGAGCAUCUGCUUCUUCGUCCUUACCUUCCAUACCCACGGGAGGAGAUAAUGAUCAAUAUGAUGUGUUCUUGAGCUUUAGAGGCUCCGACACUCGCAACGAAUUCACUGAUCACCUCUACUGCAGUCUGAUCAGUGUGGGGACUCUACCGAUUUCUGUGUUCAGGGACGAUAAUAGCAAGGAUUUUAAUUCAGAGAUUCUCAAUGCUAUCACGCGAUCUAAGAUUUCAAUCCCCAUCAUCUCUGAAAAUUAUGCUUCGAGCAAAUGGUGCCUCCGCGAGCUAGUACGCAUCAUGGAUUGCCAGAAGAGCACGUCGCACACAGUGUUGCCCAUUUUUUACAAAGUGCUCCCAUCGGAUGUGCGGUAUCUAAAUGGAAAUUUUGGGGAGGCCUUCCGUUUGCGUAAGAAGCGUUUUGAUAAGGAGGACAUUCAGGAAGGUCAACGAGCCCUUACAGAAGUGAGUUACUUGAAGGGAUGGGAAUCUGAGAAAUUUGCCAAUGGGUACUUACCUUCUACCUACACUUUUUUUUUCUAAGUUUUGUUAUUUAGCAAAACCAAUGUCAUAUAGAUUAAUUGCUUCCACUACAAGCUUACUAAACAUCCCAAAAUGUCCCAAUGAAUAACCAUAGUGGCCCACAUACUACAAACACUUGUACUCCCUAAGAUUUCCCCAGAAAAGUACACUAAUAACAUCUAAAACCUUAGGAUCCCUUACUCAAUCUUCCAAAGCUUGGUAACCGCUGGAUAAAUUGACCUCCUAUUGCUUCACACAGAUCAUGUCUAGGUUUAACACCCAUUGUUGCCAGUAACUUUCAUUUGUAGGCGAUCUAUAAGUUAAUUACAAGUCCUCCAUUUAGGCUUGGUCUUAGCGGGAUAACAUCUUGUCCUCCUAAACUUUUUGCAACAAAAAUUAUUGACCUCUUAUCCUUCAACUAUCGGUGACCAUUAGCCUCAUAACAAACUCUUUACUUCUAAAGAAUCUUAAUUUGCUAGGUGCGCCACCAUAUCUUAAUCAAUAAGAUCUAUCUAUUUGAAGAAAAAGAAGGGGAAAAAUGAAAUGACUGCUACACCAUCAUCCUAUAUUGUCAUUUGUAAAACCUAGACAUUUUGCAUGUUAACUGGUCACAUCCAUCCUUCACAUAUAUGUGGGUGUCUUUUGAUGAGAUUACGCAAAAUUAUGAAGUUAUGAUAGAGUUUUGUUGUUUGACAGGCGUGAAGGAGAAUUAGUGGAAGAAGUUGUCAAAACUGUUCUGAGCAAGUUGAGACGUGAUUUUGAGCUAGAUAUUUUGGACCACUUAGUUGGAGUUGACGAUCAUGUCAACAAAAUUAGGAAUUGGGUAGACAUUCCUGCCAAGCAUGCUCGAAUGAUAGGAAUAUAUGGCAUGGGUGGGAUCGGUAAAACGACUCUCGCCAAGGUCAUCUAUAACCAGUUGUCGAAUAAAUUCGAGCAUCGUAGCUUCCUUCCAGAUAUACGAGAAACAUAUCACAACAAUGGCAUUCUUGAACUACAAAAUCUACUUAUUAGGGAAAUACUACCAAAUGCACGUGGAGUAUGUAAAGUUGAUGAUGGAAUUAGUUUGAUCAAAUCUAGAUUUAAAGGAAUAAAGGUUCUCAUUCUUCUGGAUGAUGUUGAUGACCGAAAUCAUCUACAUGCUUUGGCUAGAGAACGUGAUUGGUUUUCGACAGAAAGCAUCAUCAUUGUUACAACUAGAAAUGAAGCUAUUCUUCAUCAACCUAAAUUCGAGGUAGAUUACAAGUAUGAAUUGACACAAUUAGAUGAGGUGCAUUCUUUGUGUUUAUUUAAAAGACAUGCAUUUUCCAAGGGCGAUUGUCUGAAGGAUUUUGAGGGUAUCUCUCGUGAUAUCUUAUCCACCAUGGGUGCGCUCCCCUUGGCUAUCGAGGUCAUAGGUUCAUACUUGUAUGGAAAAACAGAUGUAAAAGUAUGGCAAGAUGUGCUGAAGAAAUUAAGAAAUGAACCGAAUGUAGAUGUCCAAAGGACAUUGAAGAUAAGUUAUGAUGCAUUGGAACCUACACAAAAGGAGAUUUUUCUGGAUAUUGCUUGCUUUUUAAUCGGCGCAAGUCACAAAUAUGCUGUUUACGUGUGGGAGGACUGUGAGUUUUUUCCAUUUCUUGGAAUUGAAGAGUUGAAGCUGAGGUGCUUAAUAAAAAUUGGAGCUUAUGGUGAGUUUAUGAUGCAUGACCAAUUGAGAGAUCUUGGAAGGAGCAUAUUUUGUCAAGGACAACCACCUGAGAGAUGUCUAAAGCCAUGGUUUAAUAUGCGAAGGGAGGUAACAUCUUUCUCUCUCUCUCUCUCUCUCUCUCUCUCUCUCUCUCUCUCUCUCUCAUUUAUGUCCCUCUUAGAUAAAUUGUGAUAAUAAUUGGAUUAUAAGUGCCCCAAAAAUGAAAAAAGUUAUAUUAUUUAUAUUUUUUAGUACAAUGCCCUUUUGUGCCGAAAACCCUCGACAAAGUCGGCAAUUUAGAGGAAAUGUCAUUUUAUUAUAUCGAUACCUUUUUCUUUACUAAAUAACAUUUUCAGCAUGUUGUCAAUUUUGAAAGCAAGUUUAAUUUUUACUUAGAUUAUCAAUGUUCAUGUCGUUUCAUUAUUUUAUAUAUUCCACUUAGAGAAGUGUAGUGGGUUCAUGACUGAUCAGUGGCGGGGAAUUAACCUUUGCAAUUAACCAAGAGAUGUUGGGAAAUGAAAAAGCUUUAUUUUCUUGAUUUAAUUUGAAUUAGUUCGCUCAUACAAUUAUAAAUAGCACAUUCUUUUGUUGAUUCAAUAAUUAUUCUUAAGAGAAAUAAUAUUGACCGUUAGUUUUUCACUAGUUAAUAUAUAAAAUAUGGAUAAUGACAAAUGAGUCAAACCAUAAAAUUAAUCCCCACCAAAAAAAGGGAAAAAAGAAUUCUAUCUUUGGUUUGAUAGUGUUCGUGGAAGUUCAUAUUUCACAAAACAAAUUUGUCUUUUGGCAGUUCAGUUUAUUCAUAAUAUUUCCAAGAAACUAACAGAAAAAAAUGCACUCUCAAGUUAUGUUGAUCAGUUAAUAAUUUUUUUUAAUGCUUGCUUAUAUCUCCUGCCCUAUUGUAUCUUUGCACUCAGCCUAUAAAUAGCAUUCCAAAAAAACCAAAAAAAGAAAAAAAAAAGAAAAAAAAAACGAGAUGAUGCUUUCAAUUUGGAGCAGAUGCUGUUGUCACAGAAGUUCAUGUAAAAGAAGAAAGGUGUCGGGUGUUGUGAAAUAUGGAUCAACUAGUCGUGAGCCCAUACCAUGCAUAUGCACAAAACUGACUUGAAUAAAUUUAUCAUGAAGAUAUAUCUAUCGUAUCUUUAUCUCUAUUGGAAAAGCACAUAUAGAUGGACAAAUCAUGUUCUUUGGAAAGACAGUUAUAAUUUAUAAGUUUACAGUUCUUAAUCUUUCAUUAUAGUAAUUCAACCAGGAAAAAAAAAAAAAACAUCUCUCAUUAUAGUAAAAAUUCAGGCGAGAAACUUAAUUCGAAAGACAUUCCUUUUUUUAUUUCCCAAUAACAAUGGACAUACUUCUUUUGGAUGGAGUGCAUGAAAAUAGUUAAAUGCACUAAAAAUCGAAUUAUAGGGAAUUUAAAAAGAUAUUAAAUGAAAUUGCAUGAAACGGAAGUGCGUUCAAAGGAAAAUUACGAGGAAAGUAAAAGAUGAACUUUGUUGUGCCGUGCCUGUCUGAUCUUACCUCCGGAUACCCCUUUUAUACCAAUGCCUCGUGUAGACCAUUUUGUUUCUAGGCCAUUCACAUGUAACUUCCACAUGCAUCAAUUGUCUCCUGCGUUUCUUGCCACAUGCAUCCUACGACACCUAGUCCUAUACUAUUCUUUUCAAGGGAGAGAUUUUUCUAUUAUUCUCUCAACGUAAAUUAUCUCAAAAUCAAGUUCAUUAUAAAUUUUAUUUAUUUAAAUGAAUCCAUGGGCUAUUUUCAUCACUUAGCUCCUAAAAGGGGAAACCACCAUCAUUAAUCGCAAUUGCCCACUGUCUAAACAUAGUUAAUUAUAUAUAUAAACAUGUGUUUUGCUUCUCUUUUAAGAGGGAAUUGCUCAUCAUUUGAAACAUCAAUUGGCGUUACCUGCUCAAUCCAAUAUAAAUGGUGUGCAUAGCGUGGGUCAUGUCUAGUCUAUAUCUAAUAUAACAUGAUACUAUAAUUAUAGCAAUGAGAUUGGUGUCACUUUAGGUCCCUUCCAAUUUUACUAUUAUUUAAGGAUUCUCCUACUAAUAAAAAGUACGGCUGAGGAGUAAAGUCUCACUUUGGUAGAGUACUCCUUCUCUAACCAACACAUCCCCCACCUUUAACGGUUAUAUAAUAUUCUCUUCAUCAACAUGUUGUACCAUCCCCAAUUUUUAUCACCGUUCUCUUCUUAUUUUUAAGAGUUUUAAGUUACAAAGUUCACAUAAAAAUAAGCAUAACGUUACCAUUACAUGCACAUAGCAUGUGUAUAGAGUAUUGUGGACAUUAAGCAAAGUCCAUUUACAAAAAUAAUACCAUUUCUAGGUCGAAUUUUGCUUUUUACGUGUUACAAAUGCAAUUUCUUGAACAGGUCGAGUGAGGGGCACUACUAGCUUGAAAUUAAUCUGCUCUAGAAGUGCAUGUUAACAGAUGAGUACUAAUUUCUAAUUUCUAAUUCACCUCUUGAGAAGCAUGCCCAUGCUAAAAACGAACGUCAAUAAUUUACAUCAACAUACCUCUAGAAAACCGAUCUGACAAAAGUGGGUACUAACAGCUACCUAAGUUCCAUAAUGGUGAAAUACUCCAUUAACUCUCAUUGCCAGGUGGGAGACCAGCUUAAUUAAGUCCGACUGGACGGCUCAAACAGGAAAUUAUUUGCACUUAAUAGUGCAAGGAAUCAAACCCAUAUCAUAAUACACAAAAGCGCAUUCCUUAACCACUAAAUGAGCAGUGUGGGGUUGCCUCUCAAAACAUUUCCAAGAUACCGAACUGGUAGUCAUUGAGAGGCCAACGUGGCAGAGCCAGGAUCAGGCUCGGGAGUUGCUACUAAGUUUGGUACAAGGCUCCUGGUUCGUUGCCAAUACCGGGUUUAAGGUCUCCGGUUGGCUCCGAUAGACCCCACAUGGGCUUGGCGGGAGCCUUUUAUAGACCUUGGCGGGAGCCUUUUAUAGACCUGCUCAGGUCUAACUGUACCUUAUAUUGCUUUUGGUAAUUCCUAAAGAACCUGACCAUAAAAUAAAUUGCAAAGAAAAAAUAACUCAUUAGACAUGUCUCCUUAGUGCCUAACUGAGCGUGGCCAAGUGCCCGUUGUGAUCCAGAAUCGCACGCCCAACGGAGCGUGACUAAGUGCCCACUUUGAUCCAGAAUCGCAUCUCUACGCUGUUCAAGCGACUUAGUCUUGCUGGAGACCCGGCCACCGACCGGUAGCUUUGGCUACUUGCGAUCUCUGUUAUGGGCAUCUCAGUUUGUUCCUCUGAACAUUUACGCCAUGUCAAUGUGUAAAUUGAGUGGCGGCUUGAUUUAUUUGUGGUCAAUCUCGAGAUGCUAAUCCAAUAGAAAGUUUAAGAAUUAAAAUUUCGAUACUCGAACGUUAUCCAAUUCUGUCACUGAUCAGCUAAGCUUUCGGGGGAAAAAUAAAAAAGUAUUGUCGUUAGUGUCAAUCAAGCCGUCUGGGAUUUAGUCACCAUCUUCUUCCAAUUAAAUGAUCUCCUUUAGCAACAAAGUUUAAGCGGUACUUUUGACUUAUAAGAUGCGAAAAGAAAUGGUGCUAGUCUUGGGAAAUGGACAUACGUACCUUCACUUUUCUGUUUAGGUAACAUAAGUAGAUUUUUUCAGAAAGUUUCGUGUGGCAGAGUUUGGCAAAAGAUGUUGCCAAGCAUCGACAAACCUACUAUUCCAUAUGUUAAGACCUUAAUCUAACUAGAACUCCAUGUAAGGAAGUUAAUUAGUUCAUUUUUAGUUGGUCUAAAGCCAGCUCUCUUCCAAUUUCCGUCAAAAUCUAAAAUAUUAUUCAAAUGCUAAAGGUGUAUUGCUAAAGAAUGAUUAAACACUUAAUAACAAUAGUUAACAAAUUGAAAAUCAGGUGCUUACUUAGCUAUUUAACAAGUGACCCAUGGGUACUCUUUAACAGUCGUAUGUUUUAAAAGGUUUCAUGUAUUUCCACUUUAAUAAAAAUCAAAGUACAUGCACUACAAAAUUCCAAAAAAGCAAGUGGUAAAGAUUGAGGUGUUUCGUCUUGAACUUUUGAAAGCAAGAAAAAGUGAUUUUUUUUAUUUAAAAUAUCAUUUGAAUUUUAAAAAAUUUAUCAAAAUACUACAUGUGUGUGUUUAUCUGUCAACAUUUAUGUUUGGCAAGGGGUAAAAAGAUGACAAAUUGUGAAAGUAUGGGGUUUAGAAAAGCAAAAGUAAAAAAUUAGAAGUCGAUUCAGACCACUCAAUUGAUUGAUUNNNNNNNNNNNNNNNNNNNNNNNNNNNNNNNNNNNNNNNNNNNNNNNNNNNNNNNNNNNNNNNNNNNNNNNNNNNNNNNNNNNNNNNNNNNNNNNNNNNNACCAUAAGUGGAGACUUUAGUGAAUUGUUUCCUGAAGUAAGAUGGCUUCGAUGGUUAUACAUUGAACCUGAUAUAUUUUCUUCAGCAAUCAAUUUGCAUCUAUCUAAAUUAGUGGUGUUGGAAUUGUUACAAAACAAGCUUACAGAUGAUUGGGGAGGAUGGAGUUUGAUCAUGGUAAGAUGGAAAAAAAGACAUCCUCUAUGAUCUUUGCUUUGUUUUGUUUUAUCAAUUAAACUCCUUUUUGAUAGCUUUUUCUCUUUUGUACAGGCAGCAAAGCAACUAAAAGUUCUCGACCUUUCAAAUAGCAGGGAGUUAAGAUAUACUCCUAAUCUCUCGGCUUUCACGAAGUUGGAGAUUCUUAUCUUGUCUAACUGUUACAAAUUGAAGCAAGUCGACCCUUCUAUUGGCAAACUCAAGAGUCUCAUAUCUUUGAACUUGUGUCAUUGUGAAAAUAUGAAAGAGCUACCAGAGGAAGUGGGGGAAUUGCAAGAACUAAAAGAACUCCUUUUAAGUGAUAGUGGCAUUACAAAGAUUCCUACGUCGAUCUACUCUCUAAGGAAGCUAGAGUGUCUGGAUAUCGCAUUUUGUUGUUCAUUGGUUGAAAUCCCUCCCACAAUUGGGAAUUUUUCUUCUCUCAAACUACUUGAUCUAGAGGAUUGUAAGUCAUUGACAGAAAUCCCUAGCUCAAUUGGGAAUCUUUCUUCCCUCAAACGACUUGAUCUAUUGGGUUGCAAGUCAUUGACAGAAAUCCCUAGCUCAAUUGAGAAUCUUUCUUCUCUCAAACAACUUAAUAUAGGGAGUUGCGAGUCAUUGAUAGAAAUCCCUAACUCAAUUGGGAUUAUUUCUUCUCUCAAACGACUUGAUCUACAUAGUUGUGUGUCCUUGACAGAAAUCCCUAGCUCAAUUGGGAAUCUUUCUUCUCUUGAACGGCUUGAUUUAUGGGGUUGCAUGUCCUUGACAGAACUCCCUAGCUCAAUUGGGAAUCUUUCUUCUCUUAAACAGCUUGAUUUAUGGGGUUGCAUGUCAUUGACAGAAAUCCCUAGCUCAAUUGGGAAUAUUUCUUCUCUCAAACAACUUGAUCUACGGAGUUGCAAGUCAUUAAUAGAAAUCCCUAACUCAAUUAGGAAUCAUUUUUUUCUAGAUUUUGGGUUAUUGACAGAAAUCCCUAUCUCAAUUGAGUAUCUUUUUUCUCUCAAACAACUUGAUCUUUCUUCUCUCGGAGUACUUGAUCUACAUGGUUGUAUGUCAUUGACAGAAAUCCCUAGCUCAAUUCGGAAUUAUUCUUCUCUCAAACAACUUGAUCUAGAGGGUUGCGUGUCAUUGACAGGAAUCCCUAGCUCAAUUGGGAAUCUUUCUUCUCUUGAACAAUUUAAGCUAUGGGGUUUCGUGUCCUUGACAAAAAUUCCUAGCUCAAUUGGGAAUCUUUCUUCUCUAAAAGAACUUCGUCUAAGGGGUUGCGAGUCAUUGACAGAAAUCCCUAGCUCAAUUGGAAAUCUUUCUUCUCUUGAACAACUUCAUCUAGAGGGUUGUGAUGUCAUUGACAGAAAUCCCUAGCUCAAUUGGGAAUCUUUCUUCUCUCAAACAACUUGAUCUACAUAGUUGCGUGUCCUUGACAGAACUCCCUAGCUCAAUUGGGAAUCUUUCUUCUCUUGAACAGCUUGAUUUAUGGGGUUGCAUGUCAUUGACAGAAAUCCCUAGCUCAAUUGGGAAUAUUUCUUCUCUCAAUCAACUUGAUCUACAUAGUUGCGUGUCCUUGACAGAACUCCCUAGCUCAAUUGGGAAUCUUUCUUCUCUUGAACAGCUUGAUUUAUGGGGUUGCAUGUCAUUGACAGAAAUCCCUAGCUCAAUUGGGAAUAUUUCUUCUCUCAAACAACUUGAUCUACGGAGUUGCAAGUCAUUAAUAGAAAUCCCUAACUCAAUUAGGAAUCAUUUUUUUCUAGAUUUUGGGUUAUUGACAGAAAUCCCUAUCUCAAUUGAGUAUCUUUUUUCUCUCAAACAACUUGAUCUUUCUUCUCUCGGAGUACUUGAUCUACAUGGUUGUAUGUCAUUGACAGAAAUCCCUAGCUCAAUUCGGAAUUAUUCUUCUCUCGAACUUGAUCUAGGGGGUUGCGUGUCAUUGACAGGAAUCCCUAGCUCAAUUGGGAAUCUUUUUUCUCUUGAACAACUUAAGCUAUGGGGUUUCGUGUCCUUGACAAAAAUCCCUAGCUCAAUUGGGAAUCUUUCUUCUCUAAAAGAACUUCUUCUAAAGGGUUGCGAGUCAUUGACAGAAAUCCCUAGCUCAAUUGGAAAUCUUUCUUCUCUCAAACAACUUAAGCUAUGGGGUUGUGUGUUAUUGGAAGAAAUCCCUAACUCAAUUGGGAACCUUUCUUCUCUCGAACAACUUGAUCUAGGGUGUUGCGUGUCAUUAACAGGAAUCCCUAGCUCAAUUGGGAAUCUUUCUUCUCUUGAACAACUUAAGCUAUGGGGUUGCAAGUCAUUGAUAGAAAUCCCUAGCUCAAUUGGGAAUCUUUCUUCUCUUGAACAACUUCAUCUAGAGGGUUGUGAGUCAUUGACAGAAAUCCCUAACUCAAUUGGGAAUCUUUCUUCUCUCGAACAACUUAAGUUAUGGGGUUGUGUUUUAUUGGAAAAAAUUCCUAACUCAAUUGGGAAUCUUUUUUCUCUCAAACAACUUGAUCUACGGAGUUGCAAGUCAUUGACAGAAAUCCCUAGCUCAAUUGUGAAUCUUUCUUCUCUUAAACAACUUAAUCUACAGAGUUGCGAGUCAUUAAUAGAAAUCCCUAACUCAAUUGGGAAUAUUUUUUCUCUAGGUUGUGGGUCAUUGACAGAAAUCCCUAUCUCAAUUGAGAAUCUUUUUUCUCUUAAACAACUUGAUCUUUCUUCUCUCGAAGUACUUGAUCUAAAUAGUUGUGUGUCAUUGACAGAAAUCCCUAGCUCAAUACAGAAUUAUUCUUCUCUCGAACAACUUGAUUUAGGGGGUUGUGUGUCAUUGACAGGAAUCCCUAGCUCAAUUGGGAAUCUUUUUUCUCUUGAACAACUUAAGCUAUGGGGUUGCGGGUCCUUGACAGAAAUCCCUAGCUCAAUUGAGAAUCUUUAUUCUCUCAAACAACUUGAUCUAGGGUAUUGCAAGUUAUUGACAGAAAUCUCUAAUUCAAUUGGGAAUCUUUCUUCUUUCAAACAACUUGAUCUACGGAGUUGCGAGUCAUUAAUAGAAAUCCCUAACUCAAUUGGGAAUCUUUUUUCUCUCGAGCAACUUAAUCUAGGAGGUUGUGGGUCAUUGACAGAAAUCCCUAUCGCAAUUGGGAAUCUUUCUUCUCUCAAACAACUUGAUCUAUGGGGUUGUGUGUUACUAAGAGAAAUCCCUAGCUUAAUUGGGAAUCUUUCUUCUCUCGAACAACUUUAGCUAGGGGGUUGUGUGCUAUUGAGAGAAAUCCCUAGCACAAUUGGGAAUCUUUCUUCUCUCAAACAACUUGAUCUAUGGGGUUGCAAGUUAUUGACAGAAAUCCCUAGUUCAAUUGGGAAUCUUUCUUCUCUAAAAAAGCUUGAUCAAAAGAGUUGCGAGUUAUUAACAGAAAUCCCUAGCUCAAUUGGGGAUCUUUCUUCUCUUGAACAACUUCAGUUAGGGGGUUGUGUGUCAUUGGGAGAAAUCCCUAGCUCAAUUGAGAAUCUUUCUUCUCUUAAAGUACUUGGACUAGAGGCUUGAAAGUCAUUGAGAGAAAUCCCUAUCUCAAUUAGGAAUCUUUCUUCUCUCGAAUACCUUAACCUUUACGGGUGUUGUUCACCAAAAGAAAUUCCUACCUCAAUUGCGGAUUUAUCGAAUUUGCAAAGCAUUGGGGAUUUUUGACCUUGAAUAGUUACCUAUUGCUAUUGGAUGGUUGAACAAACCGCCGAAGGCUAUUUCUUGAAUCUUGUGAUAGUCUAAAAGGGGGAAUUCCAAGAGAAAACGAUGACUUGUCUUCGUUUGUGAUUCUCCAUAUCAGUGGCACAUUGAUAUUUGACCCGCCAGAAAGCAUCUGGAAUAUUUCUUCUCUCUAUUGCCUUGACCAAGAGGGCUGUAGGGAGCUUGAUCGUUGCUAGAGCUUCCUUCCGGCUUAACAUAUCUUCAAAUUCCUAGGUUGCCAGAGCUUUCUUACCUAUUCCACUUGGAAGAACUUCAUUUUUAUGGAUACGAUCAACUUGAGUACUUCCCAGAGCUUACCUCAAGACUCUUGAAACUUUGUGUUGACUUCUGUCCCAAGUUGAUAUUGCUUGAGCUUGACGGAUUCAAGUACUUGGAAGAGUUGUCAAUAAAACACUAUAAUUCCAUUGAAAGAAUGGACCUCUCACAAUCGAAUCUUCUGAAAGAAUGGAGGAUUGCGAUAAUCUAGUUGAAAUUUAGGGCCAAGGUAAAUUGGAGUUCUUGGAGACAAUACAUACAUAUAGCUACAAGUUCGUUAGAAGGCCGAUCCAUCCGAAACUACAAGGGCUUGAAGCAAUUAAAUACUUGCUAUUGCGACAAUCUAGUCAAAAUACAAGGUCUUGAUAAGGUGGAGUUGUUAGAGAUGUUGAAUGUAUGUAAUCGUGAUUCUAUCGAAAGAUUACCUGACCUAUGAUGCUUUUGGAACUUGAAAGAGUUGAAUAUCAAUGGUUGUCAUAAUCUACGUGGUGUCGAGACUCAAUUCCCAGUCUUAUAUAAGUGCAAGAGUGGAGAAGUCAAUCCUAGAAGCUAACAUGAUGCUUCAGCCAAGAUCAAAAUUUCGAUCCAAUUGUGGUUCUUCAUACGUUAGAAGGCGUUGGUCAUCUGGUAAGAUUCUUUGACCUUUAACAACUAGAACGAGCCAAAAGUGUAAUACUUUUCUAACAGAUAUAUCUUUUAAGAAUUAUUUGCUCGACGCUUCGUAUCUAUUUGAUCUGGAUUUGCCUAAGUAUAUUCGCUGUUGAUUGCAUCACAGCAAUGCUUUUUCAGUUAAUCUUCAAUCGGCAACUUUUGCAGAUAGAUUGGCGGCUUGUGAGGCAACAAAUGAAAACUAACAACAUAGGUAAACAAGAAUUACUUAGUGAUUUACAGUUUCCCUCUUGGUAAACCCAAGAUGAGAAUUUUUCAUCAAGAGGUUGAUCUUCUGCAACUCAAUUUAUAAACUCCACCCAGAUCCCUUUUUUCUCUGUCUCAAACUAGUAUUUUCCUUUAAAAAAUCCUUCGCCUUUUUGAACUCCUUUUUGUGAGCAAUUUUAUGUGUCAAAUUUGACUAUUGGUAGAUAUCCUGUUUAGGACAAACAGCUCUCGAUUUUUCGUGAUGAUGGGAAAGCCUAUCCAUUGUUCAUUCGAGCAUGAAUUCUCAUUAAGGAAGAGAAACUGAGCUAAAAUAAAAAUCAAGGUUCAAUUUUUUUUUGGUGCGUGAUUUAAAAAAGUAAAAAUUAGUUUUGGCUAGCCUUUUUCAUCUAUGAUUGUAGGCAGGCUUUCCAUAAACAAUUGUGAGACUGUUGAAAGAUUAUCAAGCGAGAUAAAUUGGUGCUACUUUUGUGACAGGUUGGGUUGGUCUAUGUAAUGAUCAAGGCUUACGUUUGGACUUUAAUUCAAAGAGCUGUAUGGAUGACCUUUUGCAUAAUUGGGACAAUUUUUUGCCUGCUCUAUAAAACAAGCUAGGCGAGGAGCUUAAGAUUUUGCUUAUUAUUGUGCAUCCCGUUUGAACCUGAUGUUGUCAUGGAAUCAUUUUAUCAAAUGAUUGAUCUGGGUCUGGUUAACUCGGCUGAGGCAAUUUAUAGUCCAUACCCCAGAGAAUGAUCAAAUGAAGAAGAGGGAUUUUGCUGAGGUGUCAUUAGCAACAGCUGAAGGCUAGCUUUUGUGCGACCUUGAACAGGCUCAUGGGCCAACUGGAGUAUCCUAAGGAAGUUUUUUAUGCCUGUGAAGAUCAAAGCACUUGAUAUGGUUUCAUCAGCACAAAACUGAAUGAUUGUGAAUGUAUUAUUUUUCAGUUGAAUCUACAUUUUGUAUUCUCAUUAGGUUCUACCUCUAUUAAGCAAAUACACACGUGCUGAUUUUUCUACAUGUUAACCAGAUGCUGAGUUCUUUGAUGCAAUGCGCUCUAAUGGUAUCAUUCCCAAACUCAAAGCAGGCUCUGCAGAUAGAGGUAUGCACUGCCAGUCCUACCAUAACUGUGAAAGAGUGACUCGUGUACUUAUAUUUAAUUGAAUGUGCUGUAUGCUUGUUAGGUUCUACCUCUCUGUUAAUCGAAUAUGUAUGUGCUGAUUUUUCUGCAUGUUACCCUGAUGCGGAGUUGUUUGAUGCGGUCUCAUUCUAAUGAUAUCACUUUCAAACCCAAUGAGGCUCUGCAGAUGGAGGUAUGUACUACCAGUUGUACCAUAAUAGAGUAACUUGUGUGCUUAUACUAUGUGAGCUGUGGAGUUUCACCAGAAAUCCGUGAACUAGGAUGCAUGAUGACAAUCUCCUCUUUUUCUGUCAGUUCAUAAUAUCUUUUGAAUGUUGUGAUAAAGGUCUCUGAUACGACGAGCUUAAAUCUCAUGUAUGUAGCAUUAAAUUUGUAAAGUUAAAUAUAGCCUCCUAGCAAACAAUUCCAUAUUGCUAAUUUCGCUAAUUGGAUAUUGCAAAAUAACCAAGUAACAAGUACGCCUUUCUGCUAUGUAGUUUGGGCACUUUGCCUUUUCAGCAUCCGUUUGUUCAUAAACACAAACAAGGAUAAUGGUGCUAAUUGCUGACUUCUCUUCUCUUAAAGUCCGUUGUUUUCUAUUUCUUUGGCUGAUAAUGAAUUCUGUUGAUUGCGAUCCAAUUGCGAAUUAAUCAGAGACCCUUGGAAUGUGUGGCAAAACUAAUGUCCCCAGAUUUUGGUGUUGAUAGGUAGGAUUCAUUGAAGAGGUCACUUGUAGAUCGCCAGAAUCUGGACCAGGUCAAAAUAACCUUGUUUAUAUUGAUGGACUCUCAAGUCUAUGCUUAUUACUUUCGGCUAAUUUUAGGUUCUUCAUUCCAAAUACAUCUAAAAAUAGACAGAACUAAGGAUCCAUGCAGCCGUGCCUUUAUCUCUCUUCGAGAUGAUUGGAAAGUGUGACACAGUUUUACUCUCAACCAUCUCGUGUAACACAUGCAUCGCCCUCAUUUUCUGACCAUCUUUGGCAAGUGCCCGGGUGGAGACUAGUUAUAAGUCUUCUAAGGUUGAAUUUGUUAGUGUUCGUAACUUUUGACGAAAUAUCAUAAACAACCUGAAUUUAUCAUUCAUUCUUUUCCUAAAUCUAUCACGAAGUACAUAUGUAGCUAGUAAAAUUAUAAUUAUUUUGAAAAUCUCAUGUGACAACAGCUGAUUGGAAAAGCCAAUGAGUGUGAGACCCAAAUACAGGGUUUACAUUUGAUGAUGCGGUUCAAACUAUAAGAGACACACCUUCGGGUCGUCCAAAACUUCUUAACGACUUGCCUCGAAGGAAACAACCAAGAGAAUGGAACAAAAUUUCACCAAGGAAUGAAGAAGGAGAAGGAGAAGGAGAAGGGGAAGGAGAAGAAGAAGAAGAAGAUUGCCUCAACUGAGUUGAGAACAAAAUUGCAGCUACCACUGCUACCGAACCUUCUCAUGUGGACUCCGGUGCCACCUCCUCUGUGGUUUAACUGGUAUGAUGACUAAUUCAUGAAAUAUUUGAUAUAAUGCCAAAGUGCUAAUUUCCAAGUCCCCUUCAUUUAUUGAGUAGUAUAAGCUUGCACAAGUUCAAUUUCCUUGCGCUCGUAUCAGCAGCAGCAUCACAAAGUCCGGUCUUCCAAUUCCCAAUGAAAUGUUCUUUUUUAUUCUUUGCAGGGUUUUAUACCGAUAAAUUGUUGAUACUCCCUGCAAUAAGCUCCGACGAUCGUGGUGUACAUGGUCACAUCUAGCUCUCAGCCUGUGUCUUCCAAAUUCUUCAGCAAUCGAACGACUUUUCCAGUAUUGCCGGUUCUGCACAAUCCCUCAUCAUGGCUUGGCACGUGGUUAUAUCUACCUCGAUUGUCUAACCAACAUUUCAUCCGCCAAGCUCAUGGCUUUGGCGAUUCUCCCCUCUCCAACGAGCCCAUUGAUCAAAGUGUUAAAAGCUCGCAGUUGUGGGUUCAAGUCCAAGUUUGACCAUUUUACACAAAACUGAGGACCCGAGAUCGGAUCUUUUCAAUUGGCAGAGGUAAUUUAUCAAAAUGUUGGGAGUAGAACUGUUGAGAGUCGUUCCUUUCGAACCCAUCCGCUCGAUCAUGUCAAUGGCGACGGGGUAAUGCUUCAUCUUGGCGCCAACCCCAAGAGUUGGGCGAAACAGGGAGGUAAAGUCAAGAGGGUUCACUCGAAUUGUCCUCUCCAAGAAGAAUAAAGCAUCAGCAGCUUCCACCAAUCCACCAUUUCUUCAUUUGUUCACCACAAAGGUCACAAGUUCAGAUUGAUCCAUUGAAUCACUCACUCCAGCAGUGGAUGGGCAACCGUGGGAGCAACGUGAAAGAAAAUGGUUCGAUGCAAAGAUGGGAUGACGGAUGAGAAGUGAAAGGUUUAGCAAGAUCGCCAGAUUCUCGAACAAGACAGUGAAGAGUGGAAGUGAAAAUGGAUCGAUUCAUUCUCAUUAGUUUUGCCAAAUUCUCUCCUUCUGAGUUCCAACAAUCCACAAAUUGACGCAAUGACGUAUGGAGAGGAUGAUUAUUAGGCAGUUUAAUCACUGAAAUUUUAGAUGUCUGAUAACAACAUAGUUUUCGGUUCAAUCAUUGAAAACUACUUGAUUGGCAAACUAAACAUUUCUAGAAAUGCUCUGAUCAAUUCAUUCCCCUACUCGGCAAUUGAAGAGAGGUCAGGAUGCAUAAUCAUGCUCAGGAUGCAUAAUCAUGCUCUUAUACUGUUGUAAAAACAACUAUGAAAUCCACAUGUGGGACCAAAUCCGAAUGGAUUGAAAUCUCACACGACAAAAACGGCGAACACUAGCAGAGUUAAAGUAUCGCCUGUCGACAUGAACGUUUCAAGUCUUACUACUAUAGGCCCAAAAAAAUGAGAAAACAAUACUAACUAUUGUGUAUAGAACAUACUUUUGACAUUAUACCAACUUAACAAUUUGUUUUGGUUUAUUCGAUGCUUUCUUACUCAUCGAAUGAGCCAGGCAUCCUGGCUCACAUGUUGCAAAACGAAACUUUCUUAUAUGAAUUUUUGGUCUGGAUGGUUUACAUACUUUGUGUUUCGCAUAUGAAGUAUGUACUUCAAGAAGGAAAAUAAUAAUUAUUUUUUUGGCCCUGAUAACAUAGGAUUACUCAUCCAGUGGCUAAAACUCUAAACAUGUGAAACGGAUGACGAAGCUAAAUCAAUAAUUUCUCUUUGAAAUUGAAAGUGUCUUCUUUUUGUGACUAGCCUUUUCAUGCUUAGGUUAUCAUCUUGUCGUUCAACUGAACAAAGCAUGCAACUGAUUAGAAGUGCCGCUCUACGAGGACAUAGAAAGACAAUAGUUUACGAAGUAGAUAGGAACCCGAACGUUACGUGGAAAUAAUUGAUAAAGAGAAAAUGAGAAAGUCAUCCAUAUGACAUUCAUAACAGGUAAUUACCACUAGAUAUGCAAUAUUUGGGAGGAUAGAGUUUUCUGUUUUACAUUUCUAUUUCAAUGUGCCAUCAGAUUCGGUAAUUCUAGAUUUAAUUCAUAUUGUGAUUCCUCUCAUUCUUCAUCCUGAUCUCUUUUACGUCAUUUCAGUUGCUUCGUUCUUGUACACCAAACAUGCCCUUACGGUUUUCUAGUGUAGGCAUCGGUAGUUUGUUUUCUUCUAAGAUAUUUUUGCUUCUUGGAAUUAAUGGUGACCGAGUAGAGUUUUCUCCAUCUUGCGAUUUGGGUGUAUUGAGGUGCUUGUGUGGUGUGUUAUGGAAGGAAGUUUCACAUCGGAGACAUGAUGUAAUUGUCAACGUGAAUUUUGAUGAAAAUGCAUCUAGACCGUAGAGUAGUGGUAUAGGAACUCAGAAAAUCUUUGAUAGAUUUUCCUGUGGAAACUUGUCGAAGAAAGGUAUCUGACUUUGCGUUCUGAAUAUGUAUGUCAACAGCUAUUUCGCCCGAGGUAUUUGUUUUUCUUCGGAGAGUGUGUGCAUCUACCACCCUUUUCUUUUUCUUUGUUUUUUGUUUUUUGUUUUUGUUUUUUUUUUUUUGUUUUGGUUUUUUUUGUUUUGGUUUUUUUUUUGGUUUUUUUUUUUUUGUGCAUCCAUGUGGUAGAAAUUCUAUAUUGGCAAAUAAUAGAAGUGCUAUGCCAUAAUUUCAAAUUAUUGGGGGAAGUUAUGAGUUGUGCGUCCAGUAGUCCUUCCUCGAGGAUGGGAUAACGCGGGUCUUGAAUGAAGCUACUAAUCAAGAUCCUUUUGUUCCCAUGCACGUCAAGACGCAAAAACAAUUUCGACGUAUUUUCUAUGGGAUUGCGCAGCCACCUGAUCCCGUUGCAAAGAGAACUAGCAAAAGGUGAGGAGGGUUCAUUGAGUAAAGAAGUAAAUUUUCUGGUCAAAGAUGAGCAGUCACGGCAGGAUCGUGUGUAUCCCACGCACAUCCGGCUCAUCUUCUAGGGCAAUAAUAGAAGAAGAAAUUUCCAAUAUCAACACCUUACAAAUGGAAAAGUUGCCAAGUACAAGGAGAUAAUUCCGUACCUCUUAAAGAUGGUAUCCCGUAAAAAAGUUAAUCUCCACCGGGAUUGGUGUGGCGAUGGGCUCCAAUUACAAAGAGAACUAACAAAAAUAUCACAGCGGGUAGUCUUGCCUAUUUCGGGGGAGGAAGGUUUGUUAUGGUGGUCUUGGUCAGAGGGUUAAAAGGAGUAGAAGUGCCUCGUAAAAAGAAGCGCCAUCCUCUGCAAGAUUGUGCGUCUCCUUUGGGGCAAGAGACUGAAGUAAAGCUUUAUUUAUGACAUGUUUGGUAAUGUUUCUAAUUCUCAAAAUUUCUAUUCUUUUUAUUUUCGAAAAUAGAAAAAGAAUGGAAAUUUAUUAAGUGAUGUUAGUUAAUUUUUUGAUUUCUUGAAAUAGAGAAUAGAUUUGAAACAAAAAUAAAAAGUAAAAAAGAGUUAUUUAUUUAUUUUCGAAAAUAAUUUUUGAAACAAAUCAUUUUUUCUUCUUUUCUUUUUCUUUCUCCUCUUUUAUGUUCUUUACGUAGUGCCCAUGAGUUUGGGGGCAUGGCCAACUCCGAAGUUAAUGAAAAGAAGACUAAGGUUCACUCGUAAGCACAAGAGAUUAUAUAGUUGAGCUUGAGGUUGAGCUAAAGCUAAACUUUAACUAGUCUAGUUUUAGUGUAAGAACCUUUUUUGUGGGUAGAUAUUACAUCAAAGUACAUUGAAAAUCACUUAUUAGGUUAUAGUUUUGUUUAAUUAAUUGAACAAUUCUAGUGAAGAAAUGAAAAAAAUGACGUCAGCUUUACUCCUGAUGGGACAUAGAAAUUAACAAGCUGUUAGCACUUGAUUAAGGUCAUUUAUAAACGUUUUUUUUUCCUCCACUGCACCCCAGUACGUAUUUGGUAAUUGUAAUCCUAAAUAGAAUACGCAUUUUCUAUGUGGCCUUAUAGUGGGCAUAGAGCUUCGUAUGGUCUCUUCGAAGGUCUUCCCCAGUAAUUCAGUAGAAAUUGUUAUCAAAAGUUGCCUCUGGUGCUGUGUUUUGUCACUUUGUGUCCAAACUUCUUUUGUUCGUAUCCUACGGUGGCUUUUUGUUCAUGAAAAUAUGCUUUAUUUUAGCAAACUGUAAGCUAACAUGCUUAGAGAAAAAUGUUUUAGGAACCUACAGUGUUUUGGACUUAGCAUUAAAACCAAAAAUCAUACUGAUCCAGAAGCAAUUAUCGUACCGAAAGGAAAAAGAGAAGAGAAACGGAGAAUAUAGAUAACAAGUCUUGGUCAGGUUGUUUGUGGGGUCAAGAGGCAUCAUUCCUUCAUAUGACAUAAGAUGCUAGAGAUCUUGAUUUUGUCUGUCAUUUUAAGGCGCGUUUGGUAAUGAUUCUGUUCCCGAAAACAAAUUAUGAUCAGAAAUGAUUUUUUUUAUUUUUUUAUUUUGUUUCCGGAAACAGAUUCUGAGCAAAAAAAUAUGUUUGAUAAUUAUACAAAAUUUCUGGUUCUAGAAUAGAAAAAAAAAAACAUAAAUGCGUUUGGUAAAUGCAUAAAAUUUUAAUUUUAUUCUUUUUUAAUUACCUUUUUAGAUGAGUGUAACUUUGAUAUUGAAUUCUCAUAAACCACUCACUAAUAUAAUUGUCUUCUUUUAUGAGUGAAGAAAUCAUAUUAUAUUUUAUUAUAUUUUCAAUUUCAAAUAAUUCGAAUUUAGAAUUCUAUUAUAUUUAAAAUUCUACCAAAUCAUAGACAUUCNNNNNNNNNNNNNNNNNNNNNNNNNNNNNNNNNNNNNNNNNNNNNNNNNNNNNNNNNNNNNNNNNNNNNNNNNNNNNNNNNNNNNNNNNNNNNNNNNNNNNNNNNNNNNNNNNNNNNNNNNNNNNNNNNNNNNNNNNNNNNNNNNNNNNNNNNNNNNNNNNNNNNNNNNNNNNNNNNNNNNNNNNNNNNNNNNNNNNNNNNNNNNNNNNNNNNNNNNNNNNNNNNNNNNNNNNNNNNNNNNNNNNNNNNNNNNNNNNNNNNNNNNNNNNNNNNNNNNNNNNNNNNNNNNNNNNNNNNNNNNNNNNNNNNNNNNNNNNNNNNNNNNNNNNNNNNNNNNNNNNNNNNNNNNNNNNNNNNNNNNNNNNNNNNNNNNNNNNNNNNNNNNNNNNNNNNNNNNNNNNNNNNNNNNNNNNNNNNNNNNNNNNNNNNNNNNNNNNNNNNNNNNNNNNNNNNNNNNNNNNNNNNNNNNNNNNNNNNNNNNNNNNNNNNNNNNNNNNNNNNNNNNNNNNNNNNNNNNNNNNNNNNNNNNNNNNNNNNNNNNNNNNNNNNNNNNNNNNNNNNNNNNNNNNNNNNNNNNNNNNNNNNNNNNNNNNNNNNNNNNNNNNNNNNNNNNNNNNNNNNNNNNNNNNNNNNNNNNNNNNNNNNNNNNNNNNNNNNNNNNNNNNNNNNNNNNNNNNNNNNNNNNNNNNNNNNNNNNNNNNNNNNNNNNNNNNNNNNNNNNNNNNNNNNNNNNNNNNNNNNNNNNNNNNNNNNNNNNNNNNNNNNNNNNNNNNNNNNNNNNNNNNNNNNNNNNNNNNNNNNNNNNNNNNNNNNNNNNNNNNNNNNNNNNNNNNNNNNNNNNNNNNNNNNNNNNNNNNNNNNNNNNNNNNNNNNNNNNNNNNNNNNNNNNNNNNNNNNNNNNNNNNNNNNNNNNNNNNNNNNNNNNNNNNNNNNNNNNNNNNNNNNNNNNNNNNNNNNNNNNNNNNNNNNNNNNNNNNNNNNNNNNNNNNNNNNNNNNNNNNNNNNNNNNNNNNNNNNNNNNNNNNNNNNNNNNNNNNNNNNNNNNNNNNNNNNNNNNNNNNNNNNNNNNNNNNNNNNNNNNNNNNNNNNNNNNNNNNNNNNNNNNNNNNNNNNNNNNNNNNNNNNNNNNNNNNNNNNNNNNNNNNNNNNNNNNNNNNNNNNNNNNNNNNNNNNNNNNNNNNNNNNNNNNNNNNNNNNNNNNNNNNNNNNNNNNNNNNNNNNNNNNNNNNNNNNNNNNNNNNNNNNNNNNNNNNNNNNNNNNNNNNNNNNNNNNNNNNNNNNNNNNNNNNNNNNNNNNNNNNNNNNNNNNNNNNNNNNNNNNNNNNNNNNNNNNNNNNNNNNNNNNNNNNNNNNNNNNNNNNNNNNNNNNNNNNNNNNNNNNNNNNNNNNNNNNNNNNNNNNNNNNNNNNNNNNNNNNNNNNNNNNNNNNNNNNNNNNNNNNNNNNNNNNNNNNNNNNNNNNNNNNNNNNNNNNNNNNNNNNNNNNNNNNNNUGGUUUUCCGAAGAGCAGCUUCCUGUAGCCAACACCAAAACCACACAGAAUUACUGGGAAAAUCUAGUUUUGAGAAAACAAGAGGUUUUCAGCGGGGGUCAGAGCUGUUUCCAUAUAAGUAUAUAGAGGUUUUGAACAGGGGUCAGAGCUGUUUUCAUACAUAUAUACAUAUAUAGAGGAUACAGUAGAUCUCUGCUCUUGAGACAAUUUAGGACAUGCGGCAAAGGAGCUAUCAAGAAAAGGUACUUACUUGCUUUGGCCAGGAUGAAGAUAACGAGUUCUGCAGCUCCAUGUGUCUAGCAGCAACGUCCUUAAACCCCUCUUCCAACUUAACUUCAUGGUGCUUUUUUUCCUCAAGCGAACUCACCAAUCUGUCCAGAAAUCUACAAUUCGGAGAAACAAAGGAGUUAUUAAAGUAUGUUCUCCUUUGUAUAUAGGAAAUAGAAAGUAGACUGGCACCUCUCCAACUUCCUAUAGUGAAAGUGACGAAUUUCAUACACUUUGAAAAACUGAAUAGAAAUUGCAAUGAACAGACCAUCAAUCUGAAAGAAUAUCUGAAAGCACCUUUUGGAGUAUCAUGAUUAAGUCUUGAGUUUUCCUGUUUGUCAGCAGAGAAAUAGCCAGUGAAACGUCUGAAACCAUUGUCUCGAUGGCAUCAGCCGCAAACUGCUGUAGAACAAAGGGAGCAACUGACUGGACUUGAUGCUGCAAAGAUAUGUAUCUGAUUCCUCAACUCUGCUAUCGCUGAUGGAGAAGGCUUUGAUCUGAUGAAAGUACCAAAUUAGGCAAGAACAAGAGAUGUUGUCCAAAACAAUGUCAGUACAAUCUUUGCAAAAUACAAUAAAUCUGGGAGGUGACCAUGAGAUGAACCAUAAAUUGGGAAAGAACAAUUGAACGACGCAACAAACUAAACACUAUCUCAUAGAGAUCAUCGAGAAUCUUAUUUCUAUACUCUGUAUCUAGAAGCUGGCUUCGACCUUCCUUUGUUUCUGCAGCUUGUGAAAUAGUUGGUGAAUUAACUGCACCCACAUUGGGCAAGCUAACAUCAUCAAUGACAUCAACUUGAGGUGUCUCAACACUAACAUCCCAAGAUAUCUCUGACACCGAUGCGUCCUGUCCAGCAUUGCUUGGUUGAAUUUGAUUAUGCUCGACAGCUUCAUUGACCUCACUUGCCGUGACGAUUUCAUAAGUACCAAAGCCAUUACUGCCGUCAUCAGUUUCUUCCACAGUCCCAAUAUCCCAAUCAAUUGCAGCAUUGUCUACCGAGAUAUCCCAGUCAAUAUUAUCUGCAGCAGCAUCCACAUCACCUCCUAUCUCAUUGAAGCCUGAUUGAGUAUUUGCAGAGUCUGUGAUAUCAGAGACAGCAGAAACAUUCAAAGAUGGUGGAUUUUCACGAAUGUCUAUCAAGUUUGGUACAACACUCUUAGGACAUAUCUGCAAACAUGUCUCAAUAAAUUAAUCUUUACAUCAGACCGAAAACCAAUAAAUGGAUCUNNNNNNNNNNNNNNNNNNNNNNNNNNNNNNNNNNNNNNNNNNNNNNNNNNNNNNNNNNNNNNNNNNNNNNNNNNNNNNNNNNNNNNNNNNNNNNNNNNNNNNNACUUCCAGAAUUCUGCUAAAUGUGCUCGGAAGUGACUUUGCAGUUUCCAAAAGUUCAAACCUCACAUUUGUUCCCUGAAAAGCAGACAUGGAUGCCCUUUAAUCCUAUCUAAAGGAAAGGUUGCUAUUCUUUAGCUUGGUAGAAGCACACACCCAAUAUCUUAAUAGACUAGAUUCAAAAGUUUAACCUGCAAACCAAGCUCUUGACAAGCCUCCACAUAUUUAGCUGCUGACAGAGCUGCAUUUCUUUUGAUAUCAACUUCUCUACGCUCUAGCUCUGCUAGUUGCUGCUGAAUCUUCUGAACUUGUUUCCUCUGAUAGGGGCUUCACAUCAUAUUAAUUAUCAAUGAUAUGAUUAUGCCUAUCACAGAAAAACAUAUUGCAAUGUACUCUACACAUCUUAUCCUCCCGGCAAAACAUAUCAUAAUUGACAUUUUGGAUCAUUAUCUGAGCAGCUUCGCCUAAAAAUAUAUGAUCUUUCUCGAAAGAACAAACAAUUGUCUCCCAAGCACCCUGCCACAAUUCUAAAUCCAAUGCGAGAAUUAUCCUUUAGAUCACAGAAGAGUGUGUGUGAGCGUGAGAGAGAGAGAGAGAGAGAGAGAGAGAGAGAGAGGUCUUACAGCGGCACCUGAUAGCCAGCCAGAUCGGCGUGGGCGCCCGCCACUCGAGCCUGGUGGCGCUCCCACCAGCCGUCGCAGACGACGAACGAUGGCGAUGGUGAGCAAGCCGUCACCCAAAUCAGCCGACAACCACCCAUAGCUGCGAGUGAAGGGAACUCACCUUGAACGAGCAGUUUCAACGAUGAAGAAGCAGCAGUCGCCGUCGGUCGCAGUUCUUGAGGAGAGAAUGACUUUUGUGACGUAAGAAGAAAAAGAAAGGGUUUGAGCAGAGGAGAGGAGAGAACGCAUGGGAGAGAACGUCGAGCAAAGGAGAGAAGAGUUCCACUUUUUUUUUUUUUUUCGAAACAAGAAUUAUUUUUUUUUAUUCUUGAUUUUACUCAAAAUUGUUUCCAAAAGUAAAAAUUUUAUCAAGCGCGAUUCUGUUCCCAAACUAAUUUUAGGAACAAAAAAUCAGAAUCAGAUACUGUUUAGAUGGUUACCAAACAAUACCUUAGUAGCUAAUACUCGCAAGGUUGAUUCACUAGCUGUCUACAUGGACUUUGAUUCAAUUUCUUUGAAGCUCAAGAUAAGUCCAAGUUUUGAGCCAAGCUCGAAUCUACAAGUAUUAAGUCGAUAUAUCGAUUGCCAAUUUAUUUCCUUUGUUGCUUAAAUAUUGCCUAAGUAUUUGUUUGAAAUUGACGAAGUAAUACUUUUUUUUCCUUAAUUUACCUUUCUACUUUUAUAUUCCUUUUCAUCUGACGAUCUCCAAAAAAAUUGAAAAAAUAGCAUUUGCAACACUACUUUACUUUCUGGCCAGAAAAAGAAAAUGGAUAAUUAUGUACACCAAAGGAAAAUUAGGAUCCGUAAGGUAAUUUACUAACAAACUGAAAAUAGACAAAUCAUUAGACAGGAUUCGGUCCCAUCUUCCCUUCUCAUCUGGUCACUGUCGAGUGUCGAUCAUUCGACUUAAUUCUUGCCGUUCUUUAGGUGGCUUUGGGUUGUCCCCAAGCAUUUUGCUAGCGAGCCGAACUCGAGUCAAGAAAACAAUACUCGAUCAAGUUCCGAUUUUUGAGUGCCACGAUCCGACUCGAAUACACGCAUUUGUGCACAUUUUCUGUGGCAAGUUUCGCCAUUACGAGCGAGACAGAUAAUGACAUUCGGGGACGAGUCCCACAUAGGAAAGCAAAUGGUCGCAGCGAAACGAAAGGAUACCGAAGUCAGAAAAGCAUAUUAUACACAUUGCACGGGCUAGUUAGCUUCAAACUUGCGAACAAGGGGUGUCAAAAAAACCCGACCCGAACCGACCCGACCUAAACACGACCCGAACACAAAACAAGUUGAGUAUGUGUUUCGGGUCUUAGAAUUGUUCGGAUCACAUAUACAGAACAAGUAAAGAAAUAUGUUUCGGUUUGGGUCAGGGUCGAACAAUGUUUCGACCCGAAACAUGUUAAUUCCAAAUUCCAAACAAGCUGAGAAACACAAACACGUUCUGAUCUUUUACCGCUGAGAAACACAAACAAGUAAAGAAAUCCCUCGUAGUCUUCGGCUCCGCCUUCUUCUCCGACGACUGCGCCUUCUCGUGGAUUCUGCUGCCGCCCUCCGAUCGACGCGCCGCCGCCUCGCAGUCGCCGUCGCCGUCGCCACCCUCGUCUCAACGCCGGAACCCAAGCCGCUGCCAAAUCAAUCGAUCGUCGCCGUCCGUCGCCGAAAACCCUUCCCUAUCCCCUGUUAAGGGUCGAGCUGAAAUUUUGACGUUUAGGGUUCGAGUUCUAUGGGAGCUGUUGUUCCUGGAGAUUGGACAAGUCUUUGACCGUGGAGGUACGCCAUUCAUGCUUCGUCUCUGCGCAUAGCUUUUGCUUCUUGAAUUCGCCACCGUUUCUUGCUUUUUUUCCACCAAUGGCUCCGCCUCUUGGGUCGAGUCCACUCAGUCCAGGACAGCAGCACCGGGCUCUGUACCCAUCUGCGCGCGCCGGGUUCCCCUCUCGUUCCGUCCUCGGUUCGGGUUCUUGGGUGUGUCGUAGAUCGGUUCCUCUGCUUGAAACGCGAUUCUCUCGCGAUUGCGAUCGAGCGGACGAUAGUCAUGCAAAUGUUCAAUUAGAUUGUUUAGAGAUGUUAUUUGAGAUCAAGAUCGUCUAUUAGCUGUAUUUCAGUAUAAAUAAGUCCAAGUCUCUAACUCAUUAGCUUUCUUCAUUCAAUAAACAUGAUUGGGUUCUUCAUAAACCAUUAAUAUCUUUUUUUCUGUUCCAGCUUCAACUCAACUCUAUUUUAGCCCUGGUUUUUGGUCUUAUGCGAUCUGUCGCUUCUCAACUAAGUCACUAGUAUAGGAGGUUCUUGUUAGAGUUAUUCCUACAUCAUGUUAGGAGCUUAAUAUUUGUACUGGGGCUCAAUCCAUGUGUAUCGAGAGUGAGUACUAAGAGAUUCCACCGUGUGAAAUAGCUUGCAAAAAUCAGCAACAUUUACUGACUUUGAUCUUGCUGAUAAUAGGACAGGCAAGCUAAUUGAAACAUCCUGCUAGAUCAUGCAUCAAAAUAGCACAGAAAUGCACAGAAGAGAGCCGCCUAUAGGAAAUAAUGGAACUUUAAGAAUACUGCCACGCACACUAGUCAAGAAUACCACUUCCCCUCUGCUUAAUGUAUGAUUAAUGUGCUUCCGCAAUGAAAGAAGCAGAUAAAAGACAUUCUACAUACACAGUAGCAGUAGGAGAAUAUAGUCAAACGCUUUUUAGAUAUAAAAUGCAAGAGAAAUCAAUAGAACCAUUGGGGAGACAGGGUGAGUAGGUUAAGUUCUAUUAUGCAUUCAUCUGUAAAGUUUAAGAGAAAUUUACAGAUGUAAGUGUGGGUUUAUAGUGUCUACAGAUUUUAAGUUUUGGGUUGAGACAGGGUGAGUACUGAAUCUUUCCCCAAUCUGGUUGACCUUGCUGUGUUUGAACUGGUGCAUGAAGCUUGUAAUGGAGGGCAUGCUUUGCACCAUAAUGUGCGAUUCCCUUAUAUGCUAUAAUGAUGCAAUACAAUGUGUUUUUUACAUUGGAAUUUUGUUCUAUCACUAGAUCUUUUAUUGGCUUUGGUCACGACAUAAUAUUGUCUUUCUGAGCAGAGACCAGCGACACACUUAAACUCCAUCUCAAGGACAUUGGGUUAGAAUUUUCUUGGCAAAAAUUGCACUUGCAUCUGGAGUUUUAGCUUUCCUCUAGCUCUACACCUGUAUCCAAGGGUAUGUCUCUUUUAAUCAGGUUCAGUAAUGGCAUUUCCAAGUCUUGGUUGAAAGCAAUUCUUUGCUGUUCAUCCUUCCCUGGAUUUAUAGAAGAUUGGUGUACAGCCAUUUAUCAAACUUUCGAUGUCUUGUCUCUUCUAUUUGUCUCAGCAAAUAUCUCUUCCUUUAGGAAAGAGUGAGAAAGAUUAUAGUUACAUAAUUAUUUUCUUGUAAUUUUUGCAGGCUAAUGAUAAUUUGCACCCAGAAUUGGAGGAAGAUGUUCGAGAGGAAUGUGUGAAACUUGGCCUGUGGAUUCCGUAAAGGGAAAAUUUAGAGCUCUAUCGCCGUUUUGCCAAGAGUCAAGCACCUCCAGUAGAGGUAACCAGAACCAAUGCUGCCGUUCCUGAUGCAACAUCUGAAGUUUUGAGUGAUGAACAGCUCGCUUUGUUAGUCCACACGUUAUGGGUAUUGAGUGGGCUGAUGGAACUCCUAUGAGAUAUCAAUAUGAAGAUUUGUGUGAAAAAGAUUGAGGGCUUGUGGUUUUGUUGCUGCAGUGUAUGGUAGUAAUUCAAUUCGCAAUUAGGGGGUAGUUGAUGACUAUGGAAACAUGACUGUUGCAUUUACUGUGAGGCCAAACUCAAAGCUUGCAUGUUCUUCUCGAUUGUGGGUCGGGGGUCCUGGGAUACUGAUCUUGAUUGCUGAUUCAUGGAAUAAAUUCUCAGUUAAAUCAGAGUUUAGAACAUUUAAAAUUAGUCCAGUUGGAGCUGUGUGCUUAUCUGGUGUGGGUCUUUUUUUUCGUGGAUUGGACCGCGGGACAUAUUGCAUAGCAGUCGGCUAGUUCAGGUCUUUAAAAGGGAGAAAAUUUUGCAAGAUAGCAUUUUUGGUUGUCCAAGCAUAUAUAAGCAAGAAAUCCCAAUUACCAAGAGCUUCGUCCAUAUUCAAUGGUAUCGAUUCUGCCAUUAGACUAGCAUUCAGGAGCUCGCAUUUAGCUUGAUACGUGUUGAGCGAUUUUCUAAAUGGUAAUACCUAGUUGAAAAACAAGCAAAACAAAAUGAGCGAUAUUCUUAAUUAAGUAUUUGGACUUUACAAAGACGCAGAAAAACAAAAAAUAAAAAAAUGACUAAGUGUAACUCGUAUUGGGUUAAAAAUGCUUACAUUUUAAAUGGAACAAAUAGAAAAAAGAAAAUCCAAGACUGGAUGGGUUAGGUACCCACUAUAAAAAUAAUGACAUUUUAAAUGAAAAAAAAAAAAAAGAGAGGAAAACACAUAAACCCGACCCGACCCGAAUUUCCGAUGCAAGUCUAAUGUGUUUCGGGUCGGGUCGGGUCGGGUAACAUCAAAACCCGACCCGACCCAACCCGUUUGAUCCUGCCUAGCUUUGUAUAGGACCCAAAACCUAGAUAUGUAAGAAAUAUUGAUACUAUAUAUAUACAAAAUAUAUAUUAUGGAAUAGAAAGAAAUUCGAUAUAUAUUGUUAUUUUAAAAUUUUCAUUAUAUAUUAGAAUAAAAAUAUUAUUUAUAUUUAAUUUUCAUUAAUUUAAAAAGUUUGUUAUUUGAGAAAAAUAGUUUUUGUACCAUAAGUAUAAGAAAUUCUAUCUACCUUCCUCAUACUUUCUAUAGGAAAAUUUCAUCUUGACUAUGUUUUUAUAUAUCCAACUUUAUUCUAUCUUAAUACACUAAAUACGAUACAUUACACUAUCCUAUCUUGAUUUUUUAAUUAGGCUCAUUCAAUUAUCGGUCAAUCGUAAGAUUGAGCAUUCAGAACUAACUUUUCUACCGAGUGCAAUGGCCAUCUGAUUCUUGGGGUAGCUUCUACUAUAUAUAGCCCAGACUUGAGUCUCUCUUCGCUUGGAGCGAAAAAGGUGUAAGUCCUCUGGCUUGGCCACAGCGGAUGAUGGAUAUCUUGGCCACAGGGUCAUAUUCAUUAUUCAGGCAUCAGUGCACCUACUAAAGCAUGCUCAGCCACUUGCAAAAUUCUCAUCAUACGGUCAACAGCCAUAGCUACAUUACACCGGACGUAUAUACCAUGCAUGAUAAGCAACCAACUUCUUCUUUUCAGAUGAGACAACGGCAUUUUUCUUCUCUGGUCCGGCCAUGAUUCUCUCCAGAACAUUGGAUAUCUCACGUUUAGCCACGUCUCCAGUUCACAUGUGCUCUGGCGUUUAGCCCCGUCUCCAGACGAAGCAUCUAAGCUAACCAGAGGCUGCCACCUCCAACUUCCUGGGAUCGUAGAUGAUAUCCAAACAGGAGUCUCCAGGUGGGCAUCCCUACCCGAGUCAACCUGAUGAGGAACUUCCAAGUAUCAUUGACUAUCCACAAACAUAUGUACCUGUAUAUUAUGAAAACCAUAUACAAUAUGAAGCAUAAGAAGAAAGACGGUCUUGUAUGGCAUCCGCCAUAUAAGAGAAGAUAAAUACGACUUAAAAGCAGCAAACAUGCAAUAUGACUUUGCCAUCACCUGUCUUCCUUGAUCAAUAUCACUACAUAUCUUUGGAGCAAAAAAUAUGGUAUUGGAUGUCGAAACCUUAUUCUCAUUAGAUGAAGAAGACCCAUCCCAAAUAAGUUAUAGUCAACCUGCCAUUAAUUAACCUCAAGUGCAUCAAGAAACACACAUAUGAAAGAUAGCAAGUCUGGGCAUGAGGGCACUAAUGACCCAUCCUUGCAAACUCACCCACUAUAGAACCAGAGAAAGGCAAAUUUGGAUAAGAUAGAAAGACAAACUGAUGUCGAGCAGAUAGGGAAUAUGCGAUUCAUGCGGCUGCAAACUUCUGUCAAAUACUGCCCCUCCCUAGAAAAUGAUGUUGGACCAUGAAUAAAAAAGAAAUAGACAAACAAGAUGACUAUAGGCACGUGUAUUGCAUGACACAUUUUUUUUUUGUCAAAACAUAUAUAUUUAUUACAAGCUUUUUUUACAAGAAAACCUUCCUCAUAGAAGAUAACCUUUUUGGAACAAAUCCAAAUACCAUCCCAAUUUUCAUGCACAUACCAAUUUUCAUCCACUACUUUUAAAACCACCAAUUCAAGAGUGUUGUUAAUAUUGAGAUGGGGGAGGGGGAGGGAGAGAGAGAGAGAGAGAGACUGGCAAUAGAGGUUUAAGACAGCUAGAGCGCAGCCAAAGAUGGCAACUGGUGGCUGUGAAGCCUUUGAGUGGUGUGAUUGGUGGAGAUGAUUAGGUUCGGGUUUAGAAUUUGGAAAUGAUUUUGGGAUCUUUUCUAAAGUUUGUUGAAGGAAGGGCAAUUUGGUCUUUGGACUAUGCAGUUUGGGCCUAAGAUGCAAUUUGCGAAUUUCAAAAUUCAAGUAUGUAAAGUGAUUUUUGCGUGAAAUCUUAGCCUGGUAUUCAGAAGUUUGCCUUUUUUUUUUUACCAAAACUAAUAUCUCAAUUUACAAGGUUUUCUUUCGAGAAAACUUCCUUGCAUCUCAGAAAAUGUUCAACAGAACAAACUCCAAUGGCCGCAUUAAAUGACUAGUGGACUUCCACUAAUACAUUUAUAUUACUCUGUCAAAGAACAAAAUAUAUGCUAAUUUUCUCAGGCCUCUCAAUAAAUCAAAACUUAAUUGCCAAAUUUUCGCCCAUAUAUUUCUGGGAUGCCCCAAAUAAUAUAUGAAUAGCAAAUGCUUUCUUUUUAUCAUAAAACAAAAAUUUAGUUAUCAGGCAUGCACACUCCAGAUCGAAACAAUGAAUACACUUGAAGGCAUGCAAUUGAAGAAGCCAAAGAUGACAAGUACCAAAUCUAGAGCAAAAUGGUGAAAACUCUUUAGUAUUCCAAAGCAAGACCAAUUCCAAUGAGGCACUAUUGAUAGAGAAAGAAGAAUACCAAAAGAAGCUUGGCAGCACGUGAGACAUCAUGUGGAUGAUAGCUAAAGCUUCAGUCAAGGUGCCACAAAGAUGUUGCUAUGGAAUAUUCAGGCAGAAAAAUAUAGAUACACAAGCUGUCAUUUAUGGAUACAGGUAUAUCUUGACAAACAGCUCUUCAGAUGCAUGAUAACCAUAAAAUCUCCUUGCUCGUACAAGGCUGCAACCAUGCACGUGUUGCCGUUUUACGCCAGUAUUGCCUUUGAGCUGCAGUAAAUCACAAAACAAUCCUUUCAGAUACAUACUAGCAAGUGGAUCGCACAAUAAGUUAAAGCCAGGACUUAAUACUUUUGAAGAAUGACAAAUUAUACCUUCAACGCUUUCUCCAUGGCUAGAGAGACCCCCUGUGCAAUUCAACAGUGACCAAUUAAUUCCAUGCUAGUAGCAGAACAGUAAGAGACUAGUUUAAAAAGGGACAUGAAUUCGAAAUAUAUAAAAGCACGAAUAAUUCAAACAAAUUGAGAUAAAGUCUACAGCAACGUUAUAUUACGAGGACAUUGACAAAAACCGGUCAAGUAAAACCACAGCCAUUUUGCCAAAAGAACAAAUCACCCUGAAAACACACAAGCUACAUGCUAGAGGUAUUGUGAACUGAGAGAAACGUUGAUUAAUUUCUUCAAACCAGGAUAUGCACAAAGCAGCCCAUGCAUCUGUAACACGCACAAGUACCUUCAGAUGUUGGAUGGAUAGGUAUAUCUGUACAUGGUACAUACAAAUAGGGUAAAGCCUACAAGAAAAAAAAAAACAUGAUUUAGAACCAGUAUGAAAAAAAUGUACAAGAUAUUGCUGUCUCAUAAGCUAUGCCAUGGACAAGCAUCAUGUACUUUUCACAAUAGAUUGCUUGGAGCCACGUAAGCUCCUCAUUUGCUAUUUAGACAUUCAACUAGUGUCCAGCCAGUCAAAGAAAGUAGACUGUUGCCAAUAUGGUGCCUCUUGCGAGCAGAAAGGGAAAGAAACUUUCUGCAUCCUGAAAUUGCCUUUUAUCUUGAAGCAAUACCUCAACUCAAGUCUGUAAACCCAUGCUGGUUUAAAUUCUUCAUCGACAGAAAGGAAGUUACUUUCAUUGCUCCACAGCUCAAGGGGGGUAAAGCAAGUACUUGGAACAAUUAAAAAACUACAAAUAAACAAGGACUACACUCACCUUAUGCACAUGUAAGCAAGUUUUUGACCAGCAGGAGUUGAACCAUCUACUCUUAUUACAGGAACCUCAUUCACUUUUUCACCUUCAUCAAUCAAUCAUGAACAAGAUUAUGAACAUACAAAAGUAAAUAUUUGUAGCUAAAUUUCUAGCUACUGUAUAGUAAAUGUAACUGUUAUUUUUGCAGGUUAAAGGUCAAAUCCUCGCACAGAAUUUUAAAGAUUGACAUGGCACUACGCCACAUAAAAACUGUAAGUGCACCUUCUUCUCUUUGCAUCAGCAACAAAAAAGCAAAUUUCAAAUACGUCAUCAUCAAGACAACUACGCUCUCCAAACAAAAAGUAAUCUUCAGUCUAGGGAAGAAGACGGUGAGUUGAACAAUGCCCACCAAAUAUUAAGAAAAAUAUUCAAUACUCUCUGGAUUUUCUAAGCAACCAAACCAAUCAUGUAAUAAAUUAUGAAGACACCAAUGUGCUGAUUCCAUGACUCUGUGCUACAAUUUUAAUCAAUCUUUACGUAUAUCCAUGCCAAGCAAUUACUUAACAUCAAUCCAGCAGCCCCAACAAGAAGUCCGAAUAAGACAUCCACGGACAAACUGAUAAGUUCUUCAUAACAGAACACUAAGCCAAACAUAAUCCUUGCACUCAUAAGAAAGCAAACAGACUUUUGUCUGCAAUGCAGUAACUGAUUAAGUCCUACUAUAGCAAACAAAAUUAACAGCUUCCAGAUUCAAACCACAAGCUUCUCUGGCAUUUCCUACUCACCACUAGAUUCCAUAAUCAAAGAAGCGAACAUAAAAAUUAUGCUUCGAAAGAUGAGAGCAGAUUUUCAUUCUUUUUUUUACCGAAGACGCUUUACAUACAUUUUAUUACAAUAAAAACAUAGAAUAACUUCAAAAGCAUCGCUGUUCCUAGGAGAAGACAACAUCAAGACCCAUUCUAAGACUCCAAUUAAGCCACAGCUCCAGGAAGCAGCAAGACCCAACAACAUUACUGCGUGGCAACUACCUAUUACCAUCACGGGCACAGUAAAAAAACGAGUCUUUCCAUCUGUUUUCGUGCUUCCCCUAAUGCCCAUAUUCCACAGUCUCAUUCUUUUCUACUAAAGACACGUUAGAUACAAAUUAUUACUAUGAAAACAUAGAAUAACUUCAAAAGCACCGCUGUUCCUAGGAGAAGACAACGUCAAGACCCAUUCUAAGACACCAAUUCAGCCACAGCUCCAUGAAACGGCGAGACCCAACAAAGUUCCCACCCGCGGCUACCUGUUGGGUAUAACGGAUCCCCAAAAACCGGAUUCGACACUAAAUCGAACCCCUAAACCAAUGCGGAAGACGAGCCCGAGAAAAACAACACGUAUCACCGAUCCUAAAGCACACCACGGAUUCGAGCGUACCUUUUAAGCCACAGAUUAAACACCGACGCCGAUAGAGGAAGAGAAACUUGGCCCUGCUCGAUCCGAUGAAACAAAUUCGCCUUUGCGCUUCACCGUUUUCUUUUUGGGAGAGAACAAGAGAGAGAGAGCGUGAGAGGAAAAAGACGUACGUUCGUUUUGUUCCAACAAGUGUCUUCUCUCUCUCUCUCCUCCCUUUUAUACGUCCCUCCAUCCACGGGCCCUAUUCCCGUGGGCCGGGCUUUUUGGGUCCAACUUGGGCGAAUGGGCCUUAAGCCCAUCGCUAAUAAAACCAUCAUCUUCCACUCGCACAUGGUGGGCCGAACAUGAUUCUCUUUACCUCUCUUCAACAUUCAUACCGGUGAAUAAUCCAUGCGACCAGCAUAUUUUGAGAGCUCGUUGCUAUACAUCUGUUAGAAAUAUAUAGCAGCUCAUAAUGGGCGUCAUGCUUUGAGUAGAUUUAAUAUGCAGUACCCUAAAUCGAUUGAUCACAUUAAUAUCUCUCUUGAUCUCUUUUAUACAAUGAUAUAUAUAUAUAUAUAUAUAUAUAUAUAUAUAUUGUAUUCACAAUUAUAAUUAUCACAAAGACAGUCAUAAUUGGUCGACCAGUGAAUACAAAACUACAAUUUGAUUCUGCAAAAUCGAUCUUCCUCUUUCCUUCAAACUCUCAAUUUCAGUUCAGCUUGCUUUUCUAGAAAUGUCCCAUUAGAUCGAAUCAACUCAUGACCAUUGGCAACAACCUAAGAUAGCAAACACUAAAUAGAAAUCUUGAGAAUAAGUAAGAGUCAUGAGGGGACUUAAAUUGAGGAACUCUUUUCCUCAAGAGUCUCACACGUCAUAAAAGUUGAGAUCAAACUUUUUGCCACUCUUAUUGGUCGUCUCAUGCAUAUAUAGUAUGAAAUACGUAUUACAGUAUUAACUCCUUUCUCAUGGAGCGUAUGUCUACAUUUUUCAAUACCGUACAGAUGAUAGUUCAGACAUACCCAAUGUCUAACUUGAGUUCACGUACCUACUCAUUCACAAAAUUCAACAGAACUCACAUCUGGCAUCUUAGACAGAUAAACUAAAAUAUGUGGGGUAUUUUACUUUCGGACAUCACAAGCAUUAUGUCCUCAUCUUAACACUUAGUUAAGGCGACAUGCGUAUUUUAAGCUUGAGCUCUCGAUUAUCACAUAGAUAAUAAGCUUAAAUACAGUCUCAUCUCUAUUUAUCACACAGUAAAUAGAGGCGAUUACCCGUGCGAGUGGGCUAAUCUUUUAUCUGUCCGACAUACUUCCUCAACUUAUAAUAAUACACUGAGUAUUAAGAUGCAUAAAGAUCAUACAAGAUUCAUAGGCAUUAAUCAAUGAAGAAACAAAAUUUCAUAUAUGUGAACAACUCAGGGAAAUUACAAUUCAGUACAUUAGACUCUACGCAAUCCUAGAGAUUUUACAUGACCACAAAACACAUCUCUAGGUAUUGGCUUUGUCAUAGGAUCUGCUACCAUUCUAUGCGUAGAUAUGUACUGUAAGUUCACAUCCUUUCAUGCAACUAUAUAUUUUACAAAGUUAUACUUGGUAUCUAUAUGUUUGGUCUUGCCAUGAUACUUUGGAUCUUUGGUAAUAAUUGAUUUGUAGCUUUCUCAAUAACACCUAAAUGAUUCAAGAAUCUCUUAAGCCAAACUCAUUCUUAUACCGCUGCUGUAAUGUCAUGAACUCAGCUUCCAUCGUGGAUAAGGCUAUGCACGUUUGUUUCUUACUACUCCAUGAUAUGGCGCCAUUGUUCAGUAAGAAAGCAAAUCCUGAGGUAGAUUUUCUUUCAUCUAAAUCUCCUCCCCAAUCAGCAUCUGAAUAGCCUUCAAGUCGUAGAUCAUUUCCUUGGUAAUUCAACUUGUAAUCAGCAGUUCCCUUCAGAUACCUCAGUAUUCUCUUAACGGCUUUCCAAUGUGCUAGAUCUGGAUUGGAUUGAUAUCUACUCACCAUUCCAACUGCAAAACAUAUGUCGAGUCUUGUACACAUCAUAGCGUACAUCAAGCUCCCAACAUCACUAGCAUAAAGAAAGUGUUUCAUUUGUUCCUUCUCUUGUGGAGUCUCUGGACACAGUUUAUGGCUCAAUCCUUCACCUUUUGCAAUAGGAGUGUCUAUGUGUUUACAAUCUUGCAUACGAAAUCGUUUAAGAACCUUAUUUAUAUAUGUUUCUUGUGAAAGAGACAACGAUCUCUUCAAAUCUUUACUCCAAGAAUGUAUGCAGCUUCACCCAUGUCCUUCAUCUCAAAGUUGGAAGACAACCAACUCUUGACAGUAUUAACAAACUCCAUAUUGCUUCCGGCAAUCAGUAUAUCAUCAACAUAUAAUGAUAUGAUCACAAAUUGAUCAUUGGAUCUUUUGAUAUAUACACAAUGAUCCUCAUCAAUCAUUAUAAAAUCAUAUGCCAUUAUGGCAUUAUGAAAACGUAUAUACCAUUGUCUCGAUGACUGCUUAAGGCCGUAUAUCGAUCUCAAAAGUCGACAUACCUUUUCUUCUUGGCCUUUCACUAUGAAACCAGCAGGUUGUUCCAUAUAUAUUUCUUCCUUUAAUUCUCCAUUGAGGAAAGCAGUCUUUACAUCCAUAUGAUGUAACUCAAGAUCCAUGCUAGCUACUAUUGCCAGAAUAAUGCGAAUCGAGGUAAAUCUCACUACAGGAGAAAAUGUAUCUUCAUAAUCAAUUCCUUCCUGUUGAUUAUACCCCUUCGCCACAAGGUGAGCCUUAUGCCUUUCUAUCGAGCCAUUAGCCUUUCGCUUUAUUUUGAGAACCCACUUGUUCCCAAUAGCUAUGCGUCCUUUUGGAAGAUCAACCAGUUCCCAGACUUGGUUUGAUUUCAUUGACUCCAUUUCCUCUUCCAUUGCAUGAAUCCAUUUUUCCUUACUAGGGCAAUUCAGAGCCUCAUUAAUAUUUCUUGGCUCAUCCUCAUCUUGUGGAGCAACCAUAAAAGUUUCCCCUUCAAUGCCAAAAUGUCGAUGGGGAAUACUUUGGCGACUUGUUCGCCGUAUGGGAGAUUGUACACUUUGCACAUCAUUCCCUAUCAUGCUCCCACUUGGAUUAGGUAAUGAUGAUGUCAUCUCAUCAUGUGGUUGCAAUUGAGAAUGAGUUGAAUUCAAUUCAUCACUUCUCAUAUUACUCCCACUUGGACGAACUCCACUAACAUCAUUAUCCUAAUCCAAGGUCUCAAAUAGGGAACAAUCUUGUGGAGCAACCAUAAAAGUUUCCCCUUCAAUGCCAAAAUGUCGAUGGGGAAUACUUUGGCGACUUGUUCGCCGUAUGGGAGAUUGUACACUUUGCACAUCAUUCCCUAUCAUGCUCCCACUUAGAUUAGGUAAUGAUGAUGUCAUCUCAUCAUGUGGUUGCAAUUGAGAAUGAGUUGAAUUCAAUUCAUCACUUCUCAUAUUACUCCCACUUGGACGAACUCCACUAACAUCAUUAUCCUAAUCCAAGGUCUCAAAUAGGGAACAAUCUUCCCCUACUUCGCCCUUCUUAGGAAAUUCAUCAUCUAAGAAUGUGACAUCUCGUGAUUCAAAUUCAGUUAUACUUCCAUUUUCCUGCUCACUUAUGAACACAUACUCUUUUGAGUGUUCUGAGUACCUUAUGAAAAUACUCUUCUUUCCUCUGGGACCCAAUUUCCCAAACUUAUGAGAGGACUCAUGUGUAUAGGCAGCACAACCCCAUGGCUUAAGAAAACUUAAGUCCGGUUUUCUACCUAUCCAUAACCCAUAUAGAGUGGAAGUAACUAAUUUGGAAGGCACAUGGUUAAGUAUAUACGCAGUAGUUAACAACGCAUCACUCCAAAAGGUAAUAGGUAAGUUAGCAUGCGCCAUCAUGGACCUAAACAUUUCCAGUAGGGUUCUGUUUCUUCUCUCUGUAACACCAUUUUGUUGAGGAGUAUAUGGAAUAGACAACUGUCUUUCUAUUCCUUUUUCAUCACAUAAUUUUCUAAACUCAUCAGAUAAAUAUUCUCGACCUCGAUCAGAUCUCAAUACUUUUAUUUUCUUGUCUAAUUGAUUCUCUACCAGGUUCAUAAACCUUUUGAAACAACUUAUUGCUUCAGAUUUAUGAGAAAUCAAAUAGACUUAUCCGAAUCGAGUAUAAUCAUCUAUAAAAGUGAUGAAAUAAACAGCCCCAUGCCUUCCUCUCACAUUCAUUAGACCACAGACAUCAGAAUGGAUUAAAUGCAGAGGAAAUUAAGCUCUUUUACCUUUUCCAAAUGGUUUCCUUAUCGUUUUCCCUUCUAGGCAAUGCUUAUAUAUGGGCAAAUCAACUUUUUCAAUAUUGCCCAACAAGCCCUCUUUGGCUAGUCUAUUCAUACGCUGUUGGCUAAUGUGACCAAGUCUAGCAUGCCACACAUUCACAUCAUUAUCAUAUGUAUUAGGAGACGUGAGAAGGGAAUAACAAACAUUUGCAUUAACAUAAUCAAUAUCUAAUACAAUGAAACCAUCCAGAAAAUAACCACAACCAUAGUAAUUUGUAUCCAAAAACAAAUUGACACCUCUAUUAUAGAAGUUCAUAUUAAAACCUAAUUUAACCAACACUAAAACAGACAUUAAAUUCCGACAAAUCUCUAGAGCAUACAACACAUCAUGUAGGAACAAAGUGCGUCCACCACGCAUAUUCAGUUGGCAUGUGCCAAUUCCUUUCACUUCAGCUCUGGAGUUGUUUCCCACAUAGAUCCACUUAGUUCCAGUUGGUACUCGUCGAAAUUCCAUGAAGGAUCCUCUAUCCUUCGCUACAUGGUCUGUCGCUCCUAAAUCUACAGUCCACAAAGGAUUGGAUUCAGCUAAAAACACAGAACUCGACACAAAAGUAAAGUUCUGAAAAGUACAAGGGGUGCAUACCUUCUUUGGCUCACGACAGUCGCGAGCAUAGUGACCCUUCUUGUCAUAGUUGUAGCAUUUCACCCUUGCAAGCUUUUUCAUGCGAGGACGCUUUCCUCUUCCAUGUUGGUUAAACUUGGGUUUCUUCCCUGAAGGACCUUCUUCCUUACCUUUCCCUUUAUCAAGCCAGUUAGAACGUUUGCGCUUGGAGCUCAAAGCUCCAUUUGAGGUAGAACUAGCAUGAUAGAGUUCAGCAUCCGUCUUAGCCGCCAAGAGGCGGUCCUCUUCCAGCUCAAGAUGGCGCACUGCAUCCUCAAAAGUUUUGAUAUUUUCAUUAUGGGUCAGGUGCACCUUCAUAUGCUCCCAACUCUGAGGCAAGGAACGAAUCACUGCUUGCACGCCGUGACUGAUGGUGGGCCCACGUGUAAUACGUUUGGCAAAAUGAAUGGAUUAAUUUUUUGCUAAAUUGACAUCAGACUUGACCAUGAGGCUUCUUAUAGGAGUCAAACCUAAUAGUGAGCUGUUUUAGUCUGGUCACCGAAGUAUGACCAAAUCUAGCUGCCAAUGCCUCCCACAUUUCCUUGGCAUUGUCAAAACGCCUAAACUCUCGAAUGACGUCAUUUUCCAUGCUGCUCAGCAACGUGAUGCGAGCAAGAGAGUUCUUUCUUUUNNNNNNNNNNNNNNNNNNNNNNNNNNNNNNNNNNNNNNNNNNNNNNNNNNNNNNNNNNNNNNNNNNNNNNNNNNNNNNNNNNNNNNNNNNNNNNNNNNNNNNNNNNNNNNNNNNGAUUUUCAUGUGCCAUAUUUCAUAGUUGUCACCAUUGAGCUUUUCACCUUUGUUCAGCUCGGCAACUAUGCUCUUUGUGGCUGAAGCCAUUGAUCUGAACACAUCAGACAUAUAUGCACGAAUUAUUAAUGCCUAUCAUUUAUGCAUCUCUAUUUGCAUAGACCCAUCAUAUUAAUGAAUAAUUUCAAGUAAGACUUCAGAAUCAAAAGGUCACUAAGUUUCCAAUCAUCCUCCAAAAUCCUAAUUUAAAACUAUCAUUAAUAUAAUUGUCUUAUGCAAAAUAAAUUCUAUGAAGUUACAAAAACUUCUAUAACUACCCACAGCUAAUUACCCACAGCAACCAGCAAUAACAGAAAGCAACAGAUAAUUGACAUCAAAUAAAACAAUAAUGCUUUCAACUAAUACAACCAAGAUAUUGGUUGUUAUAUCAAUAACAAUCAGGUAGUAAACAUUACAUAAUAUGUCCACAAAGCACACUUAACAAAAAUCAGCCAAUACAACUAACACAAAGUCAGCACACGAACUGGGAAAGAUCCUCUUUUGUUCAAUUUCUUGAUCUUUUCCCUUGUAAUAAUCCAGUAAUAUUAAUUUACAAAAUCCAUUAUAAUUUUCUUAUAAGAAGCAGAUCCGUUGACAUCCCAUAUGCGAUUCAACACAUCUUGCCAUUUAGGUGGAAGAGUGUUCAUGAAGAAUCGCACAAUUUCUAACUGUGGCAUAGGAUGACCAUUCCAUAUGACAUUUUGAAUUUUCCCGUUGACUUCAAGGACGUGAUCAAUUAAGUCACCACUCUCCCAUCGAUGAUCAGUCAGCUCAGCUAUCAACUUAGACAGCCUUUCCUUUUGUUCAUCGGUAAUUGUACGAAUAGGUGUGCGCAACCUGAGGGGAGGCAUUUUUCCUGCAACAAAUGCAGAAAUGUUCCUGCAACAAAUGCAGAAUAAAUAAGGGAUCACAAAUAAUCCACAUAGACUUAAUUGAAAAAAGAAACACAUUCUUUUCCCUCUUUUUUUUUUUUCAACGGUCAACGGUCGGGUCGUCGGUCGUCGGACCGGUCGGACCGGACAGACCGGUCGGACCGGUUGUGCCGGUCGGGCCGGUUCAGGCGAAUCGAUCGCACGUGCUGCGCGCGUGCGCAGCUGAUGUCACGCAUACAUCAGCUGGCGCGCGUGUGCCGGGCGUUCGCGGUUCGGGUCGGGUCGCCUCGCCGGUCGGGUCGCCGGCCGGUGAUCGCCCGGCCAAUUGUCGUCGUUGCUGACGUCAUCGAUGAUGUCACCCCAGCAGCUACUGACCGUUGGGUGACGUCAUGCUGACGUUAGCACGCGUCGGUCUGCCAACCGGCGUGUGUCGGUUCGCCUCCGACGUUGCGCACGUGCUGGUUCACAGAUCGGCGCGUGGCGCCCACGCGUAAUGGCUUCUGGCCACGCGUGUGGGCGCGUGCGGCGUCAUCCGGCGGUGCACGACAUGUCGCCGGACUCGUCUAGACGAGCCCUUUCACCUUAUGCCAUCAUAAUUCGAUUUCGACUUACAGAAAGUCGAGAAAACGGACGAACAUCGUUCGGGUGUCGGGAUUUUGCGCCCCGAUCCGUGUCGGCCGAAUUACUUCGCGAAAAAAAAUCAGAAAACACGAAAAAGGGUCGGGAAGACAUGAACUAGGGCUCUGAUACCAAUGUUGGGUAUAAUGGAUCACCAAAAACCGGAUUCGACACUAAAUCGAACCCCUAAACCAAUGCGGAAGACGAGCCUGGGAAAAACAACACGUAUCACCGAUCCUAAAGUACACCACGGAUUCGAGCGUGCCUUUUAAGCCAUAGAUUAAACACCGACGCUGAUAGAGGAAGAGAAACUUGGCCCUAUUCGAUCCGAUAAAGCAAAUUCGCCUUUGCGCUUCAUUGUUUUCUUUUUGGGAGAGAACGAGAGAGAGAGCAUGAGAGGAAAAAGACGUACGUUCGUUUUGUUCCAACAUGUCUUCUCUCUCUCUCCUCCCUUUUAUACGUCCCUCCACCCACGGGCCCUAUUCCCGUGGGCCGGGCUUUUUGGGUCCAAUUUGGGCGGACGGGCCUUAAGCCCAUCGCUAAUAAAACCAUCACUACCUAUAACCAUCGUGGGCACAGAAAAAGAACGAGUCUUUUCCAUCUGUUUUCCCGCUUCCCCUCUGGGAGAAGACAAUAUCAAGACCCAUUCUAAGACACCAAUUCAGCCACAGCUCCAUGAAAUGGCAAGGCCCAACAACGUUCCCACGCCGCGACUAUACAUAACCGUUACGGGCACAGUUAAAAAACGAGUCCUUUCCAUUCUUCUCCAAGCUUUUUCUAAUUUUUUACCUCUCGCUUGCUCUCGUGCAGUGCAGUAACGGAACCCCGGAACAGGAAAAUGGAUCGAGAAAACUCUUUGGGCCGAUGAAUCAUUAUAAGUUACCUCGGAACAAUUAUUUUACUACUGUCAAAUAUAAUGAUAGAUUCCGACCAAAAGAAAAUUUUAAUGAUGGAUUCGGUCAAAAAAAUAUUUGAUGAUAGAAUAAAAAUUGGCUUUAAUCUAUCUUAUUAAUUGGUUUUAUAUACCAAGUAAAUGCUAACAACAAUGUUCAAUUAGAGAUAUUAGUUAUUAAUAACUCAGCAACCAAAUUACAAUUUUAUAACUUUCAAAUAGAUUAAAGAAAUAAGAGUAUUGGAAAUAUUAAAAUUUUCAAAAAGCACAAUUAAAUUAGAAAAUUUAUCAUAAAUGUAGAAUUGAGUUUUAAAAUUUUUAAAAAAUACAAUCAAGUCUUAAAAUGAAUUAAUGACUUUAAUAUGAAUUAAGAUUUGUGUAUCAAUCAAAUCAAAACUAGUUCAUAAAUUAAUUAAAGAAAAAUUGUGUAUCGCUUGAAUUAGGAUCUGUAAUUUCAUAAAAGAAUUAAUGACUUUAGCAUGUUGACAACUUGUACGACUAAAUAUUUUUAAAUUAUUAAAACGAACAAUUAUUUUGGAACAAUCAAACAAACCCCAGUAUUUUUUUAUGAAAAUUUCGGUACAAACAUGUCACAAGCCAGGUACGUCGCUGAUAUUUUUUUCAACAAAUUGUUACUAAACAAUAUUUUUGAACUUACUGAUAUGGAACGAUCAGUGGUCCUCACUUUACCAAAAAAAAAACAAUCAGUGGUCCUCAUGUUCUAUCUCUUGCUUCCAUGGAGGUUCUCGGAAAAGACAUUUUCUUAUCGGCUUUCGCUGUUCCGACAGCAACUCACCACCACUUUCGAGAAGAUAAUAAUUUAGUUGGACCUAAGCGUGGCAGGGGGGAAAAGCUAGUAUCUGUCAGCUUGCGUGCUGCUACGACAGGGCAUGAUUGGUUCUAUUGUAUUAUUUCGCAAGAGAAGUCAUCUGCGAGUUCUUUCUCUUUGCGCCUCUCUCUCUACCCUCCCUCUCUCUCUCCGACGAACAAGAUCGCGACCUCCCUCCCUCUCUGCCCUCCCUCUUUCCAAUCGGCAAACCACCGCACGGGACCGGCGAAUCACCGCGCCGCCCCUCCGGCUCCAGAUCCGGCCCCGACUCGUCCGUCCCUUGCUCUUUCUCUCCUCUGGCGUUUCUGUCUGCCCUCCCUCUCUUCAACGGUGAACCAGCGCGUGACCGGUGAACUAGUAUUUUCUCCUUGCGGAGAAGCAACGAAAAUAUCUUUGAAGUCUACAGCGAGGUAGUCUUACCAAUUUCGAGGAAGGAAGGUUUGUUUCGGUGGUCUUGGUCAAGAAGGUGAGGGUAAAAAAGCAGCACAAUUGCCGCGUGAAAAGACGAGCAAUCUUGUCGUGCCAUCCUCUCCACGGGAUUGCGCGUCUCCUUCGGGGCAAGAGGUUCGAAGUAAAAGCUUUAUUUAAAGUCCCGAGUGCUCGUGACCUAGUAGCAGAAACGCCAAUCACCGUAAGUCACUUGAGACGCUCGUCUUUCGCUUUGAGAUAUCUGGUUUUGAUAGCUCUAGAUUGAGGCGUGAAGGUGAUCUCAUAAUUGUGCUGCUUUUGAGGCUCGGACGCGACUUGAUGUGCUUUAAGGUGACUCCUUUUUAGACAUUAAAGUUCAUCCGAGUAAUUCCGGCUCUGCAUCACUCCUCCAGAUGAGCCGGAUAGUCUAUUACCUUUUGAUAGAAGAAAAUAAAAACAUUUGAUUAUUACUCAUUGCAUGCCAUCUAACAUCCUUAAAAGCAUGCACAAUAUAAUAUGUGACAUUCCAUCGACUUUUUCAAAAUCACGGUCGUCACAGUUAUUGCAGAUUUUUCUUACUACCUUCCCCUUAUUCAAACUGAUCAGUAUGAGCCCCUCUCUUGCAAAACGAUUCAAGGCUAUCAUCUACAGUCCUCACUCACUUUCUUUGUUCAUUUCCCUCGUAAAAGUUCUCGGCGAGGCUUGUUUAGGGUCUUCUCUCUCCGAACUCGCACCUCUCUUUGCAUCUCAGCGUGCAGAAGGUAAUCGCUUUUUCAUCUCUUAUUAGCGUGUCAUUUCUGUUGAUUUGUUGCGGCUGAACUAGCGUGUUUUGGGCUCUCUUUGUCUGAUGUGGGUGGCUGUUAACUUGGUGUGUCACCGGCUCAUAAUUGACUUCCGUAGAAAAGGGAAGCCUUUGCUUUCAGACCUUAGAUGUGACUAAUCAUGUGGCCUCUUGUCUCAUCGUUCGUUUGCAUCGUAACUUAGUGUCGAUCCUUUGUCGAGCUAGAAUGAGUUGGAAUGCGAGACGCGCUAGAUUCUAUUGCGCGCAAAAUUGACAGUAUUCGCCUCAAGCCAAGGACCGUCUUUUUACGGAUUGUGAGGUUUCUUUGUCCCUGAAGGUCUAAGGUCAAUUAAAUAAAAAAUGAAUUUACAAAAGAAAAAGUAGUAGGCCAGUUUACGGCAAGUUCCAAGAUCAGGGGAUUUCGAUUUUCAAUUCCGAAAAUUGAGAACAUGCUCUGAUAGGUAGGUUUCAGGGUUAUGGUCUGGAAUCAAUCAAUCACCCUUAAAAGCAAGUACUCUCUUAAUCAGAUUUUAUUCACAAUUUUUCCUUUGAUGAUUAUAGGACAUUCUAGAAGAAUAGUUUGUUGUCUUCCUUGAAUUAUUGGACAAGAUAAUCCUAAAAAGUAUAUUGCCUUUCACCUCUAACUCAUUUUCUUCCUUCAAAGUUUUGAAAAUCCUGAAAAAAAGGGUAAAAAAUGGUUGAAUGAGUAAUGAAGAGAAUAGUUCAGUGAUAAAAUGUCGAUCGAUUAUUCAAAUUUCAAAGUUUGAAGAGAAUAGCUCAGUGAUGUCAUAUUGGGUUAAAGUAGAUUCAUUUUGCAUGACAUUGCUAAUAUGUAAGGUCAACGGGGAACAAAUAAAAGAGAAAUAGCAAAGACCUUUUGUUCAUCUCUAUCUCAUUUCCAAAUUCAUUUAGAAUAUGACAAUUUGAAAUUAAAAUGUAAGAUCACAUUCCUAAUCACUAACAAGGCCCUUUCUUCAUAUCUUCCACACAUUUCCAAUUUCGUUUGAACUCAUUUAUCAGCUUUUAAAUGAUUUAUCAAACUAUGAUUUUUAAUAAUCAAACAAAAACAGGACCUUUGCUUAUUUAUUUUAAUGAAUGCAACUUGCUUGUACACAGAUUCUAGCUUUUUAUAGCCCAAGUAAGAAUUUAACAUCGUGAGCGGACCAAGCCAACAUCUUUCGACUUGACUAGAGGGUGAGAUACAAAAGAAGAUAAGGCAAGGACUAAAAGCAUCUGAAACUGCUUCUGUUCAAUCGAUUACAAAUUUAAUUAAAGAUUUUGAAAAAGUCUGUUCUUGCUUGGUAAAAAUAUUUUGGUGGGUCAAGACUUAUGGAUGAUUAUGUAUUUUUUUUUAAAUAAUCGUGUUUAAGCAUAAUUUUCGAGAGUUGGCUGGGGCAGGGUGUAGGGAAUAACGGAUCCCCGAAAACCGGAUUCGACACUAAAUCGAACUCCUAAAUCAAAUGCGGAAGACGAAGCCCGGGAAAACACGUAUCACCGAUCGUAAAGCACACCACGGAUUCGAGCGUACCUUGUUAGCCACAGAUUAAACACCAAUGCUGAAGAAGAGGAAGAAAUUCUGAUCCGAUGAUGUCAAUCGAAGGGACGACAGUGCCGUUUGCCUUACUGUCCUUUUUGGAGAGAGAGAGCGCGCGCGGGAGAGGGGAGAACGUACGUAACUUCUGUUUCCAACAGAUGCGUCCUCUCUAUCUCUCUCAUCCCUUUUAUACGUUCCCCCAUCCACGGGCCCUAUUCCCAUGGGCCGGGCCCUUUUGGGCCCAACUUGAGCGGAUGGGCCUUAAGCCCAUCUCAUAAAUCCAUCAUCUCCCACUCGCACAUGGUGGUCCAAAACCAACAUGGGCGGACAGGCCCUACCUAGCCCCAUCAGAGAAUAAUCCAUCAUAGACUCUUACUUAACAUGGUGGGCCGAACAGAAUCCUCUUUACCUCUCUUCAACAUUCAUACCGGUGAAUAAUCCGUGCGACCAGCAUACUUUGAGAGCUCAUUGCCAUACAUCUGUUAGGAAUAUAUAGCAGCUCAUAAUGGGCAUCACACUCCGAGUAGAUUUAGUAUGCAGUACCCUAGAUCGAUCGAUCACAUUUAUAUCUCUCUUGAUCUCUUUUAAACAAUGAUAUAUAUAUUGUAUUCACAAUUAUGAUUAUCAGAAAGACAGUCAUAAUUAGUUAACCGGUGAAUACAAAACUUCAAUGUGAUUCUCCAAAAUCGAUCUUCCUCUUUCCUUCAAACUCUCAAUUUCAGUCCAGCUUGCUUUUCUAGAAAUCCCCCAUUAGAUCGAAUCACUCAUGACCAUUGGCAACAUCCUAAGAUAGCAAACACUAAAUAGAAAUCUUGAGAAUAAGUAAGAGUCAUGAGGGGACUAAGAAAUUGAGAUCACACGACAUAAAAGUUGAGAUCAAACUUUUGCCAUUCUUAUUGGUCGUCUCAUGCAUACGUAGUAUGAAAUACGUAUUACGGUAUUAACUCCUUUCCCAUGGAGCGUAUGUCUACAUCUUCAAUAUCGUACAGAUGAUAGUUCAGACAUACCCAAUGUCUAACUUGAGUUCACGUAUCUACUCAUUCACAAAAUUCAUCAAAACUCACAUCUGGCAUCUUAGACAGAUAAAGUAAAACAUGUGGGGUAUUUUUACUUUCGGACAUAGUAAGUAUUAUGUCCUCAUCUUAACACUCAGUUAAGGCGACAUACGUGUUUUAAGCUUGAGCUCUCGAUUAUCACCUAGAUAAUAAGCUUAAAAACAGUCUCAUCUCUAUUUAUCACACAGUAAAUAGAGGCGAUUACCCGUGUGAGUGGGCUAAUCUUAUAUCUGUCCGACAUACUUCUCAACUUAAAGUAAUGCACUAAGCAUUAAGAUGCACAAAGAUCACACAUAGAUUCAUAGGCAUUAAUGAUGAAAACACAUGUUCAUCAAAUGUGAACACUUAGGGAAAUUACAAUAUUCAGUACAUCGGCCUCUACGCAAUCCUAGAGAUUUCACAUAGCCAGAAAACACAUCUCUAGGUAUUGACUUUGUCAUAGGAUCUGCUACCAAUCUUAUGCGUAGUAUGUACUAUUAGUUCACAUCAUUUUGUGUAACCAUAUUUUUAACAAAUUUAUACUUGGUAUCUACAUGUUUGGUCUUGCCUUGAUAUUUUGGAUCUUUGGUGUACGCUUUUGCUACUUGGCUAUCAUCGUUAACCAAUAACGAAUCUGCAGCACUUCCAAUAACACCUAAAUGAUCCAAAAAUCUCUUAAGCCAAACACCUUCUUAUACUGCUGCUGAUAAUGCCACGAACUCAGUUUCCAUCGUGGACAAGGCUAUACACAUUUGUUUCUUACUGCUCCAACAUAUGGUGUCAUUAUUCGGUAAGAAAACAAACCCAGAGAUAGAUUUUCUUUCAUCUAAAUCUCCUCCCCAAUCAGUAUUAGAAUAGCCUUUGAGCUGCAGAUCCUUUCCUUAAUAACUCAACAUAUAAUCAGCAGUCCCCUUUAGAUACCUUAGUAUUCUCUUAACGGCUUUCCAUUGUGCUGGACCUGGAUUGGAUUGGUAUCUACUCACCAUUCCAACUACAAAACAUAUGCCAGGUCUUGUACACAUCAUAGCGUACAUCAAGCUCCCAACAGCACUAGCAUAAGGAACAUGUUUCAUUUGUUCCUUCUCUUGUGGAGUCCUUGGACACAGUCUAUGGCUCAAUCCUUCACCCUUUGCAAUAGGAGUGUCUAUGGGUUUACAAUCUCAAAAUCUUAACUCCAAGAAUGUAUUCAACAUCACCCAUGUCUUUCAUCUCAUAGUUGGAAGACAAUCAACUCUUGACAGAAUUAACAAACUCCAUAUUGCUUCCGACAAUUAGUAUAUCAUCAACAUAUAAUGAUAUGAUCACAAAUUGAUCCUUGGAUCUUUUGAUAUAUACACAAUGAUCCUCAUCUAUCAUUGUAAAAUCAUAUGCCAUUAUGACAUUAUGAAAAAACGUAUAUAUAUCAUUGUCUUGACGACUGCUGAAGGCUAUAUAUCGACUUCAAAAGUCAACAUACAUUUUCUUCUUGGCCUUUCACUAUGAAACCAGCGGGUUGUUAUAUAUAUAUAUAUAUAUAUAUAUAUAUAUAUAUAUAUAUAUAUAUAUAUAUCUUCCUCCCAAUUCUCCAUUGAGGAAAACAGUCUUUUCAUCCAUCUGAUGUAACUCAAGAUCCAGACUAACCACUUUUGCCAGAAUAAUGUGAAUUGAGGUAAAUCUCACUACAGGAGAAAAUGUAUCCUCAUAAUCAAUUCCUUCCUGUUGAUCAUACCCCUUCGCCACAAGGUGAGCCUUAUGCCUUUCUAUCGAGCCAUCAGCCUUUCGCUUUAUUUUGAGAACCCAUUUGUUCCUAAUGGCUUUGUGUCCUUUUUGAAAAUCAACCAGUUCCCAGACUUGGUUUGAUUUCAUUGACUCCAUUUCCUCUUUCAUUACAUGAAUCCAUUUUUUCUUACUAGGGCAACUCAGAGCCUCAUUAAUAUUUCUUGGCUCAUCCUCAUCUUGUGGAGCAAUCAUAAAAGUUUCCCCUUCAAUGUCAAAACGUCGACCGGGAAUACUCUGGCGACUUGUUCGCCGUAUAGGAGAUUGUACACUUAGCACAUCAUUCCUAAUUAUGCUCCCACUCGGAUUAGAUAAUGACGAUGUCGUCUCAUCAUGUAGUUGCAAUUGAGAAUGAGUCGAAUUCAAUUCAUCACUUCUCAUAUUACUCCCACUUGGAUGAACUCCACUGACAUCAUUAUCUUGAUCCAAGGUUUCAAAUAAGAAGUAAUCUUCCUUUAUUUUGCCCUUCUUAGGAAAUUCAUCCACUAAGAAUGUGACAUCCCGUGAUUCAAAUUCAGUUAUACUCUCAUUUUCCUGCUCACCUAUGAACACAUACCCUUUCAAGUGUUCAAGAGUAUCUCAUGAAAAUACUAUUCUUUCCUUUUGGGACCCUAUUUUCCAAACUUGUGAGAGGAUUCAUGAGUACAGGCAGCACAACCCCAUGGCUUAAGAAAACUUAAGUCCGAUUUUCUACCUGUCCAUAACUCAUAUGGAGUGGAAAUAACUGAUUUGGAAGGCACCCGGUUAAGUACAUAGGCAGCAGUUAACAACGCAUCACACCAAAAAGUAAUAGGUAAGUUAGCAUGCGCCAUCAUGGACCUAACCAUUCCAGUAGGGUUCUGUUUCUUCUCUCCGCAACACCAUUUUGUUGAGGAGUAUAUGGAAUAGACAACUAUCUUUCUAUUCCUUUUUCAUCACUUAAUUUUCUGAACUCAUCAGAUAAAUAUUCUCGACCUCGAUCGGAUCUCAAUACUUUUAUUUUCUUGUCUAAUUGAUUUUCUGCAAGGUUCAUAAACCUUCUGAAACAACUUAUGCUUCAGAUUUAUGAGAAAUCAAAUAGACACAUCCGAAUGGAGUAUAAUCAUCUAUAAAAGUAAUGAAAUAAACAGCCCCAUGCCUUCCUCUCACAUUCAUUGAACCACAGACGUCAGAAUGAAUUAAAUGCAGAGGAAAUUCAGCUCUUUUACCUUUUCCAAAUGGUUUCCUUGUCGUUUUCCCUUCUAGGCAAUGCUUACAUAUGGGCAAAUCGACUUCUUCAAUGUUACCCAACAAGCCCUUUUUGGCUAGUCUUUUCAUAUGUUGCUGGCCCAUAUGACCAAGUCUAGCAUGCCACCAUAUUCAUAUCAUUAUCACAUGAAGCAGAAGACGUGAAACAAGAGAAUAACAAAUAUUGACAUCACCACAGUCAACAUUACAAUAAAACCAUCCAGAAAGUGACCACAACCAUAGUAGUUUGUAUCCAAAUACAAAUCUACACAUUUAUUACGGAAGUUCACACAAAAACCAAGCUUAACCAACAUCAAAACAGACACUUAAAUUUCGACGAAUCUCCGGAGCAUAUAGAUCAUCAUGUAGGAACAAGUUGCGUCCACCACGCAUGUUCAAUUGGCAGGUGCCAAUCUCUUUUAACUUCAUAUCUGGAGUUAUUUCCUACAUAGAUCCACUUAGUUCCAAUUGGUAUCGUCGGAAUUCCACGAAUGAUCCUCUAUCCUUCGCUACGUGGUCUGUCACUCCUGAAUCUACAGUCCACAAAGGAUUGGAUUCAGCCAAUAAUUCAGAACUUGAUACAUAAGCAAAGUUCUCAAAUGUACAAGAGGUGUAUACUUUUUUUAGCUCACGACAGUCGCGAGCAUAGUGACCUCUCUUGUCACAUUUGUAAUACCUCACCCUUGACAUUUUCUUUACUUGAGGACGUUUUCCUCUCUUGUGUUGGUUAACUCUUGAUUUCUUGCAAUAAGAACUUGAUCCUUUGUAUGCCCACAUAUUGAACGAAUCAAUACGCUUGCACUUAGAGCACAAAGCCCUUUCUGAGCUAGGACCAGCAUAGAAAAUAUCUAUUUUCGGCUCAAAUGCCGUUAGGCGGUCCUCAACUAGCUCAAGGUGGCGCACAACAUUUAUAAGAUCUUCCAUAAUAUGGUCAAGAGCUUCUAGUGCUUCUUGCUUUUCCAGCACAUAUUGAAUCCUCAUAUUUAAUAUUUCACAAUUGUUGCCGUUCAUAUCAGCAAUUACGUUCUUAAUUGCUGAAACCAUCGAUCUGAACACAUCAGACAUACAUGCACGAAUAAUUAAUGCCUAUCAUUUAUGCAUCCCUAUUUGCACAGACUCAUCAUAUUAAUAAAUAAUUUCAAGUAAGGUUUCAGAAUUAAAAGGUCACUACGUUUCCAAUCAUCCUCCAAAAUCCUAACUCAAAAUUAUUAUUAAUAUAAUUGUCUUAUGCAAAUACAUUCUAUGAAGUUACAAAAACUUCUAUAGCUACCCACAGCUAACUACCCACAGCAAUCAGCAGUAACAGAAAGCAAAUAAUAAUUUAUAUUCAACAGAAUAAUCAUACUUUCAACAUAAUACAACUAACAUAUUACACUAAGCAAUAUAUACAGAGGAAACAUAUCAUCAUGAAAAGAGAUAUUUACAUACAUAAAACAUCUCAUAAUUAAUCUAGGAAAUAAUUAGGGAAUGUCCCUUCUAAUCUAUCAGUCAUAACAUCUGAGAAAACUGAAGGCACAUUUGCCAACCAUGGAAAAAACUUUUGGAGAGCUUUCAUGUCGCCACCAAGGCGCAUUUACUCUGUGCCCUGUGACGCUUAAACUAAGGGUUGAGGUUUUGGUCAACUCAAUCCUAUAGUAUUCUCUUACAAAAGCUUCCACUAGCCUCCUAUAACCCGAGACCACGUUGACCUCCCAUAACCGAUCUAACACUGCUUGCCAUUCAGAUGGAAUAGUGUUCAUCAAAGCCAGCACAUUUUCAAAAUCCGGCAUAAGAUAACCAUUCCAGAUGAUUUCCUGUAUCAUCUAAUUAACCCUGACCACAUGUGAUACUAAAUCACCGUCAUGCCACCGAUAAUUAGCUAAAUCUGACAUCAGCCUUUUAAGCCUUGCAUUUCCCUCAUCCGUUCUCGGGAUUGCAGGUAUCCGUGCAUGACGCAUCAUAGUUCAUGCAACAAAUGCAGAACUAAAAAUGGAUCACUUAUAAUCCAUAAUUUUACAUAAGGAAAAUACAUAAUUUUUCAUAAUUCAUGCAACACAUGCAUAAUAAAAAAAAAUGGGUUACAUAUAAACCACAUAGGCAUAUAUGAAAAAGAAACAAAUUCCUUUUUUUCUUUUUUUUUCUUUUUUUUUUCCGAGUCAACGGUCAACGGUCGUCAACGGUCAACGGGUCGCCGGUCGUCGGACCGGUCGCGCCGGUUGGGCCGCCGGGUCGGUUCGCGCAGACCGCCCGCACGUGCCGCGCGCGUGCGCUGGCUGACGUCACGCAGACGUCAUCCGGCACGUGCCGCACGCGUGACGGGGUCCGCGAGUCGCCGGUCGGGUCGGGUCGAGUCGCCGGCCGGUCACCGGCCGGCCACUGUCGUCGUGCUGACGUCAUCAAUGACGUCACCCCAGCGGUUAUUUACCAUUGGAUGACGUCAUGCUGACGUCAGCACGCGUCGGUCCGUGGACCGGCGUGUGCCGGUUCGCCGGCCGCCGGCGCGCAUGUGCCAGUUCGUCGCCGGCGCGUGUGGCGCACGCGCUAGCCGAUGCCAGCACUUGGGGCGCAUCACGCCCACGCGCAGCGGCUUCUGGCCGCGCGUGUGGGCGCGUGCAGCGUCUCCCAGUGGCGCGCGACAUGUCACCGGAAUCGUCUCGACGUCCUCUUUCACCCAAUGCCUUCAUAUUUCGAUUUCGACUUACGAAAACUCGGAAAAAUGGCCGAACAGCGCUCGGGUGUCGGGAUUUGUCGCCCGAUCCUUACGGCCGAAUUGCUUUUGCGAAAAAAUCAAUCAAAACAACAGCAAUCAGGUCGGGAAAACGUGAACUAGGGCUCUGAUACCAAUGUAGGGAAUAACGGAUCCCCGAAAACCGGAUUCGACACUAAAUCGAACCCCUAAAUCAAAUGCGGAAGAUGAAACCCGGGAAAACACGUAUCACCGAUCGUAAAGCACACCACGGAUUCGAGCGUACCUUGUUAGCCACAAAUUAAACACCAAUGCUGAAGAAGAGGAAGAAAUUCUGAUUCGAUGAUGUCAAUCGAAGGGAAGACAGUGCCGUUUGCCUUACUGUCCUUUUUGGAGAGAGAGAGUGUGCGCGAGAGAGGGGAGAACGUACGUAACUUCUGUUUCCAACAGAUGCGUCCUCUCUCUCUCUCUCAUCCCUUUUAUACGUUCCCCCAUCCACGGGCCCUAUUCCCAUGGGCCGGGCCCUUUUGGGCCCAACUUGAGCGGAUGGGCCUUAAGCCCAUCUCAUAAAUCCAUCACAGGGCACCCUUAGCCCCUCAUUAAAUCCACCCAUAUUGUGAGACUAAACAAGGAGAAAACUCAGGAGGGCAUUGGGAAUAUAUACUGCUGGGAGAGUUGAUUACUUAAUCAGUGGAGGUUAGGGAAAUGAAGAAAAUAAGAAAAAUAGAAACCAACCAUUAGUAAUGAGGGCGAGGAUAUGGACAUGGAUGACCCAUUUAGCGAGAAUGGUUCGGGAAGGCCUACCAUUGCUGGGGGAGAGCUCACUCUCAAUUUAUUUUUAUUUUUUUAGUUGGGUCAAAAGCUAACUCUCAUCCAUCCGUGGGUAGUUGCAUCGGUUGAGAGUCCUUCCCUCAUAGCUGAGGUCGAGAAUUAGAAACCCGCAGUUGCUAGCGAUUUAAGUGGGGGCUUUGGUGGUGGAUUGCUGGGCUAGUCUCGCUCGAGGUAUAGGGGCCCGGCUCUCGAGAGCCGUUCAGGCACGAGGGGUCCAUGGUGGAGUCAUCGGUUACCAAAAACAAAAACUAAUUCUCAUUGAGAUAGCGCGAGCAAAAAUGCUUAGAGAAAAAGAGUUUGCCCAUUUUGGCUGUUCACUUUUCUAAUUUUUAAAUGACAAUUUUUUAUUUAACGACUCACAAAUUUGAUUGCUAUUUCCUUUUGAUUGUUUCCUUUUCAAUUGAUUACGAAGAUUUGAUAUUAGAUUUUAUGAAUAUGAAUAAUCAACACUUUGAUGAACGCAGAGAUCAACGUAUAUGCAUGUACUUUCAAAUAGAUGAUUACAUAAAACCACUGGUCAAAGGCAUGAUUGGAGCAAAUAUGGAGAUUUCCUGGAGGCGAUUGCAUAUGACCUUAAUAAAUCUGAACCUUUGUUAUUAUUGAGUCUCAUGUGAAAACCACAUAAUAUAAGAGUUGAGAUUCAUUAGGGGAUAUGCAUUUGAGAAUGCCUAAUGAAAUAUAGGCAUCAACACGUUAGCUUUAGUUAAUUUUACAUGUUUAAUUUGUAACCAACCAAUAAGAGACACAAUUAAUGAAAAUCUCCUCGAUUAGGAAAGUCCAUGCAUCAAGAGGAUGAGGUCCAUGUAAGAGAGAAGAUGUGCAUUACACUGCUCCAACACAACAACUUGUAAUAUUGGAUUAAUCAAUAUACACCCCCUAAGAAAACUCAUUCAGUAAAUAUUGUGUACAUUCGGAAAUCAGAUGCUUUUCUAUCUAGCCUUUUCACUUGAUUAUCUACAUCUUUUAGUGGAGCAGGAAAGCAUCUUCUCUUCAUUAAAAAUUUUAGUGUUAGUAAUCGUUCAUAAUGCAUGUGCUCUUCACCAAAGAUUAGGAGCCUUGACUAUGGAGCACGCAUGUAGAGAUGAAAAUUAGCCAUUUUCUUCUUGUCCAUGAGUGGACACAACCCAAUGAUGUUGCCUUGACGAGGGGGCGCGGUCCAUUGGAAAGAAAAGAUGCCCGCCUAAGUCAAUAACUUUUACUAUUUAAUUAGUCAACAGACUGACUUGAUCAUUAAACAUUUCGGAUUCGAAAUCGUUCAGAAAUCAUAUGCUCUCCUCCCAAAAAGCACGUGCUCUGCCUUUUCGUUUGCUUAUCUAAUUCUUCUUGUGCAGCAGGUUGGCAUCCUCUCUUCAUUUUUCUAUAUAAGAUUUCUAUGGGGAAAGGGCAAAGUCUGAGCAAAAUAAAAAGAAAUAGAGCGCAAAAAAAAGGAGCACUGAGGGAGGAAAUCGAGAAUGAUUGCUGAGAAAGAGAUCACUAAUGGAGCAUAUGCUUCUUCGUCCUUACCUUCGAUACUCACAGGAGGAGGUAGCGAUCAAUACGAUGUGUUCUUGAACUUUAGAGGCUCUGACACUCGUAACGGAUUCACUGAUCACCUCUACCGCAGUCUAAUCAGUGUAGGGACGGUACCAAUUUCUGUGUUCAGGGACGAUAAUAGCCUUGCAAUUGGCAAGGAUUUUAAUUCAGAGAUUCUCAAUGCCAUCACGCGAUCUAAGAUUUUGAUCCCCAUCAUCUCUGAAAAUUAUGCUUCGAGCAAAUGGUGCCUCCGUGAGCUAUGCAUCAUGGACUGCCAGAAGAGCAUGUCGCACAUAGUGUUGCCCAUUUUUUACAAAGUGCUCCCAUCGGAUGUGCGGCAUCAAAAUGGAAAUUUUGGGGAGGCCUUCCGUUCGUGUAAGAAGCGUUUUGAUAAGGAGGACAUUCAAGAAGGUCAACGAGCCCUUACAGAAGUGAGUAACUUGAAUGAAUGGGAAUCUGAGAAAUUUGCUAAAGGUACUUAUCUUCUGCCUGCACUCUUUUUAUUUUUUCUUUUAUAAUUCCCCUAAGUAUUGUUAUUUAGUGAAACUAAUGUCAUAUGGAUGAAUUGCUUCCACUACAAGCUUACAAAACAUCCCAAAAUGUCCUAGUGAAUAACCAUAAUGGCCCAAGGAUUACAAAUACUUGUACUCGCUAAGAUUUCCCCUGAAAACUACACUAACAACGUUUAAAACCUUAGGAUCCCUUAUUCAGUCUUCCAAAGCUUGGUAACUGCUGGAUAAAUCGACCUCCUCUUGCUUCACACAGAUCAUGUCUAGGUUCAAGACUUGCUGUUGCCAAUAACUUUCAUUGAUAGGCGAUCUGUAAGUUAAUUAUAAGUCCUCCAUUUAGGCCCGUGGGAUACGCUGGCCUUAGAGGGAGAACAUCUUCUUCUCCUAAACUUUUUGUAACCAAAAUUAUUGACCUCCUAUUUUCAACUAGGAGCGACCAUAAUUCUCAUAACAAACAUUUUACUUCUAAAGAAUCUUAAUUUGCUACGUGCACCACUUUAUCUUAUUUCAAUAAGAUCUAUCUAUAAGAAGAAAAAGAAGGGGAAAAAUGAGAUGACCGCUACACCAUCAUCCUAUAUUGUCAUUCGUAAAACCAAAACAUUUUGCAUGUUAAUUGGUUGCAUCCAUCAUUUACAUAUAUGUCAGUGUCUUUUGAUGAGAUUACGCAAGAGUAUGAAGUUAUGAUGAGUUUUUUUGUUUAACAGGCAGGAAGGAAAAUUAGUGGAAGAAGUUACCAAAAUGAUUCUAAGCAAGGUGAGAUGUCAAUCUCAGCUUGAUGUUCCAAAGCACCUAGUUGGGGUUGACGAUCAUGUCAACAAAAUUAGGAAUUGGGUAGACAUUCCUGCCAAUCAUGCUCGAAUGAUAGGAAUAUAUGGCAUGGGUGGGAUCGGUAAAACGACUCUUGCUAAGGUCAUCUAUAACGAGCUAUCAAAUAUCUUUGUGGAUUGUAGUUUCCUUCCAAAUAUACGAGAAACAGCUAACAACAAUGGUAUUCCUUAUCUACAAAAUUUGCUAAUUAAGGAAAUACUACAAAUUGAAAAUGCUGUUUGUAAAGUUGAUGAUGGAAUUAAUUUGAUCAAAUCUAGAUUUAAAGGAAAAAUGGUUCUCAUUCUUUUGGAUGAUAUUGAUCACCAAAAUCAGCUAGAUGCUUUAGCUAGAGAACGUGAUUGGUUUACUGCAGAAAGUAUCAUCAUUGUUACAACUAGAUACAAAUCUGUACUUGAUCAGUCUGAGUUCAAGGUGGGCUACAAGUAUGAAUUGAAUGAAUUAGAUGAGGUGCAUUCUUUGCUUUUAUUUAGAAGACAUGCAUUUCGCAUGGGCCAUUGUUCGGAGGAUUUUGAGGGUGUCUCUCAUGAAAUCUUAUCUACCUUGGGUGGGCUUCCCCUAGCUAUCAAGGUCAUAGGUUCAUACUUAUAUGGAAAAAUAGAUAAAAAGAUAUGGCAAGAUAUAUUGGAGAAACUAAGAAUCGAACCAGAUAGAGAUGUCCAAAAGACAUUGAAGAUAAGUUAUGAUGCUUUGGAACCUACACAAAAGGAGAUUUUUCUGGAUAUUGCUUGCUUUUUUAUCGGCGAAAACAGCAAAUAUGCUGUUUACAUGUGGGAGGACUGUAAACUUUUUCCAUAUCUUGGAAUUGAAGAGUUGAGGCUGAGGUGUUUAGUAAAAAUUGGAGAUUGUGCUGAGUUUAGGAUGCAUGACCAAUUGAGAGAUCUCGGAAGGAGCAUCUUUCGCCAAGGACAACCGCCUGAGAGAUGUCUGAAGCCAUGGCUUAAUAUGCAAAUGGAGGUAACAUAUGGCGCUCUCUCUCUCUCUCUCUCUCUCUCUCUCUCUCUCUCUCUCUCUCUCUCUCUCUCUCUCUCUCUCUCUCUCUCUCUCUCUCUUCUCUCUCUCUCUCUCUCUCUCUCUCUCUCUCUCUCUCUCAUAACUCCAUAAAUUUAAUGUGAUACAUUUUAGCCUUUUAUCUAGUACAACCAGAUGGAAAAAAUAUAUUCACACACCCAUUUAUGUCCCCCUUAGAUAAAUUGUGAUAAUAAUUGGAUUAUAAGUGUCCCAAGGAUGAAAAAGUUACAUUAUUUGAUCCAAGUUCAUUGAUAUAAAUUACAUCCGUCAAAAACUUAAUUUUGCAAUCAAUUUAAGAUUCUUUAACUAGGAUUCUACACUAAAAAUCUUGUUCACUAAAAGCAUGUAAUUUUAUAUCUACUUGAAACUAUUGAUAAUUUGAAAGAUUACAAUAAUUUAAUUAAGAUGAAGCAUAUACAUCAUAAAUCAGAUAAAUGAAGAUGUUGUGAAUUUUCAUUCAAAACGGUAAUGUACAACAUAAGCUGAUUAUAAUAACUAAUAAUUAACCAAAUUAGUUGCCCUAAAGAAAAAUUUCACUCAUCAUAGGUGCUUGCUUUCUAGUACGGUCGAAUGUAUUGGGGUGCUCUUAUGAAUUAGGAAAUCAAUGUUUGAUAAACUUAUUUAUUUAUUUUUUUUCCAUUUUGAUUUUGAAGAUACCCCUUCCCCCCACGAGGUAUAUCUAUCUCUUCUCAUUCUUCUUGUGUCUCAAUAGCUAUGAUGGCAAAAUUCACCUUAAGAAUCUUAUAGGGAAGAUCCUUGCAAUGUUUUUAAGGUCAGAUCACGUUGACCUUGUUCAUCUCAUGGAUUUAGGUGUGUGAUAAAGAGUGGAUUUUCUUAUUUUCCUUUCUUUGACUCUUUCAUUUCUCGUUGUCUGUUCCUUCGCUUUUCUUAAUAAACAUUUCUUUCCUCUCCAACUUGUUUUAUAUUAUUUAUAUUUUUUGGUACAAUGCCCUUUUGUGCCAAAAACCCUCGACAAACUCGACAAUUUAGAGGAAAUGUCAUGCUAGUUAUUAUAUCGAUACCUUUUUCUUUACUAAAUAACAUUUUCAGUAUUUUGUCAAUUUUAAAAGUAAGUUUAAUUUUUACUUAGAUUGUCAAUGUUCAUGUCGUUUCAUUAUUUUAUAUUUUCCAUUUAGAGAAGCGUGGUAGGUUCAUAACUGAUCAAUUGGGGGGGGGGGGAAUUAACCUUUGCAAUUAACCAAGAGAUGUUGGGAAAGGAAAAAGCUUUAUUUUCUCGAUUUAAUUUGAAUUAGUUCGUUCAUGUCAUUAUAAACAGCACAUUCUUUUGUUGAGUCAAUAACUAUUCUUAAGAGAAAUAACAUUGACUGAGUUUUUCACUAGUUAAUACAUAAAGUACGGAUAAUGACACACGAGUCAAACCAUAAAAUUAAGCCCAACCUAAAAAAAGAGAAAAAAGAAUUCUAUCUUUGGUUUGAUAGUGUUUGUGGAAGUUCAUAUUUCACUAAACAAAUUUGUCUUUUGGCUAUUUAGUUUAUUCACAAUAUUUCCAAGAAACUACGAAAAAAUGCACUUUCAAGUUAUGUUGAUCGGUCGAUAAUUUUUUUUUUUUAAUGUUUACUUAUAUCUCCUGCCCUAUUGUAUCUUUGCACUUGGCGUAUAAAUAGUAUUACACCAAAAACAAAAACAAAAAAAAAAAACAAGGUACUGCUUUUCAUUUGGAGCAGAUACCGUUGUCACAAAAGUUCAUGUGAAAGAUGAAAGGUGUCGAGUGUUGUGAAAUAUGGAUCAACUAGUCGUGAGCCCAUACCAUGCAUAUACACAAAAUUGACAUGAAUAAAUUUAUCAUGAAAAUAUAACUAUAAUAUCCUUAUCUCUAUUGGAAAAGCACAUAUAGAUAGCAAAUCAUGUUCUUUGGAAAGACAGUUAUAAUUUAUAAGUGGAUAGUUCUUAAUCUUUCAUUAUAGUAAUUCAACUUUAAAAAAAAAAAAAAAAGUCUCUCAUUAUGGUAAAAAUUCAAGCGGGAAACCGCAUUUGAAAGACAUUCCUUUUUUUUUUUCCCCAAUAACAAUGGACGUACUUCUCUUGGAUGGAGUGCACAAAAAAAAAGUUAAAUGCGCUAAAAAUCGAAUUAUAAGGAAUUUAAAAAGAUAUUAAAUGAAAUUGCAUGAAAUGGAAGUGCGAUCAAAGGAAAAUUACGAGGAAAGUAAAAGAUGAACUUUGUUGUGCCAUGCCUGUCUGAUCUUACCUCUGAAUACCUCUUUUAUACCAAUGCCUCGUGUCGACCAUUCUGUUUCUAGGCCAUUCGCAUGUAACUUCCACAUGCAUCAUAUGUCACAUGCAUCAGUUGUUUCCUGCGUUACUUGCCACAUACAACCUAUGACACCUAGUCCUAUACUACUCUUUUCAAGGAAGAGAUUUCUCUAUUAUUCUCUCAACCUAAAUUUUCUCAAAAUCAAGUUCAUUAUAAAUCAUAUUUAUUUAAAUGAAUCCAUGGGCCAUUUUCAAGAAUUGACUCUCAAAAGGGGAAACCUCCAUCAUUAAUCGCAAUUGCUCGCUGUCUAAACAGAGUUAAUCAUAUAUAUAUAUAAACAUGUGUUUUGCUUUUCUUCUAAGAGGGAAUUGCUCAUCAUUUGAAACAUCAAUUGGUGUCACCUGCUCAAUCCAAUAUAAAUGGUGUGCAUAGCGUGGAUCAUGUCUAGUCUAUAUAUGAUAUAACAUGAUACUAUAAUUAUAGAAAUGAGAUUGGUGUCACUUUAGGUCCCUUCCAAUUUUACUAUUAUUGAAGGAUUAGGAAGGAUUCUACUACAAAUAAAAAGUAUGGCAGAGGAGUGAAGUCUCACUUUGGUAGAAUGCUCCUUCUCUAACCAACACAUCCCCGACCGUUAACGGUUAUAUAAUAUUCUCCUCAUCAACAUGUCGUACCAUCCCCAAUUUUUAUCACCAUUCUCUUCUUAUUUUUAAGAGUUUUGAGUUACAAAGUUCACAUAAAAAUAAGCAUAAUGUUAACAUAACAUGCACAUAGCAUGUGUAUAGAUUACCGUGGACAUUAAGCAAAGUCCAUUUGCAAAAAUAGUACCACUUCUAGGUCGAAUUUUGCUUUUACAUUUUACAAAUGCAUUUUCUUGAAUAGGUCGAGUGAGGGGCACUAUUGGCUUGAAAUUACUUUGCUCUAGAAGUGCAUGUUAACAGAUGGGUACUAAUUUCUAAUUUCUAAUUAACCUCUUGAGAAGUAUGCCCAUGCUAAAAACAAAUGUCAAUAUUUACAUCAACAUACCUCUAGAAAACCUAUUUGAUAAAAGUGGGUACUAACGGCUACAUAAGUUCCAUAAUGGUGAAAUACUCCAUUUACUCAUUGCCAGGUGGGACACCAGCUUAAUUAAGUCCGACUGGACGGUUCAAACAGGAAAUUAUUUACACUUGAUAUUGCUAGUAUGAGUACCUAGAGGGGGGUGAAUAGGUUUAUAAAAAUUUUCUUGAAGAUUGCACAAUACUUAGACAGAUGAAGGAUUAAAAAAUCAAUCGUAAGACUGAGUAAAGGAAAGAGAGAAUUGAACACGCGGUUUAUAGUGGUUCGGCUUGAUGCAAGCCUACAUCCACUCUUCUUCACUGACAGCCGAUUGGCUGGAUUCCACUAUGAACAAAGAGAUGUUACAGUGUUGAUCUUCCUUGAUUUCUCGAUGUAGAUGAUCUACUAUACUCGCUCAAGGUAUCACCAAGUAUAAACACUCUCUAUGUAUACAAUUUCGCUCGAACUGUAUCGACUAACAAUCAAGGUUCUUCAGACUCUGGAAUUUUUCUAUCAAUCACACACUUAAAACAACUAAAACGACUUCCUUUUAUACUUCUUUAUGCCAUCAUAGCCGUUGGCACUUACCAAAGGAAUUCCUCCAAUCUACCCGUUGGACGGAAUCAAUUAAGAAGAUCAUCCGAGCUAUUUAAGGAAUCUGAUGAUAGCCCAUCAAUCCUGAUAGCCCAUCAAUCCUUUUCGCCCAUACAAUCAGGAUUUUGGUUUUCAAGAAUAGAACAUUCCAAGAAUGUUUCGUCGACCAUCGGAUCUUCAAUUGUUCUUAGAUAAGAAUAACAGAAUCCGAAGUGAUUAUCCAACCAAGAGAUCUUUUCCAGAGGAUUGGAUCGAAUCCCCAACCAUAUACUUCGGCUUCGGAUAUCCUUCGCCACUGGAUUAGAAAGACUGUCAGUGAGAAUAAUCUUGAGUCUUGAGUCUUGAGUCUUGAGUCUUGAGACUUGAGAUUACAAAGUCUUGAGACUUUAAACUAUCGAUAUCCAGACUAGAUUGAUAGAAAUGUUUUGUCAGCUUCAAAAUAUUCUGGAAAGAUUUCUCCAACAAUCUCCCCCUUUUUGAUGGUGACAAAACUUUCUUGUAGAUUUGAACAACUUUGACCUGUAAAAACAUUUCUCAAGCAAUAUGGCUAACUCAUAAAGAUUAAUAAACAACCAGACUCUGCAUCCACAGCAAAUUGGUUAGUCUUUCAUGAGUAAUACCAUAUAACAGUACUUGAUAUAAAUGCAACCAGUCAAGCAUCAAAAUCCACAGCCAAUUCAGUCUCACACCNNNNNNNNNNNNNNNNNNNNNNNNNNNNNNNNNNNNNNNNNNNNNNNNNNNNNNNNNNNNNNNNNNNNNNNNNNNNNNNNNNNNNNNNNNNNNNNNNNNNNNNNNNNNNNNNNNNNNNNNNNNNNNNNNNNNNNNNNNNNNNNNNNNNNNNNNNNNNNNNNNNNNNNNNNNNNNNNNNNNNNNNNNNNNNNNNNNNNNNNNNNNNNNNNNNNNNNNNNNNNNNNNNNNNNNNNNNNNNNNNNNNNNNNNNNNNNNNNNNNNNNNNNNNNNNNNNNNNNNNNNNNNNNNNNNNNNNNNNNNNNNNNNNNNNNNNNNNNNNNNNNNNNNNNNNNNNNNNNNNNNNNNNNNNNNNNNNNNNNNNNNNNNNNNNNNNNNNNNNNNNNNNNNNNNNNNNNNNNNNNNNNNNNNNNNNNNNNNNNNNNNNNNNNNNNNNNNNNNNNNNNNNNNNNNNNNNNNNNNNNNNNNNNNNNNNNNNNNNNNNNNNNNNNNNNNNNNNNNNNNNNNNNNNNNNNNNNNNNNNNNNNNNNNNNNNNNNNNNNNNNNNNNNNNNNNNNNNNNNNNNNNNNNNNNNNNNNNNNNNNNNNNNNNNNNNNNNNNNNNNNNNNNNNNNNNNNNNNNNNNNNNNNNNNNNNNNNNNNNNNNNNNNNNNNNNNNNNNNNNNNNNNNNNNNNNNNNNNNNNNNNNNNNNNNNNNNNNNNNNNNUUCUUUCUCCUUCUCUCUCUGCUCUUCUUCUUCUCUUUGGUUCUUCUGAAGUUCUGUCGGUUGAGACACAGAACGUCUGGUUCUUGUCAAUGCUUGGAUAGUAGGAUCUUCAUCCUCUUCAUCUUCAUCCUCCAGGAUGAGAGAUCUUUUCUUCUUUUUCGAUGGGGCUCCAAUGGCCUCCUUUCCUUUUCUCUUUGAAACAGUCUGAACAGGAGAUUUUACUCUGAAUUUCUCCAUUGCCUUGGAAAGUUCUUGCAGACGCAUCUUCGUUAACAUCUUCAAUCCUACCACCAUCUUAUCACACGGUUGAACACAAAGUGUUUGUGGCGGUUCAAUAUUCAUGUGUCUGAAGAUCUUGGUCACCAAACCAGGAUAAGGCAAUUGUCCUUUGUCUUUCGACAUUGCUCUGUACAUAUGGAAGAGAAUAGUGUGCGGGAGAGAGAACUUCCGUCCUGAGUUGAUCGCGUACAUCAACUUUGCUUCAGAAAGAGACACGGAAGUCUUUGACGUAGACUUCGGUUUGAGACAGUUGAUUACUAUCUUAUGAAGCACAAUGUUGAUGGCAUUCAUCCUGGAAUAGGUAACUUUCUUCUCUGCGUUCCUAUCUUUGACAAGUUCCAGAGUAGUACGAGUAGGUGAGACUUUGAUUGGUAGAUAACGUCCUCGUUCAACUCCAACUAUGUCCGCCAACAUAUUCACAUCUACCACGUAGACUUGGUCUCGUACACUGAAUGAAAUUCUAUUCGCAUCCAGAAAGCUAAGAUUUGAAUAGAAAUAAGCGGUCAGAUGAGCAUACCCGUCAGUAGAGUCAGAGCAAAAAUUCUUAAGUUGAAAUAAAUUCAACUUUUCUCUUAAGUUUAUGUUGAUGGCGUCCAGGAAGUCAAAAUCGACACUUCUAGGGUUUAUCACCCCUCUUUUCAACAGCCUGAAAUACACUUUUUCCUGAUCCUUGGAUUUGAACAAAUCCAUCCGAUUUCCUUUCACCUUUGCUGCCACUCCCAUUUUCGGUUGAAAUUCAUGGAACAUUCUGUCAUCAUCGUUCCCUUCAAUUAAAUUUUGUCCUGGCAUACGAGGAUCACUUGGAAUGUUUGCACGUGCGUCCUCUACUUUUCCUUUCGGGGCAAUUCCCAAAUCCUCCAUUUUCCUCAGAAAAAAAUACUCAUUCCCAUAAUUUUUGUCCUUAAGGAAGUCAUCUAUAUAUUGCAAUGGAGUACCGGUGCUUUUCAACGCACGAUAAAGUUUAUAGAUAAAGGAGGGUUUUUGGACUCUUACUGGGUCGGCAUCCUCGAUUAUCUCUUCUUCCAGAAGAUUACUUGCAUCUGUGGGGCAGGAGGCGUUGAAUGACGUGGAUGAGAGCGAAUCGGACUUUGUCGCUGACUUGUUAAGUCUUCUUCCUCAGUGAGGAUCGAAGUGAGUCCGGCCCCUUCCUCCAUUCUUUGGGGGCCCGCUGCUUGCGAUUCUUGAUGAUUUCCUCGAAGAAGACAUCUUUCUUUGUCGAUGGAAAAUUCCCUCCAGUCGCUUUUCCCAGNNNNNNNNNNNNNNNNNNNNNNNNNNNNNNNNNNNNNNNNNNNNNNNNNNNNNNNNNNNNNNNNNNNNNNNNNNNNNNNNNNNNNNNNNNNNNNNNNNNNUUUUAAGGUUUUGAGAUUGGGAAAGAAAAACUGUAUAUAUAUAACUCAGUUUUGAAAAGGGAAGUUCAAACGGUGCAAGGAAAGUGUAUGAACAUUUUUUUUUUUCAAAAUCAAUAACUGCCAAAAUUAUUUCUUUUUAAAAAGACAAGUCUUCAAAUUUCACACGGAUUAUAGAAUAACCGAAAGAUCGUACCUUUUAGAUAAAAUACAACUUACAGUCUAUAGCCACGAAUGUCUGAGUCUGAGGAUUUAAAGUCUGAAAGAUUAGAGUCUUAGAGUUAGUGAGUCUCUAGACUUUAACUUCUUCAAGCUUCAAAAUGUUGAGUCUUGAACGGAUGAAGUCGAAUUGAUUUUUCUCCAAAGGCUUUGUGAAUAUAUCCGCUAGUUGACUCUUUGAAUCAACAAAUUGAAUCGAGAUUUCUCCAUUUUGAAUAUGAUCUCUAAUGAAGUGAUGUCGAAUCUCAAUAUGCUUUGCUCUUGAAUGAAGGAUUGGAUUUUUGGUGAGAUUGAUCGCACUGGUGUUGUCACAUCUGAUUUCUGUGCAUGAGUCUUCAAUCCCAAAGUCUUGUAGCUGUUGUUUUAUCCAUAGAAUUUGCGAACAGCAGCUUCCAAGAGCUACAUACUCUGCUUCUGUCGUUGAGAGAGCUACAGUGCUUUGCUUCCUCGAAAACCAAGACACUGUCCUGUUUCCAAGCAGUUGACAAGUUCCAGAAGUGCUUUUUCUAUUGACUCUGCAACCGGCCAGAUCUGCAUCUGAGUAUCCUAGAAGAUUAAAGUCUCCCUUCUUGGGAUACCAGAGACCGAUGCUUGAAGAUGAGGCAACGUAUUUGAUAACACGUUUUACAACACUGAGAUGGGAUUCUCUAGGAUCUGAUUGAAACCUAGCACAAAUGCAAACACUCAACAAAAUAUCAGGUCUAGAAGCAGUAAGAUAAAGAAGUGAACUGAUCAUGCUCCUGUACAGCUUUUGAUCUACUUUCUUCCCUUCUUCAUCCUUGUCUAUCUUCUGAGAACAUGACAUUGGUAUGUCGGUCUUUUUGCACUUUUCCAAUCCAAACCUUUUGACAAGAUCAUUCGCAUAUUUUUCUUGAUAAAUAAAAGUUCCUUCCUUCAUUUGUUUCACUUGAAGUCCAAGAAAGAAUGUUAACUCUCCCAUCAUACUCAUUUCAAACUCAUCCUGCAUAGACUUAGAAAAUUUCUUGCAUAGACUUUCAUUUGGUGAUCCAAAAAUAAUAUCGUCCACAUAUAUUUGAACAAGUAAAAAACUUUUGUUUUCCUUUUUGAUAAACAAAGUAGUAUCUACUUUACCUUUGACAAAACCAUUCUGUAAUAAAAACUUACUUAGUCUGUCGUACCAAGCUCGAGGUGCUUGCUUUAAACCAUACAAGGCAUUUUUCAGUCUGAAGACUGAGUCUGGCUUCUUUGGGUCUUCAAACCUAGGUGGUUGUUCCACAUAAACUUCCUCAUGGAUGAAUCCAUUUAGGAAUGCACUUUUGACGUCCAUUUGGAAUAACCUGAAAUUUUUAUAACAAGCAAACGCAAGUAAUAGACGAAUAGCUUCUAACAUUGCUACUGGAGCGUAAGUCUCAUCAUAGUCUAUUCCUUCUUCUUGCGUAUAUCCUUUGGCCACGAGUCUUGCUUUGUUUCGUACGACUUUUCCUUCUUCAUUCAUCUUGUUCCUGAAUACCCAUUUGGUUCCAAUAACAGUUUUACCUUUUGGUUUAGAUGUCAAUUUCCAGACAUCAUUGAUGUUGAACUGUCUGAGUUCUUCUUGCAUAGCUUCGAUCCAACUUUCAUCAGAUAAAGCUUCUUCUAUGCUUUUUGGUUCAAUUUCAGAAAUGAGAGCCACAGCACUAGAUUCUUCACGCCUUUUUGAUCUGGUGCGGAUUCCUUCAUUGAUUUCACCAAUAAUGAGAUCUUUGGGAUGACUGGAUUUAUGCUUCCAGUUACUGGUUGAUCUGCCUGGUUGAUGAUCUCUUUCUUUAUUUGAAUCUUCAUGAGAUUCUUGAUGUUGGACUUCCAGAGACUGAGAUGCUUCUUGAGUUGUAAGCGUUGGAAGGUCUGGAGUGGGUUCAGACUCUUCAUACUGAGUCUGACUGGAUUCAUCUUGCAUUGAGUCUUGGAAUUUGACAUUCAUUGAUUCCUCCACCGACUGGCUUUUCUUGUUAUAGACUCUGUAGGCUUUGCUUGAUGUAGAAUAUCCAAGGAAGAUGCCUUCAUCUGAUCUUUCUUCAAACUUACCAACCCGAUCAUUUGCAUUUUUCAAAAUAAAGCAUUUGCAACCAAACACAUGAAAGUAUGAAACAAUAGGCUUCUUACCUUUGAACAAUUCAUAUGGGGUUUUCUCUAAAAUAGGUCUUAAAAAGACUCUAUUUAUAAUAUAGCAUGCUGUUAAAACAGCUUCAGCCCAAAAUCGUGAAGAAAUUUUGCUUUCAAUUAUAAGUGUUCUAGCCAUUUCUUGAAGAGAUCUAUUCUUUCUUUCCACAACUCCAUUUUGCUCUGGAGUAUAUGGAGAGGAAAACAUAUGAUUAAAACCAGAUUUAUCACAAAAUUUCGUAAAAUCUUGAUUUUCAAAUUCACUUCCAUGAUCUGUUCUUAUGCUUGAGAUUACACAUCCUUUUUCAUUUUGAACCUUUUUGGCAAAUUUUUCAAAAUACGAAAAGGUUUCUGAUUUACUUGCAAGGAAAUAUACCCAAGUAAAGCGGGAGUAAUCAUCCACAAUUACUAGGCAAUAUUUCUUACCUCCAAUGCUCUGGGUUCUGGUUGGUCCGAAAAGAUCCAUAUGAAGCAACUGUAGUGCAUGAUUAGUAGAGACAUGAUUUAUUGGCUUAAAUGAAUUUCUUACCUGCUUUCCCAGAAUGCAUGGAGUGCAUGAACCAGACUUUUGGUAUUGCAAUUUAGGUAGACCUCGAACAAGCUCCUUUGAUGAGAUUUUGGCUAAUUGUUUCAUAUUGACAUGGCCAAGCUUUCUGUGCCAUAAGACUGCUUCAUCUUGAAUUGAGAUUAGGCAUUGUGCUUCAUUUGGUUUUACAUCAAGGAGGUAGAUAUUUCCAUGCCUUCGACCCAUGAAAGACUGAGUUGAGUCUUUGCUAAUUCCAGAACAUAUGCCUUCUUGAAAGGAGAUCUUGAAACCAGUAUCACACAAUUGGCUAAUGCUUAGAAGAUUGUAGUUGAGUCCUUCCACUAGAGAGACAUUGCUUAUUGUGAGAUUUCCAAUUUUCACAGUUCCAAAUCCCACAAUGCUUCAUUUGCUGUUUCCUCCAAAUGAGACUUUUCCACCAUUCACUUGAACAAGCUUUAUGAAGCAAUUUGAGUCUCCUGUCAUGUGUUUUGAACAUCCGCUGUCAAGGUACCACUUAACUUUCUUUUUGACAGAAACCUGCAUUAAAAGAGAGUCUCAUGCUUUCUUUGGUACCCAAAUUUUCUUGGGUCCUUUGGCGUUAGUAGAAUGAGCAUUACUAGGCCAUACUUUUUUAACAGGCUUCCAAACCAUAGGACACUCUUUUUCAAAAUGAUCCUGACUGUUACACUUUGAACACCUUAGAGCAUUUCGACCUACAGACUUUACAAAGACUUUCUUGAAAUGAUUUUUGUAAGCCUCUUUUGACGGUUUUUUAUUAAUUCUUUCUUUUACUUUUGAAAAAUCAAUCAAAGGAAUUGUUUCUGCUGUCAUACCUAAACCAGACUUAUUGAAGUAAGGUCUUUGGACUGAAAGAACUUUUUCAAGUUUUUCAGACCCUAUUGAAAAUUUCUUUGAAAUAUUUGAUAAGUCAGUUUUUAAGAAAGCAUUUUCUUUUGAAAGUUUAUCUUCAUUCUCCUUAAGAGUAGAAACAUUCAAGCCUAAACUUUUCACUUUUUCUUCUAAAAUAUUUUCCUUUUGUUUUAAAACUGAGUUUUCCUUUUUAAGUUCGGAAAUCUUUUUGAGAGAAGUCUUAAGACUAAAACAUAGUUCACCAAUGUAUUUAGAGACUUUGACAGGGAUUUUAUAAUCACUUACCUCAAAUUCACUGUCUGAGUCUGAUCCAGAGUCUGAGUCUGAUUGUGCCAUCAGACAUAGAUUGGCAUAUUCCUCAUCACUAUCUUCACACUCUGUAUCGCUCCAAGUUUCGGCUUUGAGAGCUUUUCGAGACUUUUCAGCUUUUCCUCUCUUCUUCUUCAGGAGAGGACAAUUUGGUCUAAUGUGUCCCUUUUUCUUACAUUCGAAGCAAACUACAUCUUUGUUUGGUUCCUCAUUAUCAACAAACUUGGUUUGCUGUUUCUGAAGACUUUGUUUCCUUGAGUUGAACCUUCUUCCUUUUCUAUUCAGCUUUCUGAACUUUCUUAUCAUUAGAGCAAGCUCCUCAUUGUCCAAAUCUUCUUCAGAGUCUGUAUCAUCAGAAUCAUCGUUAGAUUUUAAUGCAAUGGAUUUCUUACCUCUUGGAUCUUCGUCUUCAUUAAUUCGUUCCACUUCGUAGGACUGAAGAGUUCCAAUCAGCUCGUCUACAGAUAAUGGCAUAAUUCUUUGCGUCUCUCUUAUUGAAGUCUUUAUAUGAUUCCAAUCCUUGGAGAGUCCACGCAGCAGUUUGUUCACCUUCAUAGGAUCAGAAAUUUUCUGUCCUUGAUUUUCAAGGCCAUUGACAAUAUCUGUAAAAAGGCUAAACAUGUCAGUUAUAGAUUCUCCUGGUUUCAUUUUGAAGGCUUCAUAUUGACCAAGGAGAACGUUAAUUCUGGUCUCCUUCACUCGGUCUGUCCCUUCAUAAGUGAUAUGUAAUCUGUCCCAGACUUCUUUUGCUGUGACACAAGAAGAUAUUCUGUUAUAUUCAGUUGGUGAUAAAGCACAAUAUAAAGAGUAAAUUGCUUUUGCAUCGAGUGCUUGUCUCUUGUUUAUCUCUUCUUGAGACAUUCCGCUGAUAUCAACAGUUUCUUUCCCUCUUUCGGAUACUGAUGCAGCAGUAGGAAUAAUUCCUCUUUCCACCACAUCCCAUUCCAGAGGAUCCUUUGACCGUAGAAAAGUUUUCAUCUUGUUUUUCCAGAUGUUGUAAUCCUUUCCAUCAAAGUAGGGUGGUCUGGUAUUGCUUUGCCCUUCCACCAGCCCUGGUGCUAGCAUACUAGCCAUGGAUCUUUUACUGUGAAGUAAAACACUUCAAAUAAAGUAAGAACACGGGCUCUGAUACCAAUUGAUAUUGCUAGUAUGAGUACCUAGAGGGGGGUGAAUAGGUUUAUAAAAAUUUUCUUGAAGAUUGCACAAUACUUAGACAGAUGAAGGAUUAAAAAAUCAAUCGUAAGACUGAGUAAAGGAAAGAGAGAAUUGAACACGCGGUUUAUAGUGGUUCGGCUUGAUGCAAGCCUACAUCCACUCUUCUUCACUGACAGCCGAUUGGCUGGAUUCCACUAUGAACAAAGAGAUGUUACAGUGUUGAUCUUCCUUGAUUUCUCGAUGUAGAUGAUCUACUACACUCGCUCAAGGUAUCACCAAGUAUAAACACUCUCUGUGUAUACAAUUUCGCUCGAACUGUAUCGACUAACAAUCAAGGUUCUUCAGACUCUGGAAUUUUUCUAUCAAUCACACACUUAAAACAACUAAAACGACUUCCUUUUAUACUCCUUUAUGCCAUCAUAGCCGUUGGCACUUACCAAAGGAAUUCCUCCAAUCUACCCGUUGGACGGAAUCAAUCAAGGAAGAUCAUCCGAGCUAUUUAAGGAAUCUGAUGAUAGCCCAUCAAUCCUGUUCGCCCAUACAAUCAGGAUCUUGGUUUCCAAGAAUAGAACAUUCCAAGAAUGUUUCGUCGAACAUUGGAUCUUCAAUUGAUCUUAGAUAAGAAUCAAAGAAUCCGAAAUGAUUAUCCAACCAAGGGAUCUUUUCCAGAGGAUAGGAUCGAAUCCUCAACCACAUACUUAGGCUUCGGAUUUCCUUCGUCACUGGAUUAGAAAGACUGUCAGUGAGAAUAGUCUUGAGUCUUGAGUCUUGAGUCUUGAGAUUACAAAGUCUUGAGACUUUAAACUGUCGAUAUCCAGACUAGACUGAUAGAAAUGUUUUGUCAGCUUCAAAAUAUACUGGAAAGAUUUCUCCAACAACACUUAAUAGUGCCAGGAAUCAAACUCAUAUCAUGAUACACAAAUGCACAUUCCUUGACCACUAAAUGAGCUGCGUGGGGUUGCCUCUCAAUUAUAUCAGCCAAAUCUUUCAGAAAACUAUCAAUUGUUCCUUAUAUUGCUUUUGGUAAAUCCUAAAGAACUUCUCGAUCAAAAAAAAAAUUCCUAAAGAACUUGAGCAUAGAAUAAAUUGAAAAGAAAAAAAUAACUCACUAGACAUGUCUCCUUAGUGCCUAACCGUGUGUGGCCAAGUGCCCGCUAUGAUCUAGAAUUGCACGCCCAACCGAGCAUGACUAGGUGCCCACUUUGAUCCAGAAUCGCACCGCUACGCUGUUCAAGCGAUUGAGUCUUGCUGGAGGCCCAACCACCGACCAGUAGCUUAGGCUACUUGCGAUCUCUGUUAUGGGCAUCUCAGUCUGUUCCUCUGAACAUUUACGCCAUGUCAAUGUGUAGAUUGAGUGGCGGCUUGAUUUAUUUGUGGUCAAUCUCAAGAUGCUAAUCCAAUAGAAAGCUUAAGAUUUAAAAUUUCGAUACUUGAACGUCAUCCAAUACUGUCAUUGAUCAGCUAAGCUUUUAGGGGAAAAAUAAUAAAGUAUUGUUGUUUAUGUCGAUCAAGCCGUCUAGGAUUUUGUCACCAUCUUCUUCCAAUUAAAUGAUCUCCUUUAGCAACAAAGUUUAAGCGGUACUUUUGACUUAUAAGAUGCGAAAAGAAAUGGUGCCAGUCUUGGGAAAUGGACAUAUGUAUCUACACUUUUCUCUUUAGGUAACAUAAGUAGAUUUUUCCAGAAAGUUUCGUGUGGCACAGUUUGCCAGAAGAUGUUGCCCAGCAUCGACAAACCUACUGUUCCAUAUGUUAAGACCUUAAUCUAACUAUAACAGCAUGUAAGGAAGUUAAUUAGUUCAUUUUUAGUUGGUCUAAAACCAGCUCUCUUCCAAUUUCCGUCAAAAUCUAAAAUAUUAUUCAAAUGCUAAAGGUGUAUUGCUAAAGAAUGAUUAAACACUUAAUAACAAUAGUUAACAAAUUGAAAAUAAGGUGCUUACUUAGCUAUUUAACAAGUGACCCACGGGUGCUCUUUAACAUUUGUAUGUUUUAAAAGGUUUCAUUUCCACUUUAAUAAAAAUCAAAGUACAUGCACUACAAAAUUCCGAAAAAAGCGAGAGGUAAGAAUUGAGGUGUUUCAUCUUGAAUUUUUUAAAGCAAGAAAAAGUGUUCUUUUUAUUUAAAAUAUUGUUUGAAUUUAAAAAUUUAUCAAAAUACUACAUGUGUGUGUUUAUCUGUCAACAUUUAUGUUGGCGAGGGGUAAAAAGAUGAUAAAUUGUGAAAGUAUGGGGUUUAGAAAAGCAAAAGUAAAAAAUUAGAAGUCGAUUCAGACACUCAAUUGAUUGAUUUGAUAUGCAGCGUUUCAAGAGUAGCUUCGAUUAUUGGUCCCAUGGCUGUUCCUCUACGUGCACAAGUGAACUGUUUAAAAACUUACCAAGCUCAAGGUUCCUUUCAUUUGCCGGACGACCAUAAGUGGAGACUUUGAUGAAUUGUUUCAUGAAUUAAGAUGGCUUCGAUGUUUAUACAUUGAACCCGAUAUAUUUUCUUCUGCAAUCAAUUUGCAUCUAUCUAAAUUAGUGGUGCUAGAAUUGUCACAAAACAAGCUUACAGAUGAUUGGGGAGGAUGGAGUUCGAUCAUGGUAAGAUGGAAAAAAAGACAUCUUCUAUGAUCUUUGCUUUGUUUUGUUUUAUCGAUUAAACUCCUUUUUGACAGCUUUUUUUCUUUUGUACAAGCGGCAAAGCAGCUAAAAGUUCUCAACCUUUCAUAUAGCCAGGAGUUAAGAUAUACUCCCAUCUCUCAACUUUCACGAAGUUGGAGAUUCUCAUAUUGUCCAAUUGUUACAAACUAAAACAAGUCGACCCUUCUAUUGGCAAACUCAAGAGCCUCAUUUCCUUGGACUUGUGUAGAUGUAGUAAUCUAAGAAAGCUACCAGAGGAAGUGAAGGAAUUGCAAGAACUAAAAGAACUCCUUUUAAUUUCUAUUGGCAUUACACAAAUUCCUAUGUCAGUAUGUUCUUUGAGGAAGCUAGAAAAAUUGUCUCUUAGAUCUUGUCAUUCAUUAGUUGAAAUCCCUCUCGCAAUUGGGAAUCUUUCGUCUCUCCAAUACCUUGACCUCAAUUACUGUUCAUCAUUGAGGAAAAUCUCACACUCGAUUGAGAAUCUUUCUUCUCUCAAACGACUUGAACUAGGUGGUUACACGUCAUUGAUAGAAAUCUCUAGCUCGAUUGGGAAUCUUUCUUCUCUUGCACGACUUAAACAAGGUGGUUGCACGUCAUUGAUAGAAAUCCCUAGCUCAAUUGGGAAUCUUUCUUCUCUCAAACAACUUGAACUAGGUGGUUGCACGUCAUUGACAGAAAUCCCUAGCUCAAUUAGGAAUCUUUCUUCUCUCGAACAACUUGAACUAGAUGGUUGCACGUCAUUGAUAGAAAUCCCUAACUCAAUUGGGAAUCUUUAUUCUCUCAAACGACUUAAACUAGGUGGUUUUAAACUAGGUGGCUGCACGUCAUUGACAGAAAUCCCUAGCUCAAUUGGGAUCUUUCUUCUCUCAAACGACUUCGUCUAAAGUUUUGCUUCUCAUUGACAGAAAUCCCUAACUCAAUUGGAAAUCUUUCUUCUCUUGAACAACUUGAUCUAGGGUGUUGCGAGUCAUUGACAGAAAUCCCUAGUUCAAUUGGAAAUCUUUCUUCUCUCGAACAACUUGAUCUAGGGAGUUGCAAGUCAUUGACAGAAAUCCCUAGCUCAAUUGGGGUCUUUCUUCUCUCAAACAACUUCAGCUAUGGGGUUGUGUGUCGUUGAGAGAAAUCCCUAGCUCAAUUGGGAAUCUUUCUUCUCUCAAAACACUUCAGCUAGGGUUUUGCUCCUCAUUAACAGAAAUCCCUAGCUCAAUUCAGAAUCUUUCUUCUCUUGAACAACUUGAUCUAAGGUGUUGCGAGUCACUAACAGAAAUCCCUAGUUUAAUUGGAAAUCUUUCUUCUCUCAAACAACUUGAUCUAGGGAGCUGCGAGUCAUUGACAGAAAUCCCUAGCUCAAUUGGGGAUCUUUCUUCUCUCAAACAACUUCAGCUAGGGGGUUGCAAGUCAUUGACAGAAAUCCCUAGCUCAAUUGGCGAUCUUUCUUCUCUCAAACAACUUCAGUUAGGGGGUUGCAAGUCGUUGAUAGAAAUCCCUAGCUCAAUUGGGAAUCUUUUUUCUCUAAAAAAACUUCAUCUAAAGAGUUGCGAGUUAUUGACAGAAAUCCCUAACUCAAUUGGGGAUCUUUUUUCUCUCGAACAACUUCAGCUAGGGGAUUGUGUCAUUGAGAGAAACCCCUAGCUCAAUUGAGAAUCUUUCUUCUCUCAAAUACCUUAACCUUUAUGGGUGUUGUUUACUAAAAGAAAGUCCUAACUCAAUUGGGGAUUUACCGAAUUUACAAAGCAUUGGGGAUUUUUUACCUUGAAUAGUUACCCAUUGCUAUUGGAUGGUUGAACAAACCGCCAAAGGCUAUUUCUUGAAUCUUGUGAUAGUCUAAAAGGGGGAAUUCGAAGAGAAAAUAAUGAUUUGUCUUUACUCGUGAUUCUCCAUAUCACUGGCACAUUGAUAUUUGACCCAUUAGAAAGCAUCUGGAAUCUUUCUUCUCUCUAAUGCCUUGACCAAGGGGGCUGUAAGGAGCUCGAUUGUUUCUAGAGCUUUCCUUUGGCUUAACAUAUCUUUAGGUCAAUUCCCUGAUUCCCAGGUUGCCAAAGCUUUCUUACAUAUUCCACCUGGAGGAACUUCAUUUUUAUGGAUACGAUCAACUUGCGUACUUCCCAGAGCUUUCCUCAAGACUCUUGAAACUUUGUGUUGACUCCUAUCCUAAGUUGAUAUUGCCUGAGCUUGAUGGAUUCAAGUACUUGGAAGAGUUGUCGAUAAAACACUACAAUUCCAUUGAAAGAAUGGAUCUCUCACAAUCGAAUCUUUUGAAAGGAUUGGGAAAUUGAAGAUUGCGAUAAUCUAGUUGAAAUUUAGGGCCAAGGUAAAUUGGAGUUCUUGGAGACAAUACAUACAUAUAGCUGCAAGUCCAUUAGAAGGUCGAUCCAUCCGAAAUUAUUAGGGCUUGAAACGAUUAAAUACUUGCUAUUGUGACAAUCUACCCAAAAUACAAGGUCUUGAUAAGGUGGAGUCGUUAGAGGUGUUCGAUGUCUGUAAUUGUGGUUCCAUCGAAAGAUUAUUUGACCUAUGAUGCUUUUGGAACUUGAAAGAGUUGAUUAUCAAUGGUUGUCAUAAUCUACGUGGUGUGGAGACUCAAUUCCCAGUCUUACAUAAUUGCAAGAGUGGGGACGUCGGUUCUAGAAGCUAACGUGAUGUUUUAGCCAAGAUCAAAAUUUAGAUCCAAUUGUGGUUCUUCAUACAUUAGAAGGGGUUGGUCAUCUGGUAAGAUUCUUCGUCCUUUAACAACUAGCAUGAGCGAAAAGUGUAAUACUUUUCUAACAGAUAUAUCUUUUAAGAAUUAUUUGCUCAACGCUUGGUAUCUAUUUGAUCUGGAUUUGCCUAAAUAUAUUUGCUGUUGAUUGCAUCAUGACAAUGUUUUUUCAGCUAAACUUCAAUUGGCGUGCAGUUUAUAAAUUGAGUUGCAGACAGGUAUACAAGAAUUACUUAGUGAUUUACAAGAAUUAACAACAUAGGUAUACAAGAAUUACUUAGUGAUUUACAAUUUCCCUCUUGGUAAACCCAAGAUGAGAAUUUUUCAUCAAGAGGUUGAUCUUCUGCAACUCAAUUUAUAAACUGCGCGCUAGAUCCUUUUUUCUCUUUCUCAAACUAGUAUUUUUCUUUAAAAAAUUCUUCGCCAUUUUGAACUCUUUUUGUGAGCAAUUUUAUAUGUCAGAUUUGACUAUCGAUAGUGAUGAUGGGAAAGCCUGUCCAUUGUUCAUUCGAGCAUGAAUUCUCAAUAAGGAAGAGAAACUGAGCUAAAAUAAAAAUCAGGGUUCAAUUUUUUUCUGGUACGUGAUUUAAAAAAGUAGAAAAUUAGUUUUGGCUAGCCUUUUUCAUCUAUGAUUGUAGGCAGGCUUUCCAUAAACAAUUAUGAGACUAUUGAAAUAUUAUCAAGUGAGAUAAAUUGGUGCUAGUUUUGUGACAGGUCCAGUUGGUCUAUGUAAUGAUCAAGACUUACUUUUGGACUUCAAUUCAAAGAACUGUAUAGAUGACAUUUUGCAUAAUUGGGACAAUUUUUUGCCUGCUCUGUAAAACAAGCUAGGCAAGGAGCUUAAGAUUUUGCCUAUUAUUUUGCAUCCCAUUUGAUCUUGAUGUCGCAUUUUAUCAAAUGAUUGAUCUGGGUUAGGCUAACUUGGCUGAGGCAAUUCAUAGUCCACACUAGAGAUUGAUCAAAUGAAGAAGAGGGAUUUUGCUGAGGUGUCAUCAACAACAGCUGAAUGCUAGCUUUUGUGUGACCUUGAAUAGGCUCAUGGGCCAACUGGAGUGUCCUAAGGAAGUUUCUUAUGCCUAUGAAGAUCAAAGCACUUGAUAUGGUUUCAUCAGCACAAAACUGAAUGAUUGUGAAUGUAUUAUUUUUCAGUUGAAUCUACUUUUUGUAUGCUCAUUAGGUUCUACUUCUAUUAAGCAAAUACAUACGUGCUGAUUUUUCUACAUGUUAACCAGAUGCAGAGUUCUUUGAUGCAAUGCACUCUAAUGGUAUCAUUCCCAAACCCAGUUAGGCUCUGCUGAUAGAGGUAUGCACUGCCAGUCCUGCCGUAACUGUGAAAGUGUGACUCGUGUACUUAUAUUUAAUUGAAUGGGUUGCGUGCUUGUUAGGUUCUACCUCUCUGUCAAUCAAAUAUGUAUGUGCUGAUUUUUCUGCAUGUUAUCCUGAUGCGGAGUUGUUUGAUGCGGUCUCGUUCUAAUAAUAUCACUUUCAAACCCAAUGAGGCUCUGCGGAUGGAGGUAUGUACUACCAGUUGUACCAUAAUAGAGCAACUUGUGUGCUUAUACUAUUUGAGCUGUGGAAUUUCACCAGAAAUCCGUGAACUAGGAUGCAUGAUGACAAUCUCCUCUUUUUCCGUCAGUUCAUAAUAUCUUUUGACUGUUGUGAUAAAGGUCUCUGAUACGACAGCUUAAAUCUCAUGUAUGCAUCAUUAAAUUUGUAAAGUUAAAUAUAGCCUCUUAGCAAACAAUUCCGUAUUGCUGAUUUCGCUAAUGGAUAUUGCAAAAUAACCAAGUAACAAGUACGCCUUUCUGUUCUAUAGUUUGGGCACUUUGCCUUUUCAGCAUCCGUUCUGUUCAUAAACACAAACAAGGGUGAUGGUGCUAAUUGCUGACUUCUCUUCUCUUAAGUCCGUUGUUUUCUAUUUCUUUGGCUGAUAAUGAAUUAUGUUGAUUGCGAUCCAACUGCGAAUUAAUCAGAGACCCCUGUAAUGUGUGGCAGAACUAAUGUCCCUAGAUUUUGGUGUUGAUAGAUGAGAUUCAUUGAAGAGGUCACUCGUAGAUCGCUAGAAUCUGGACCAAGUCAAAAUAAUCUUGUUUAUAUUGAUGGACUCUCAAGUCUAUGCUUACUAUUUUCAGCUAAUUUUAGGUUCUUCAUUCCAAAUACAUUUAAAAAUAGACAGAACUAAGGAUCCAUGUAGCCGUGCCUUUAUCUCUCUUCGAGAUGAUUGGAAAGUGUGACACAUUUUUACUCUCAUCCAUCUUGAGUAACACAUGCAUCACCCUCAUUUUCUGACCAUCUUUAGCAAGUGCCCUGGUGGAGACUAGUUAGAAGUCUUCUAAGGUUGAUUUGUUAGUGUUCGUAACUUUUGAUGAAAUAUCAUAAACAACCUGAAUUUAUCAUUCAUUCUUUUCCUGAAUCUAUCACGAAGUACAUAUGUUGCCUGUAGAAUUAUAAUUAUUUUCAAAAUUUCAUGUGACAACAGCUGAUUGGAAAAGCCAAUGAAUGUGAGACCCAAUUAUAGGGUUUACAUUUGAUGAUGCAGUUGAAAUUAUAAGAGACACACCUUCGGAUCGUCCAAAACUUAAUGACUUGCCUCGAAGGACACAACCAAGAGAAGGGAACAAAAUCUCACCAAGGAAUGAAAAAGGAGAAGGAGAAGGGGAAGGAGAAGAAGAUUGCCUCAACUAAGUUGACAACAAAAUUGUAGCUACCACUGCUGCCGGGACCUUCUCAUGUGGACUUCGGUGCCACCUCCUCUGUGGUUUAACUGGUACGAUGACUAAUUCAUGAAAUAUUUGAUAUAAUGCCAAAGUGCUAAUUUCCAAGUCCCCUUCAUUUAUUGAGUAGUAUAAGCUUGCACAAGUUCAAUUUCCUUGCUCUCGUACCAGCAGCAGCAUCACAAGGUCCGGUCUUCCAAUUCCUGCGGAAAUGUUCUUUUUUAUUCUUUGCAGGGUUUUGUAACGAUAAAUUGUUGAUACUCCCUGCAAUAACCGCCGACGAUCGUGGUGUACAUGGUCACAUCUAGCUCUCAGCCGGUGUCUUCCAAAUUCUUCAGCAAUCGAACGGCUUUUCCAGUAUUGCCGGUUCUGCACAAUCCCUCAUCAUGGCUUGGCACGUGGUUAUAUCUACCUCGAUUGUCUGGCCAACAUUUCAUCCGCUAAGCUCGUGGCUUUGGCGAUUCUACCCUCUCCAACGAGCCCAUUGAUCAAAGUGUCGAAAGCUUGCAGUUGUGGGUUCAAGUCCAAGUUUGACCAUUUUACACAAAACUGAGGACCCGAGAUCGGAUCUUUUCAAUUGGCAGAGGUAAUUCAUCAAAAUGUUGGGAAUAGAACUGUUGGGAGUCGUUCUUUUCGAACCCAUCUGCUCGAUCAUGUCAAUGGUGACGGGGUAAUGCUUCAUCUUGGCCCCAACCCCCAAGAGUUGGGCGAAACAUGGAGGUAAAGUCAAGAGGGUUUACUCGAAUCGUCCUCACCAAGAAGAAUAAAGCAUUGUCAGCUUCCACCAAUCCGCCAUUUCUGCAUUUCUUCACCACAAAGGUCACAAGUUCAGAUUGAUCCAUUGAAUCACUCACUCCAGCAGUGGAUGGCCAACCGUGCGAGCGACGUAAAAAAAAUGGUUCGAUGCAAAGAUGGGAUGAGAAGUGAGAGAUUUAGCAAGAUCGCCAGAUUCUCGAACAAGAUGAUGAAGAGCAGAAGUGCAAAUGGAUCGAUUCAUUCUUAUUAGUUUUGCCAAAUUUUCUCCUUCCGAGUUCAAGAAUCCACAAAUUGAUGUGAUGGCUUAUGGAGAGGAUGAUUAUUAGGCAAUUCAAUCACUGAAACUUUAGAUGUUUGAAAACAACAUAGUUUUCGGUUCAAUCAUUGAAAACUACUUGAUUGGCAAACUGAACAUUUCUAGAAAUACUCUGAUCGAUUCAUUCCCGUACUCACCACCUUGCUCAUGAAAUUUUACGGUCUGAUCUCACUUUCUAGCUAAAACAGCACUUUUCACUAUACGUUUUCAAUUAUUUUUAUAGAAGCCAUUGGUGAUGACCCAGGAAAAAGGAAAUGAAGCGGAACAUCAAGAAGGUGGUAUUUGCGCCAUUUUCCUUAUUUCCUAGUUAGUAAUGCAAUUGGAAGAGAAUGUCUUCAAAGUUCAGGCAUAAUUGAAGGAUUGCUGAGUAUUGCAGCUACCUGUGCUACUGGGACCAUCUCAUGUGGACUCCAAUGCCACCUCCUCUGUGGUAUACUGGCUAGUUCAUGAAAUAUUUGAUACAAUGCCAACGUGCUAAUUUCCAAGUCCGCUCUGUUUAUGCAACAGUAUAAGCUAGCGUAUGUUCAUUUUUCUCUCAUAUAAGCAGCAUCACAGAGUCUGGACUUCCAAUUCUUAAGGAGAUGAAGGUUUGUCUUUUUUUCUUUGCAGGGGUUUAUACCAAUAAAUUGUCGGUACUAGACACCAAGGAUCCAAGCAAUAACUGCCGAUGCUCUUUGCAAUAACUGCCAAUGAUCGUGGGGUACAUGAUCACAUCUGGCUCCCAGCCUUCGUCUUCCAAAUUCUUCAGCAAUCGAACGGCUUUCCUGGUAUGGCCGGUUCUUGACAAUCCCUCAUCAUGACUCGGCAUGUGGUUAUAUCUACCUUAUCAAAGUGUUAAAGCUCACAGUUGUUGGUUCUAGUGCAAGUUUGACUAUUUAACAUCAAAACUGAGAAACCGAGAUCGGACCUCUUCAAUCGGCGGAGGUGAUUCAUCAAAAUGCUGCGAGUAAAAACAUUGGGCGAAGUUCCUUCCAAACCCAUCCUCUCGGUCAUGUCAAUGGUGAUGGCGCAAUGACUAUUUUACUAAAGACACGUUAGAUAGAAAUUAUUACUAUGAAAACAGAGAAUAACUUCAAAAGCACCGCUGUUCCUAGGAGAAGACAACGUCAAGACCCAUUCUAAGACACCAAUUCAGCCACAGCUCCAUGAAACAGCAAGACCCAACACCGUUCCCACGCCGCGGCUAUCCAUAACCGUCGCGGGUACAGUUAAAAAACGACUCUUUUCCAUUCAUUUUCAUGUUUCCCCUCCUGCCCAUAUAUCCCACCGUCCGAACCGCCCGUACCUUGAAAGUUGCUGUAACAAACAUCGACGCCCGGGAUCGGGCGCGCCAUGUAGUAGUCGAUCGACACGAUCCGGACGCUGAAAAUCGCGGGGUCCUUUGCCGGACCCGACGCCGCUGUACUGCUGCGAACCUUCUUCCUCCGUCCGGAGGAGCGGCGGCUCCUCCAUCUGCGGAAACCUUCCCACGACCCUCGCCGGAGAAAAGCGCCGGAACCCAGGGCGCGGUUAGCCCGAAAGUCGAUCGCCGGCGAGAGCUCAGAGGCGCUGGCUGGUGGUAACCGACCGCGCGAAAGUCAAGAGCGUCUUCUCCAAGCUUUUUCCAAUUUCUUCCCUCUCGCUUGCUCUCGUGCAGUGCAGUAACGGAACGCCGGAACAGGAAAAUUGACUCCGAGAAAACUCUUCGGGCCGAUUUGAUUAUUAUAAGUUACCUCCGAAACGGUUAUUUUACUACUGUCAAAUAUAAUGAUAGAUUUCGACCAAAAAAGAUUUAACGAUAGAUUCGGCCAAAAAAUAUUUAAAGAAAACCAAUUUUUAAUCUAGAUACUAAGUAAUUGAUAUAACCAAUAUUUGACUAGAGCUAUUAGCAACUUAGCAACCAAACUAUGAUUUUAUGCCUUUCAAAUCAAUCAAAGGGAUAAGUGUAUUGGACAAAUUAAAAUUUGUUACGAAAAUGCAAUUAAGUUUUACGAUUUUUAAAAAGUGCAAUCAAAUUCUAAAACUUAUCAAGUUUUAAAAUAGGUUAAUGAUUUUAACAUGAAUUAAGAUUUGUGUAUCGCUCGAAUUAAACCUAGUUCAUAACUUAAUUAAAAAAAAAAUUGUGUGUCACACGAAUUAAGAUUUGUGACUUCAUGUAAGAAUUAAUGACAUUAACAUGUGGAUAUAAGUUUUACGAAUAAACAUCUAUAAAUUAUUAAAACAAUUGAUAAUUUUUUAACAAUCAAACAUACCCUAGUAUUUUUAUUUUAUUUUUAUAAAAGUGCGGGUACAAACAUGUCACGAGCCAAAUAAGUGGUGGAUCACCAUUUUAACUAAUCGAUUUAUAAAGUUAUUGAAAAAUACUUUUGAUCUUAUUCAUACGGAACAUCGGAAUUGUCUUGGUUACUUGGUCAAAAAACAGUUUCUUUUGAAAAACACUUUUUUUUCUAUUUUUGUUCUCAUGAGCAAUUUCUAAACAUUUAAAGGCAUUUGAUAACUAUACAAAAUUUAUGUUCCUAGAAAAGAAAUAUAUUCAAUAUGACCCCAAAUAUUUUUUAACUUAGAAUUUCUUUUAAUUUAUUAAUUAAUUUAUUAUUUUUUUCUUCUCCUUCCUCUAGUCGAUCAUCAAGGAGAGCCUCGCUGACCACUGAUGAGGUCCCCGAGCCUCUCAACCUUGCCCUAGCUACCUUGCUUGACCAUUGCAAGGUUGGCAUUGCCCACCUAGGUGAGGCCAACCUCACAGUGGUUAGGCAAGGUGGAGCCUCGCUAGGCCAUCGAGAGGCUUGUCGACCACUCCCAGCCACAGCAAGGCUCGAGAGGGGGUUGGGCAUGGUCUAGUCGGUCGCCAACCACUGUUUCUAGAGUUAUUCCUAAAAAUGAAAAAAUUUAUUUUUUAUUUCUAUUUCAAAUUCAUUUCCAAGAAAAAAAAAUUAUCAAAUGCGCUUUUGUUCUAUUUCUACUCAUUAGAGAAACAGAUGUUCCCAAAGCAUUGCCAAACAACACCUUGGUCAGCCACGAUGCUCCUAAAUUUCAAUGGCUUCUUCAAGAGGCUUCUUUAAAAACCGCAGUCACCGAAUUCAAAAGAUUCUAUCCACCCAUAAUUACAUCUACGAGUUCAGCUGAAAGUGUAUCAACACCUCAGACAAUUCACUAAAGCAUUAGUCAAUCCGCACACAAAUUACUCUGUAAAUACAUUAGUCAGUCCACGCAUAAGUAAAUCAUAUGCUCCAUUUCUUUGCAAAUGGCUAAACAUAUAUGUAGGUUGAUCACUUGAUCAGAGAAUUAUACAAGCACCACCACCCUUUUCCUCAUGGACACUGUAUUUUCACGUGAAAUGCAUAUUACAAGGGCAUUAUACAAUGGUGUAUCAACUGAGUGAUGGGGGAAACAAGUUAAUCGACAGUUGGAGUUGAACCAAGAAUGCAAAGAAACAGAGAAUGGCACACAUGGAGAAAUAGGUUCAAUUCCAGUCCCGGGCUUGAAGCUGCCUUCACCACACAUUUCAUCUUAUUAAAGCAGCCAUGAUGUUGCCUAACCAUUUCCUUUAGGCCAAGCCCACCUGUCUCUCCCACCUAAGGUCUUCUGAAAAUUCUGAGAGCGCAGCCCUUGGGUCACCAUCGGAGAUAGACAAGUAGUACUGAGCAGUCCCAUCAUCAACCUGCAUGCUCCUCCCAAGGGAGUCGAGUAUCCUCUUCUUCCCCUGUUCAGAGGUGGUCCUCUUCAACAAAGAACUUAUCUCCAUGUCUCGCACGCCUUCUGGACAGAGCACGGCGACUUCCCUCUUUGCAUGGUUAUCUCGCUCUAUGUAGCAUGUGGAAUCGAUAAGAAUGUCAUGGUUGCUUAUGGGGAUUAAUAAUCUCUCCCUCGAAUAUAUACCAUGGUCACUCAUCAUGUUGUUUAAGCGCUUUAUGUCCAUGACCUGAGUGUACCAAAAAAUUAUUCUUUUAAGCAUGUAAUAUUCGGUGUAGACAGGGACAAAAAGGACAUGUACAAAAAAAAAAAAAAAACUUUUAAGCAGGGAAGGAAAAAAAUUCAGGGAAGCCAUUCUAAAAGUAAGUCUCUACCAAUAGUUAUCAAAACAUUGAACUCAGAGAGAUCUGAGUUGACAAUCAUGGACCACAUGAUACAUCAUUAUUGACUCUUCAGGGAUCAUUAUGACCACAAAAAUGGAAAAGUUCCAUAAAAAGACAAGUUCAUUUCCUAAUUGCACAAACAAUUUAUGUUCUGGUCUCAAAAUUUGAGGGUCGCGUUCAACCAUUUCGAUAAAUCAAUACCACCAUUGCAAAAUUAUCUACCAUUUCUAUGUCGGUGUUAUUAAGUCAGAGGAACUAUCAUGACCAUCAAAAAAGUACAUCACUCAUCAUUUCAUACUGAUGACUUGCAAAAUCCAAGCAUCAUUUAGCCUAAUGUGUUUGGAUUAUCUAUUAAAGAUGCUCAAUAUCUGCUUGCCAAUCAAUCAUAUCUUUUUGCUAUUAGUAGCCAGAGAUGCUUCUUGCUUGGCAAACUUAACAAAACUCAGUCACAUCAAAAGAUUUCAAAACGUUUCACUUGAAGAGGAUCCUAUGCUCGCUAAGACAAAACAUUUGUGUUCAAGCCCCAACCUUCCUCCAUACCUCCAUAAGAAACGACAACAAUGACUUCUGAGUGUAACCAUUUCCUUUUCCUUUUCUUUAGGAUUUGCCAAAAGAUGAAGUUACUUCAAAAUUACAAAACUCGUAUAUCAAUUAGUCUGGCUUUCUCCAAUGGGAAUAAAUCCAUAAGAUUUGCAGAAGGAGAUUCCAUUGAGCAUCUAUCCUACCACCUAUUUGGUACAAUAUAGAACAACAGCGUAAAAUGGUCCAUAUAACUAACCCCACUCAAUGGGAUGAAUCAGUCAAUUACAUUGAAGUCAUUCAACCGCCAGCCUGCACAAAGAAGCUAUGAACAUCAUCAAAUGACAUAUAGAACAUCUAGCAUCUAGUCGACCUUUUUCUUCUCCUAGUAAACUCCACAAGCUAACCUUUAUCAACGAGGCCAGAGCCUAUUGAAUGGAGGUAUAAGAGAGCCAUACUCAAAAUUCUACAAAACUAUGUCCUUAGACAAUCUUGCACCAAUCAAGAGAGCUAUCCAACUUUGGCUGUUAUGGUGGUGGAGGUACGCCAGAAUGCUUCUUCAAGGAAGAAAGCCUCUGAAAAGACCUGACAAUGUUGCUAGCUAUAAAACAUUCCUCAACCCACAAGUCCUUGACCAUUCAAUGAUCUUAGUCACCAAAUAGUUGGUUCAUUCACCGAACUCACUAUUUUACUCCCCCUUUCGUUGGGAUUUGCCAUUUUAGCAAUCAAACUCAGGAUCACAAAGUACUUCACAUAUUAGGAAAAGCACCUAACCCAUCCCCACCCAUCCUCUCAGCGCCAAGGAAGUAACCAAAUAGACAGUCUAUGCUGGAGGAAGAAAACAAAUGGAUUCCAAGCCAUCAGCAGAGCCAAUCCACCAGAAAUUCCAUGAAAAUUCACAAUCAAGCUCCCAGCUUCCAUCCACUUCAUCAUCACUCAAACGGACCUACCUAUUUCUAACCCUGUCUGCCCAUGACUACACGCAGAGCAAACCAACAUGACUUCCAAAACAUCUGAAGGAUACUACCAGGAAACCUUCUUCGUAAAGUUUCAAAUGCUGCAGCUGGACACACCACUUUAGCUAACUUUUAAAUGAAAUAGCAGUCCAUUUGUUCUUCAGAAUCUGCCGAAAGUGAAUCUCCAUCGAAAAUGCAGCGCCAAAGCAUGUCAUUUGCUAACGUUUAAAGUAUACUGCGUGAGAAAAUCAUUUCGCCGCCAACAUAAUUCACAGUUUUGCUCCCAAUCAAUACAGCAAAAGGGACAGAAAAUCCAUUACCUGAACGGAGUACUUCACAGCGAGGCUCGCGACGCUAUCGCCGCGCUUAAUCCGGUGCGAGAUCGCGAACUUCCCCACGCCGUUAUCCCUCCAGAAGCUGCCCGAGCUCGGGACGCCGACCACCUCCUUCAACCUCCAGGGGGCUGCGAAGGCUCGGGUGACCAUGUCGCGAUCGGAGGCGACGGAGCUCCAGAUGCGGCAGACGCAGCUCGCGCGGGCCAGGUCCGGGACGGGGAGCUUCUCGAAGAUGAGCCGGAGGGUGUCGCGGCAGGCGAGGGCGGAGAAGUGGGAGUUCAUCGGCGAGAUGGUGGAAUCGUCGGCGGCGGAGGCGGGGGAUGACGGCGGCGGAGAGAGAUCGGGAGUCCGGGGUGGAUGCUCCCGGUCGUCGUCGUCGUCGUCGCCGCAGCAGCCCAUUGAGAGAGAGAGAGAGAUAGAGAGAGAGAUGGGAAUGUGUAUGGGGGUCGGUUUUGAUGGUUUUGGAUUUUCGGUUUUGAAUGGUGGAUUAGUAGAGGUGGCUGGAAUAUGGGUGAAUUGCGCUUUUGACCCCCUGUGUUAUGGAAUUUAUUACAAAUUGCCCCUGACUUUUCGAUUUUUCGCGAUCUCUCCCCUAAAAUUUGAAAUCGAUUGCAAUGUCAGGCUGGUGUGACUUCCAUUAGGGGUGUCAAAAACCGUCCCGAAAACCGAACCGAACCGAACCGAAAAAACCGAAUUUUUUCGGUUCGGUUUUCGGUUCUCAUUAAAAACCGAAAUUUUUUUAUCGGUUCGGUUUUUUAUCGGUUAACCGAACCAAACCGAACCGAUAAACCGAUAAAAUUCUAAAACCUUAUUUCGGUUCGGUUACUUCUUCCUCGACGAUUCCCCUCUCUCUCCUCACUGAACACUUGCCUGCAGCCCUCCUGCCUGAACCAUCGCCACCGCUACGACGAGCCUCUCACCAGCCUUGAGUCCACGAUGGACUCAUCUCCCAACAGCAGCUUAUCUUCCAUGCCCGAGCCUCCACCAAGACCCACCGCCUAGACCAACCGAGAAGCAUUACCGGCGCCCCGACCUCCACGUCUGACCACACCUGGUGCUCGGCGAGUCACGGCCGACAACCUCGGCCGUCGCCGGAACCCCCUUGCCCUCGCUGGCCUCUUCACGGUGGAAGCCAAACUUUGCCCAUAACACCCAAACAGAGACCCAAUCUAAGGUUUCGACACACCCCUACCAUCCGAAAACCACGCCUCAACGACGCUUGCCUCCGUUUGCUCGAUCAAAGAAAGGUGCAACAACAGCCACAAACAAAACAAUACAACGAGAAUGAAUAUUCCCCACACAAACUUUCAGAUCCAGUUCGGGCAUUAUAUCAAACAAUUGGGGCGCGCUACUAUAACGAGGGAUUUUUGGGUCAACCGAAGCUCGACCCACACUGGGACUCUCGACACGUGAUGAGGAAGACAUCGGAAACAAAACACGGGGCGACGCCGGCCGGAGCUCGCGGGAGCCGGACGGCCAGGAGCUCCGGCCCGGCGCACCCAAAACAGGGCAAGAGCAGGGGCGAGCUUACCUAUUCAGCUUACGCCUUACGCGCGUUGCCAAGAAGGUCGUCGUGUGGUUUGUCGACGAACAGAGUAACCAAAAAACCGAAAACCAAAAACCAAAAGUUAAAAAUCGAAAACCGAAAACCGAACCGAACCGAACUGAAAUUUCGGUUCGGUUCGUAUUCGGUUCGGUUCUUACUCGGUUCGGUUUGGAAGUUAUUUCUAACGGUUCGGUUCGGUUCGGUUUUUUUGAAAAAUCGAACCGAACCGAACCGUUGACACCCUUAACUUCCAUCAUUUUUCGGUUUGAGCACCGACCAUGUGCUUGUCACGUGACUGAGUUGAUCUUUUAUGGAGGGUAAAUCUGUCGGAUGAUAACAUGCGAAUUGCAUUUUAACCUCCAAACUUUGGCAAAGUUGCCCUAACUCUCCCUUAUAUUUCUCUUCCACUUUUUAUCAGCAAUAUAAAUUAUAAAAUCAUUUCCUUUGAUUUAUAAACAUAUUGCUCACGCAAAAACUUCAUGAAAGGAAGUGGUUAUAUUGAUUUGGUAUUUUUUUUUAAUAAUAUAACUAGACACAUCAUCACACCGCAUGAAAAUCUAAUGUUUGUAUCAUGUUCCUACAUAUUGAUAUUAGUGCUAAACUAUCAUGUCUUUUAUUUAACAAUUAAAAUGAUUGACUUACUGAGUAAUCACUUUAAUAUGUGCUAACAAACAAGUUCUACAAGUUCUAUUGUCUCUUGCAAUGUUAGGACCUCUAUUUGCUUUCGUCUUACCCUGUAUUGCGAGCCCUAAUAAGCCAUUUCUAGAAAUGAUACACAAAUCUUUUAGGUGAUUACUCAUGCCUUUGAAAGUUUGGACGAGGUUUGGAGGCUGUAAUCAAAAUCAAAUGCAAAAUUUAUUAUUGACUAAUUAUUUUGAAAGUAUGAGUUAAAUUUGUAAAAAUAUUGAAAACAUAAUCCCCUUGUGAAAAUUGGCCCGAGCCAACACUAGGGGGAGGCUUUGCAACCAAUUUCAAGACUUGAGGGAGCAUUGCGAAAAUUGAGAAGUCAUGGGGCGAUUUGCAACAAGUGCCAAGAUCUAGAGGGACGGGGUGUAAUCCAUUCCUCAAAUUCCGAUGCCGCGAAACACUUUUUCUUUGCAAUUUUAUUUUUCUUAUUUCUAGUUUGUGGAGUUCUUCUUCUGCACAUAAUGAGAAAAAUACGCACGCGAAAUAGUUUUCGAUGAUGAUGACCAUAUUUUGAAUCACUUGUCGCCGGAUUUUAACCGUUUUGCCUAUACAAAAUGGCAAAAAGAUGAUUUGCCCACGUGUCUAUUGAUUUCGAUUUUAAAGAAGAUACACUAUGACAACUAAACAAAAUAUAAUGUUGGCCUAUGCUUGAUAACGUCGACUCAUCUUUGCUUAAAGUAUCAUGAAACUGUCGAGCUCUCUUUCUGAGUUUAAGUGUAACGUAACUUCAUGGAAGGAAAUCAUACUACUGGCUAGCUUUUUAAUCUUGGGAUCAAUAAAUGUUUAGAUGCUAGGUUCUUUUCACUUCAUUCUGGAGAAUAACUUCAUGUUUUAUUACUAAAAAAAAAAGGAAUAGUAGGCUCUCGACAUUAAUAUUUUGUAUUUGGCUUUACCCUUACUUUCAAACAAUAAAUAAAUAAAUAAGAUUUAAUUAGCACGGGUGCUAUGAAAGUUAUUACCAUGUGGGGAAAAUCGACACUACUACUAAGCUUCUUUGUUUGGUGUCUUCCGCAGGAACCAAAUUUUCUUCUGUGUUGGCAAAAACUAAACUAUUCUUUAACAAUAACGAUCGUAUUGAUCACAGUAUAUGCCGAGGUUGAUUGAAUUAAACGGAUUGAAAUCUUAAUAGAAAUCAAUUGAAACUUUUACUCUAUAUAGAUGAGAGUGAAAAUAGAAGUUCCAGCUCCCUACACUUAGAUCUCCACCUAUCGUUAGAUCAAAUUUCAACUAGAAUGGAAUGAACAACUUAUGAGCAUUAGUGUGGUUUCACGUACAGUUCCAUGAAAGAAAAUGCAAAAUCUGUAAAUGUAUCUCUCAUGGAUAAUUUACUUGGAAUUAGAUCCUAAAAACUGGUGAGGCUUUGAUAAAUCACGUCUUACACUAUAUAGGAGUAAAUAUACUUGUUGAUAACAAUUGAGGCUAGGUAGAGAGAGAUUUGGGAGAAUGACAAAAGAUAGAUUCGUGUAGCCUUUAAUAGAACUUCAUGAGCAUUGACGGACAGAUUGAGUGAUUAAACUCUUGAUUUGGAUGCAACAAAUUUCAUAUUUAAAUGGUAACCUCGGAGGCCAUACCUGUAAUCUAAUACACAUAGAAGUGGUGGUUUGCAUUCAUACGUGGGAUCAAUUGAGCCAAAAGAGUUGGAUAUCACGUGUUAUAAAAAAAAUCAUAAGAAAAUUUUUAGACCACUGUCCAACUAUCUUUAAUUCUUAAUUGAUAUGGUAUGUAAGCACUUGGUUAAGAAGAAUUCCAUGGCAGACGACUCCUACAUUUUGCGCUUUAGAUCUGGAUCGUGCAAGCAAGGACUCAUGCAAACUAACUCGCCUUAAGUUAGCGAUGGUUUACUUUAUACCACGUCAACGACAUGAAAUCUGCUUAUCAAAGGCCCAUGAGUCAAUUGAUUUUCAUGAGUAAGAACGCAGAUGACUGAGAAACGGCAGAUCUAGAGCAAUCCAAGCAACAGAAUGCAUCGCACACAAAAGAGAGGGCCAGUGGUGAUGGGGCCCGAAACUAAAAUAGCCGACGGAGCAUCCGUGCCCUCAUUCAAAAGAUUUUUCUGGAAAUUGCCUGCUUUUUCAUUGGAACAGACAUGGAAUUUUCUAACAAAUAUUACUUUUUAACUUAUAGGGACAAAAAAGAUUCAAGCCAUUUGUCUUGACAAAGGCUCAGAAGAAACAGAUGACAAAGAGGACCGGACAUACACAAAUGAAUAAUUCAGGAAGUUAUUGAGGUUAAGGUUCCUCCAAGCGAGGGAUGCAAAUUUUAGCGGAGAUUUUUUAGAAGCUAUUUCUUGAAUGAAGAUGGCUUUAGUGGACAGGAUGUCCUUCAUCCUUCGAGGCGACCAAUUUGCGUAUGGAGAAACUAGUCAUUUUGGGAUUGACACAAAGCGCAAUCGCAGAACAUUGGAAUAGAUGGAGCUUAAUUAGGAUAAGCCGGAACGACAAAUCUUGAUGUCGUGUUUCUAAUACUGAUUACUCCUUGACGACUAAUUCCCACUAUACUCUUUGUUCUUAUAGACGGCGAAGUGGCUCAAAGUUUGGAACCUUAGUGUGGUCAUUUACCAUGUACUUUCGGCUAUCUAAAAUAUAGAAAUUCUCAUCCUUAAAGAAUGUGAACAUCUAGAGCAAAUUCACCAUUCUAUUAAUGAAUUAGGAGAAUUGAAGGAACUUGUUUUGGAUUCGACUGCUACAAGAGAGAUUCCUGCUAUUUUUUCACUGAGGAAGCUAGAAAAGCUUAGUGCCAAGCAUUGUUAUGCUCUGGUUCGACUUUUCGGACUCCAUAAGCCAUUCAGUGAAUCUGUCAACCCUCGAAUUUAUGCAAUUGUCAGGGAAUGGCCGAACUUCUAGGCAACAUUGGGUACCUCAAGAAGCUGCAGAGCUUGCCAUUUGGCACGACUUCCACACUCUGUUGCCCAUCGACACAAAUCCCAAACUCCAUUGGGAAGAUGGAAUCCCUUACUAAACUCGACCUGUCUAGCACAAGCAUAAUGUAACUACCAUCUUCCAUAGGAGAUUUGCAUAACUUGGAAAUCCUGAAGAUUUCUCCUACCAGGAUUGAAAAGUUACGAGGUGCAAUUGGAAGGUUAGGGAAACUCCCGCAAUUGGAUGCUUCAAGUUGCACUAGAAUAGAAGGGGAAAUUCCAAGUGAUUUUAACAACUUGUCUUCACUCGUGAAGCUUCCAACAUAUACAUCCAUUUCUGGCUUGCCAGAAAGCACUCAGAAUCUUUCGUCUCUACAACAUCUUGACUUAGGGGGCUGCCAAAAGCUUCAAUCACUGCCUGAGCUUCCUUCUGGGUUGGACUUUCUGCAAGUCACUAAGAGUUUUUGCCUCCACUUUUUUACCAAAUUCAUCUAAGAGAACUCUCUAUUUAUGAUUGCAUAUCGUUGGAAAAUCUCCCAGAGCUUCCUCCAAGACUAUUGAAGCUUCAUGUCACAAGAUGUGGCAAGUUGAAAUGCUUGCCAGGAUUUGAGCCCCGUGAAUGCCCCAAAAUGAUGCAAAGCGAACGCCGACAUGUUGCAAUAUCCCCAAUGACGUCGGCCAUAGCAGGUCGCAUGAAGUUGACUAAGCUGGAUGGCCUUAGACAAUGUGCAGAGUCCCUGAGAUGCGUGCCAAUGAGCAAGAACUAUCGAUCAAGCACUCCAUUGGAUAUGGAAGACAAUCUAGUCGAAGUUCAAGGUCUUGACAGGUUGAAGCACUUGGAAGAAUUGGAUGUAGAUUUUUGCCGUUUUAUUGGAAGACUAGACCUUCCAAAAUCAAAUCAUUUGAACGAUUGACUACUAGAUAUUGCAAAAAUCUAGUUGAAAUUUGAGGCCUUUAUUGUUUGAAGUUCUUGGAAGCAUUGCAUAUCACUGAUUGCACGCCCAUUUUGAGAUUGAACCUUGCAAAAUCAGAGCGUCUAAAGGAAUUAAAGGCUGGAAAUUGCAAAAGUCUAAUUGAGAUUUGAGGCCUUGAUAGGUUGAACUUCUCGGAAAAGUUGGAACUCUGGUCAUGCAAGUCCCUGGAAAGAUUACCAAAACUGUCGUGCUUGGAGACCCUGAAAGAGUUGAACAUCAACUGGUCCAUUGUCUGACCAAAAACAACUGGUGCAUUGAGCUUCGUGAUAUUGAGUCUGGAGAAUUUCUUGUCCUGCCAAAGCAUAUACAUGGACGAAUGUCCAUCCUUAAAGAUAUUGCCAAACCUGUCAAAUUUCGAGAAUUUAGAGAAGCUCACCAUCGGGAUUCGCUUGAUAUUUUGGAGAUACUCGGGAUUGAGGAUUUGAUAUCUCUCACACAUCUAGAUAUCACAUGAUGCAAGUCAAUCAAGACUUUACCAGAUUUGUCGACAUGUAAGAUGUUACAAUUUUUGGUGGCCCAAGACUGCGACAAACUUGCCGAACUUCGAGGACUUGAAAAUUUGGGUUUGAUGUAUUUGGAUGUUUCUAGAUGCGACUCACUGGGAGCAAUACCGAACUUUUCUAGAACACACGUCAUACAGGACUAUGAAGAAUGCCCAUAUGAAUCGAUUAUGGCUUACCAAUGAUUGAAACCCGAAGGUAAUGAUGUGAUAAAUCAUGUAUUACAAUUGUGAGACAAUUGAUGCUUCCCACUAAGGAAAAAGAGCAAGUAAAUUGUCAUUCUUCUUUUGAUUCGUACUAACUUUUUGCCAAGAACAUUUUCCUAAACAAUCAGCUCUCCGAUUUUUCAUUAUGAUCAUGAAGCAUUGGAAUUUUAUGCUACGCAAGGUUGAUUUGUUCCGUUGAUGCUUGUCCUGGACAUUCCAACUUGGCAAAGCUAAUCUCAUCUAUACCAUAUGUGCUCUUGGUUUUGAUGUGAGCGAGUUAAAUCAAUCAAGAAAACUACUUUUCCAAUUUCGCUGGAAACCCAGUCUAACACGUUAGCUGCUGCACGUCCAAAGAACUCCAAGAAGUAAGGAACGACCAACGAGCUAGCCACAAAGAACGAUGCUUAAAGCUUGUGGAGUUAGUAAUGCUAUCUUCCAUUUGCUUGAACUCAGUUGACCACAAAAUGCACCUGUAAAUCUCCCAAAAAAAAAAGGGAAGGGAAUGUCUUUGAAGAUAGAAGAUGACAAACGAAAUCGUGAGGAUUGCAGCUACCGCUGCUUCCAGAGGCUUCUCAUGUAGACUCUGGUGCUGCCCCCUCGGUGGUAUGAUGAUUAGUUCAUAAAAUUUUUUAUAUAAUGUCAAAGUUUUUGUAAACACAGCGAGCUGUCAGUAUUGCCAAUUUUCCAAGUCCACACUAUUUAUUCGAAAGUAUAAGCUAGCAUAGAGUCAUUUUUCUUACUCUCAUAUCAGCAGCAUCACAAAGUCUGGUUUUCCAGUUCCCCGGGAAAUGAAGAUUUCUUUUCUCUUUGGGUUUAUACCAAUAAAUUGACGAUGCUCUUACUUUGUCAAAAUGUCACAGUUGGCAUCAAAACUAAAUUGCAUAUUAAGCUUAUAUUCGAUAAGAAAAUUAACGAGAGAUUCACUCACAACGUCUCAGCUGGAGAUCUCCAUCAGUUUUCUGACUCAACUGGCUGAGGGGGACGACAGUCUUCAUUGCUCAAGCUUUACUUAGGUGUUUAUUGUUGCGCUGAAAUUGAAGUGUAACUGCAGAUCAUUUUUUCUUUCCCUGAUCUGUCACCAUGUAUCAGCAACAUAUCGAACUCUAUAGAUUCGUUGCUGACAGGAAUAUACAACUGUACCAAGUUUAAUGGCACUUGCAGCAUGAUCAAGUGCUAUUCAACUCGGUGCUAUUCGAUGGCUGUCCACUAAUUUGUGUAAUUAUCGUACGUGUAUUUACAUGUAACCAUGUAAGGUUUUCCUCAUGAAAAAGUGAGGGAAAAUUAAUACCAUGCGUUGUUAAUUACAACGCUUCAGUCCCUUAUUUAAUUACAAGUUAUUUAAUUGCUUGCUUUAGUUAUGAUUGAUUUGUUUUUGAAGCAUCUGUUCACAUUGAAACAGUUCGUGGAAGUUGUGAUUCUUGUUGUCAUAGUUUGGCAGUUAGGAUUGCUGGAGACUCUUGAAUUACUCAUCUAGUUCCUGAUUUUCUGAAUCAUUAUCACAGUCUUCUAGCUGAAGAUUGGACAUCUUAGCAAUUUGUCAGCCGACAAUUUCUGCAUAAGUGAGAUUUUUGCUAUUUUAGCAAAAAUAACUUCAAACAGUGCUAAUGCUUGGAUAAAUCUUGUUGAAGUUGGAAAUGUUAAAUUCAUUUUUCUAGGACAUGAUAAUUGGCACCGCAUGUAGAAAUCCAUCCACACUCCAUCCAAAUCCAGGACUGAUACAAAUUCUGUCUCUUGGAGCAUUAUAAGAAACAGGGGAAGCAGAGUAGAACGGUAUUAUGAAAUACUGAAUGAGUCAAGUGCAAUUCCAAAUAAAUGUCAUUUUACCAGAAUGCAGUUCCAAAUAUUAGUCGAAACCGGCAUUUCAUACGUGCAAGCUGCCCCUAAAGUCAUUGCCUAAUCAAUCCAAAGGCUUUGCACCUGCAGCCUGCAUCCUCUUUCUGUCAAAUUACUUAGCAUAAGGUGACAUCAGGCCUGGGAUCGGCACUCUGCAGCCUCUUUCUGUUGAUAUCGUUAGAAAUCUAACAACCUCAUCCAAACCUUUUUUGUGGUUAUUUUUCCAUAUUACAUCAAAACACAUUGAAAAUCACUUAUCGGGUUAUAGUUUUGCCUAAUUAGAUGAACGAUUCUAGUGGACCAAUGAUUAAAAAAAAAUCUUUGGCUUUACCAUUGAAAGAACAUCGACAUUAACAUGUUGUUAACAUGUGACUAAGGUCUUUUGCGAACCUUUUUUUCCUCCACCAGUGUGAAUUUCGCAAUAAUAAUCGCAAACAUAGUAUGCAUUUUCUUUGUGGCGUCAUAGUGGGCAUACAGCUCCGUAUAGUCUCUUCAAAGGUUUUCUCUGAUAAUUCAGUAGAAAUUGUUAUCAGAAGUUGUUUCUGGUGCUGUAUUUUUUGUCCUAACUUCUUAUACUAAUAUCAAAAGGUUUCCUGAAUCAAUUGUUCAAUUGCACAACCUAGAGGCUUUGAUGUUGUGGGGUUGUGAAGAUCUCACUAAAUUACCUGAACAUAUUGAGAAACUGAUUGACCUACGAUUUCUUGAUGUCAGAGAAACUCUGAGCCUAAUAGCUAUGCCACUAUUUAUAGGUAUGUUGUCCAAGUUUGUUGGGGUAACCAAAAACGAGUUGAAACUAAAGGAGUUGAAAAUAAAAUUGAAUGCACCUUGUGGGGAAAUCAUUCAUCUCCAAGUUGCAUAGGGUUCGAGAGCAUGUCAAUUUACCCAUGAGAGACGCACUAUGCCGGUGGACCAUGCAGUGAUUGAAGAUUAUGAUAAUUUCCAGAAUUUGUAUUCAUUUAUGACCGAAUGACUAGCUUGAACAAAAAGAAUAUGCAUUAAGAAUCAUAUUGGCAAAAAAAAAAAAAAAAACGUAAAAGGACGACAUAGAACGAAUUUUAAAAUUUCAAGGACCGGUGGUUUAUUAUCUCUAAAGUUUUUGCACAAGUUUUAUGAAGAGAGUCUCCGAAAAUUUUUGAUAAAAGUGAAAUGUAUUACUUUCUAUUCUUUUCCCACAAAAUUAAGGCAAUAACACUUCCAAGAAAAUGAUCUACACGUCUCAAUGUCUUUUCCCGUUUCCACCUGCAUUAUUUUCUCUAACAUAGCUCUUAGAGAGUAUCAUCAUGUAAAAAUUAAUCUCCACUAUUAAUACAUCGACUUUUACACUGGUAUCGAUUCUUCAUUGUUGGUCAAAGGCCUAAGUGUAGAUUAAAUGCUAUUCAGCAAAAGACCAAUUUUCCACCUGCUUUAUUCUAGUGCAUUUUGCCGUACGUCACAUUUGAAUUGUUGUACCUCAUGGGUACUUUAACAGUAUUAGAUGAAAGACUGAGAUUUAUUCUUUAGCAAUUUAAUGGUCACGGAUCUUAUAGGACUUGUAGAAGUGCUCAAAAGUGACUAUUAACUUUCUACGCCUUUGACACAGACAUGGUAUAUACACUGAAUUAGAUUUGGACCACCGAAAAUGACAAGAUCCAUAUAAAUUUUAUGUGAGUUCCACUAAAUUUAACUGUCUAAAUUCAAAUGACGGUGAGAGUACAUUGGGUUCAUGGAAUACAUAGUAGAAAAAUGAGUAAGGAAUACGCAAUGCGGUUGUCGUACCACAUAAGUUGCAUUCAUCAUGCUGGGUUUGACAACACCCGAGUGGAAGGCCUACUAAGAAGGAGCCAUAUAAAAAGCAAAUAAAAAAAUCAUUGCUAUUUUCUUUUUCUUUUUUUAAUUAACAUGAACUACAUGUGAAUGUAGCUCAGACUUAUUAAAAGUUAUAUUGAAUCAAAUCUUGUUACUUCAAAUUCACAACAAUCUUUUCUUUGAAUUUUACCUAACCCAUACUAUUCAGCUAAUUAAAUAUGACUUAAAAGUUAGAUUUUUGACCAUGUUAGUGCUUCUAGCGGUGUGACACUUAUAUUUUAAUGGAUAAGGAAAGCAAAAGGUUGUCCAUCUUCACUUUGAUUUGUGCGGCCAUGUGAUCACAUUACAACGAGAACUAACAAAAGGGAAGGGUUAGUCAGUUAAAGAAAUAAAUCGCCUCACCAAAGACGGUAAGAUUAUGUGUAUUCCAGGAACUUCUAGCUCAUCUUUUAAGGCAAGAGAAUAAGUAAUUUCCGACAUCAACACUUUUGCAAAAGUUGCCGAGCAAAGGGGAUGAUUGCGUGGCUCUUUAAAUAAUGUACCGUGCGAAAACUAAUUUUACAAUGUGAACACCUUGACUCCAAUGUAAAGUAUCGAUUCUUUUUGUUAAUGGGGUCAGGGAAAGCUAAAGGUCACCCGUCUUUAUUUUGAUUUGGUUGGUCACGAGGUCCAAUUGCAAAGAGCAAGUAACAAAAUAUCCUCAAAAGUCUAAAGCGAGAUAGUCUUGCCCGAAGGUGACAAUUAACUUUUUGGCCUUUUACACAAAUAAUAUAUAUAAGUUUUAUAUGAGGCUUGCUAAAUCUAAUGAUCUAAAUUAAAAUUAUGAUAAAUGCAUAUCAAGUUCGCUCAUGAUGCAUUUGAUAAUAUUUCUAUUUUCAGAAAUAAUUUCUAUAUAAGAAUAAUUUUUUUCUUCUUUGUUCCCAAGAACAAAGAAAUAUAUUUUAAUUACUUUUUUUAUUCCAAAUUUAUUCACUGGCUAUUUGUCUAUUUUGGAUAAUAGAAAAAUUAGCUGACAUUACCAAAUAUAUUUCUAUAUUUCUAUUUCAACAAAUAAAAAAUAGAAAAAUAGGAUGAUUAUAAAUAUGCUCCAAAUAAUCACCAGAAAAAUUGUUUUUGUCUGGACCUGAGUAGGUCCUUAAACUGCUCAAUGGAGGUAAAGGCGGGAGAACCGCCCCGGGGUGGGUGACCCUGUACUUGCCUCCCCAUCCUCUCGGUUGGGUAGAUAGAUAUAGACCGGGAAUUUGGAGGCUCGUAGACAGUGAAGGUAGAUAACUAAUCCUAGAAACACUGCGUCUGUGGUAACAUAGGUUACAACUGGGCUGGCAUGGGGUAACUAAUCCCUGUUAGGGGUGAGCGGUUCCAGGUUCCAGUUCGGUUCCGUCUGGAACCUGGAACCUACCCGUGGGAACCAAGAACCUGGAACCUACCCUGUCACAGGUUCCAGGGUCGGUUCCAGGUUCCAACAGGUUUCUUUUUUUUUUUUUUUUGUUAUUUUCAGAUUUGAACUAUAACAUAUGCGCACGUUACCCAAAAAAACUAUAACGUACGCGCACGUUACCAAAAAAGCUAUAACGUACGCGCACGUUACCAAAAAAAAAAAACUAUAACGUAUGCGCACGUAACCAAAAAAAAUAUAUAACGUAUGCGCACGUUACUAAAAAAAACUAUAACGUGCACGCACCUUACUAAAAAAAAAUAUAACGUAUGCGCACGUUACCAAAAAAAAACUAUAAUGUACGGUAACUUCCCAUUGACAUGUUAUCUUGAUACAUUAACUUCGCACUGCACAACAAUAAUAGAAUAUAAUUAGAAAUUUCAAAACAAAUAGCAAACUAGAAAGUAGAAAUAAAACACCACUAGAACAAGAAUGUCUAGAGGUACAAGUUUUGAAAACAAUUUCGAUUAAACCCUUAAAUGAACUCAGAAAAUUCUGAAAUUUGGACGCGUUGUAUUUAAGACCUAGAGGUACAAGUUUCAUGAAGAAAUCGUAGUCCAAUUCGUUCUGGAUUAAAAGAUAAAAUCGAUUUACUUUUCCUAUUCUCUACUUGCACAGUUUUUGAAAUUUUUUUGGUUAAAUAGGCAAAUGAACUACAAAAAUUACGAAAUUUAAAUAUGUUGUAGGGAAUACAUGAAGAGAGAUAUUUCAUGCAGAACACAUUUCCAAAAGAACCUCAUACAAAAUGAUAUAGUCCACGCAUUGCAACUUACAAGAUCCGAACACAUCAGAUUGCACAGUUUUAGAAACAUUUCCGAUUAAAUAACCAAAUGACCUUCAAAAAUUAUGAAAUUAUACUAUGUGAUAGCCAAGACCUUAAGGUAGAUACUUCAUGAAAACAUCGAAAUCAAAUUCGUCCUAGAUAAUUAAAUAUGAACGGUUAAAAUCCCUGUUCGUAGUACCGUAAUUCCAGAUCUAACCAUCUCCAAAGGACCACGAUUUCACCUACCUAUUCUUGUUUGUUUUCUCUAAAUUUUUUAUAUGUGGUACCUCAUGAUGUCCUUUAAAACUUUUGUUAAGAAACCGAAGUGAAAUUGCGACAAAACGGUUGCCUUACAGUCCAUGCAUUCAUCAAGGGUCGGUCCCAAAAUCUCCAGAUCCAGUCUUUCCAAAGAAUAACGAUUUUACCCACUUAUACUUGUUUGUUUUGUCCCAAAUUUGAGUAUGUUAUACUCCAAGAAGUCCUUUACAACUUUCAUUUAGAGGCCGAAGCCAAACUUCAACUAGAACAUCACAUACAAGUCACUAGAACAUCCAAGGUCGAGCUUUUUCUGCCCUAAGUAACCGGUUCCGGUUCCAGUUCCGAAACAGGUUCCGGUUCCGAAAUCGGUUCCGGUUCCGGUUCCGGUUCCGGUUCCGGUUCCUAGAAAAAAAGGAACCGGAACCGGUCCCCCUUGGAACCGGGAACCGAACCGGACCCUCCUCCAGUUCGGUUCCGGUUCCCGGGUAACCCGGGAACCGCGCUCAGCCCUAAUCCCUGUCCCUUGCCCAGCGUGAUACGAGGUGGGUGAAAAUCCCACGACUGUUUAACAUGCCUAACGGCAAAGGCAAAGGAGAGAAAAAGCUUACGCAAUUGUCGUACCCCAUGAGUUGGCCUCCACAUGCUGGGUUGUAUCGCACUCGAGCAUAAGGCCGACAAAGAAGGAGCCAUGUAAAAGCAAAUGGGAAAAUCAUUACUAUUCUCUCUGUUUUGAUUAACAUGAAUUACAUUUUUUUUUUUUGAGCAAGUAACAUGAAUUACAUUUGAAUGUAGUACAGACUCAUAAAAUUUAUAUGUAGUUAAAUUUUUAACAACCCAUUCUUUAAAUUUUUGCUAACUCAUAUAAAAUCUAAUUCACUAAAAUUUAUAUGUAGUUAAAUUUUUAACAACCCAUUCUUUAAAUUUUUGCUAACUCAUAUAAAAUCUAACUCACUAAAUAUGAGCUGAAUUAUAGAUUUUUUUACUCAUUUUAACGCCAGCAAAAGACUUCCAUUUCCACGGGCAGGGAAAGCAAAAGAUUGCUUAUCCUCACUUUGAUUUGCAUGGUUAGGUGGUCCAAUUACAAGGAAAUCUGACAAAAGGUGAGGGUUAAAGAUGCAAAUUGCCAUAUCAAAGACAUCCACAAUAAGAUUGUGUGUAUAAUUUGUAGUAAAGACAAACUAAAUUAAUGAUAAUUCAACAAAAGAUACCGAAAUGAAAGUUCAUUAUGUUCCUAAUUAAUUUCUAUAUACAAUUGUUAUACUAUUACUAACUAGUUUAAUUUGCGCAAAUUUUAAAUUUUAGGUGAGAACUCCUUCAAUUUCUACCAACUUACGAACUCCCACUAGAAAAAAAAUAAUAAUUACAUGAUCUCAUGUAAUUUUCACAUUUUUCUAUUAAUAUUUAAAGGCAUAGCAUGAUGUGAACUAAUACAAAAAACAAUCAUGUGGCAACUAUAAUCGAAAGUGGAAUUCAUAACAUAAUGAAAAAGAUCGAUGAUCUCUUGCCACUGUUUAAUUUUACUUGGAACUAAGAAACUACAAGCAUGUUAAAGAAUAUACAUGCUAUCAUCAAACCAAACUCUAUCCAACACAUAUGUGGUCAUUUACAUGUAGAGUAGCUUCUUUAUUUUCAAAAGUAUAGAGAAAUACAAAUUAGAAUGAAUAAACAAUGUACUUAUAACCCAAAAAUAUACAUACUUAGAGUUCCAUAUGCAUUUUUAUUUUAAAAACAAGAAAAAUAACUAAACCAUAAUAUAAAGCACAUCCAUAUGAAUCAAACCCACCAACCACAUGCCCACACGGGCCAGCGAACCAACGAGGCUCCUGGCAGAUUUGAUCGGUCCAAUUGGUGACUGGUCCGAUCAGUCCAACCGUCUGAUCGAUCAACCAGUCAACCGGGUUAGGUCGCCGAUUGGUCACCGACCGACAAAUAGCCAAUGAGUGACGUCAUCAAUGAUGUUAGUGGGUCGGUUAUCGACCGUUGGUUAACUUCAUCAUGCAUUGGUUGGCCAUUGCUUGCGUGGCGCUCACGAGCUGCCGUUCCCAACGCAUGUGGCGCGUGGCGCUCACACGCCGCGGCUUCAGGCCUCGCAUGUGGGUGCGUCUGAUGGAAUGCCACUCGCCGUUUUGAUCAUCUCAACAAGUACUUUUAUCCUGUAUAUUCAAAAAUUAAUUUUGGCCAAAAAAUAUUCUGAAAAAAUGACCGAAACAUUAUAGUCAUUCACAACCUCCAAACCUAUUCUUCGCUUUGAUUCGUUUUCGACAAUUCAUGUUGGAAUGUUCAAGCAAUGAACAUCCAGACAAUAUGAAGUUCAUCCUUUUGAUCCCCAUAUCAAACAACAAGUGAUAAAAAAAAAAAAAAACGAUGGGAAAAUAAGGCAGAGAUCAUAAUACAGGCUCUGAUACCAAUUUUGGAAGAAAAGGCAGAAGAAACAACUAACUUCUUUGAUGCGCAAUAAACAAAUUAUCCAGGAGUGUAAGUUGAAUCACGAGCAAACGACGGACGAUAUGACUUUACGAUGGUCCGAAUACAAUCAUGAGGAAAGUAUUCACCUUCCACAGCGUUAAUGCCGAUUGGUUUCUUGAAAUAGAAAUGGAAUUGCCUUUUUGAUCUUUGAUGGAGAGAAGAGAAGAAGAAAGAAUAGUUUUUCUAAAUGUUCUUUCUACCAACAAUUCUAAUGGUUAUUCUUACCUUUUCACCAAAAAAAAAAAAAAAACAAUUCUAAUGGUUAUCUCCAUAAGUUAUUUGUAUAAUUUCUCUCACACCUUUUGAAAAAGUGUCUCUCCAUUAUAUCAAAACAAAUAGGUGCGUCUUAACUACACCUUAUUAUGAACGUACCAACAAAAUGUAAUACCUCUAGGUUUUGCCAGAAUGGGGGGUGCGGGUUAAAAUUAGUUGUGCCAUGUAUGAGUCUUAUCUAGAUCAUAAAACAAACCUCAAUUGAUUCAAAAACAGCCCUUCGCAUCAUUAAGUGGAACAUGUACGAUAAUAGGUGCAUAAUAGACCAAGCUAGCUAAUUGCCGAUAGAUCUCAUAAUAAAUUAGCAGAUAUUUCAAAGGAAAAUGCAUUCAGGCUAUAGACCAAAAGUGUAGGAACUCAGAGAAAAUCUCACGGAGUGAUGCGGUAACCUAAUAGUUGAUUUUUUUGAUAGAUUUACUGGCUGAACUUGUCGAAAAAAGAAAUCUUACUCACAACUGGAAUAUGCAUAUCAGCAGUUUUUUCCGCUGGACUUAUUACUUUUUUUUUUUUUGGGUACAUCCAUGUACUAGAGAUUCUGCAUUGGCAGAUAGAAGAAGUGCUAUGCAGUAAUUUCAGAUUAUUGGGUGGAGUUAUGAAUCCAACGGUCCAUCCUCGAGGAUGGUAUGUAAUGGGUCUUGGAUGAAGAUACAGAGCAAUAUCCUUUUGUUCCUAUACACCUCUGACGCAACAACAAUUUUAGACGUAUUUUCUAUUGGUUACAUUUAAAAAAGUCAUGACACGUGUAUAUUCUAUUAGUAAAGACAUCAGUGCAAACUAAUACGUGAUAUACUUAAGUGCCAAAAAUUAGGAAAGUGAUAUUUAAAUGCCAUUUUUUUUUUAUAAAAAUGGGACACCUGAUUACCAAGUCCGGCGAAUCACGCCAGAAAUCCCAUGUGACAAUUUUUUAUUAAUAUUUUUGCCUACGUGAUUAGCCGGAGAAUUGACUCAGUAAAAAAACACCAAAAAGAUGUCGUUUUGGCGCGGAUUUAAAAUUUAAUAUGAAUAUUAAUUAAAUUAAAAUAUUAUUAUUUAUUAUUUUAAAAAAAAAGUAGGAGGAGGCGGAAGGUGAGAGAGCCCUCGCCACCGCCUCCCCGCCAUUGGGGGAAGGGUCGGCUAGGGUCCCCCACCUCAGCCCUUCCCGACAAUGGUGAGGAGGCAGUAAUGAGGGCACAACUCUCGCCUUCUGCCUCCUCCUCUUUUUUUUUUUAAAAUAUAAAUAUUAAUUAAACUAAAUUUAAUCCUCACUACCAGCAAUCUCCAUCUUCCUUUUUUUUUUUAUAUAAAAAAAUUAGUUUUAAAUUUAAUGUAAUUAAUAUUUAUAGUAAUUAUCUACUCAUGUUAGUAGCAAAAUGACAUCGGUUUACACUUACCUCGUUGGAAAAUUGUUACGUCAGUAUUUUGAUCGGAUUUUCUUACCGUUGACGCUUAAUCGAUCUAUUUUGCUCCGAUUUUGACACUUAAAUAUAAUUUUCUUAAUUUUUGACAGUGAAGUGUCGCUCGUGUCAUUUCCACACUUCGGGGGUCAAGGUGCCGUUUCUACUACAUUUAGCAUUUCAAGAUAUGCAGACAUUAGUAAAAAGAUUCAUAUACAUUAUUGCGUCUCGUUUGGAUUAAAUAAUAAGAACUUGGCGUCUCUUUGUUUUGCGAAAUUACAUUUCAUUAUUUUUCUCUCUCUCUAAUUACUGGUUCAAAAUUAAUGUGGAAUUUCAUUUUUAUCGUUUGGCGGGCAAUCAUUGCCGCCCACUAACUUUUGCUGCUACCACGAACGCACUACCAACCACGCAACCCCCCAUCCGCCGCCCCUCUGCCGCCUCAAAUGCACACCACCACCGCGGCGCAUGCCGCUAGCUCAACCACAGCACCAACCGCCCACCGCCACCNNNNNNNNNNNNNNNNNNNNNNNNNNNNNNNNNNNNNNNNNNNNNNNNNNNNNNNNNNNNNNNNNNNNNNNNNNNNNNNNNNNNNNNNNNNNNNNNNNNNUAAUGCAAAGAGAAGAAGUAAUUUCCAACAUAAACACUUCUGCAAAAGUUGCCGAGCAAGGGAGAUUAUUGCGUGGCUCUUUAGGAGUAGUACCAUGCGAAAACUAACUUUACAAUGUGAACACCUUGACUCCAAUGUAAAGUAUUGAGCCUUCUAUUAAUGGGGUCAAGGAAAGCUAAAGAUCGCUCGUCUUGAUUUGAUUGGUCACCCGGUCCUAUUGCAAAGAGAAAGUAACAAAAUAUCUUCAAAAGUCUAAAGUGAGAUAGUCUUGCUCGAAGGUGACUAUUAACUUUCUACGUCUUUUAUACAAACAUUGUAUAUAUAAAAUUAGAUUUGUACCAUUGAAAAUGAUAAGAUUUGUGUAAGUUUUAUGAGUCUUGCUAAAUCUAACGGUCUAAAUUCAAAUUAAGACGAGUGUAUAUUGAGUUAGCGGAGAGUGCGUUUGAUAAUAUUUUAUUCUUGAAAAUAAUUUAUGUUUAGAUAUAAUUUUUUUUCGUUUUUAUUUUUCUGGAACAAAUAAAUAGAUUUUUUUACUUUUUUCUAUUUAAAAUCUACUCCUUAAUUAUUUUUAUUUAAAUAAUAAAAUAAUUAAUUGAUAUUAUCAAAUGAAUUUUUAUUUUUUUUAUUUCAAUCAAUAGAAAAAUAUAAAAACAGGGCGAAUACUAAACAUGACCUGGAUAAUCACUAGAAAAAUGAGUACGGAAUGAGUCACAUGUCACAUGGACAUUGGUCAAAGGAACAGGCAAAGGAGAGAAGAACCUCACGCAGUUCUCGUGCCGCAUGAGUUGGCCUCCUCAUGUUGGGGUGUACCACACGUGAGCGUGACGGCCCACUAAAAAGGAGCCAUGCAAAAGCAAAUGAAAAAAUCAUUACUAUUUUCUCUUUUUUUAUUAACAUGAAUUACAUUUGAAUGUAAUUUAGACUCAUUAAAUUUGUAUGUAGUUAAAUUUUUUCGCUUUAAAUUCAUAGCAACCCAUUCUUUAAAUUUUUGCUAACUCAUAUACAAUCUAACUCACUAAAUAUGAGUCAAAUUGUAGAUUGUUUUUCAACCCAUUUCAACGCUAGCAAAAGACUUCCAUUUUCGCAGCAGAGAAAGCAAAAGGUUGCUAUCCUCACUUUGAUUUGCAAGGCUUGGUGGUCCAAUUACAAGAAGAUCCGACAAAAGGUGAGGGUUAAAGAAGCAGAUUGCCUCAUCAAAGACAUCCACAGCAAGAUUGUGUGUAUCCCAAGUAAGGGUAAGAAUCAAUCCAGGAUUAAACCAACUCAACUCUACCGGUCCUGAUCCAUUAAACCAACUCAACUCUACCGGUCCUGAUCCAUUAAACCAACUCAACUCUACCGGUCCUGAUCCAAUUCCUAAUAGGACUAAGUCAAUCUUUGGUUUUGGGAUCCUUGGAUUAAUAUUGUGUGGAUUGGUCCUCGAUCUUGGAAGUUUAUAAUUGAUCUAACUCAGACUAACCUUGAUUACAUAUAUUAUAUAUAAUAUGUAUAAUAUAUUAUUUAUAAUUUUUUUAUAUAGAGAAAAUCCUAACAGCAUUAAACGGCUUCUUAAUGAGGAGUCCAAGUAAUUUUACAUUGUUCUUUAAUAACUUAGACUUUUAAUAUCUUUUAUGGCAUCAACAGCCAUUAUUUAUAAAUGAGGAAAGUAUCUCAGUGAGGAGUCCAAAACGGCGUCCAAAACGGCGUAAAUAGCUCAUAACGUAUCCUCCUCCCAUAUUUGUUCUCUUAUGUUUUCUUUAUUCUCUUAGUCUUCAAUUUGUCAAGAUCGAAAGAAAUAACUUUCCUACUCAUCGCUCGACAUUCGCCUCACUCGCAUCACUCGAUGCUCGUCUCACUUGCAUCGCUUGCUACUCGAUGUGAGCAAGACACUCAUUGCUUACCCCACUUGACACUCGCAUCACUUGCCUCUCUUCGCUACCCUUACACAUAACUAAAUCCAUUAGGACGAUCCAAUUCUCGAUUGCCCCUUUUCAGAUGGUACAAAAAAUGAAACAAAAAAAAAUUAUCAGUUGGUCCCGAAUUGAUCAUAGAACUAGAUCAAAUUCAUUGGGUCUAUCCAAUUCUUAGUCCCAGGCUCAAUAUGGUCAGUCUUCGGUCCAAAAAAUUAAGAAUAGAUAUUGUGCGAGUUGAUUUUAGAAUUAGAGGGUGGACCGGUCUAAUUCAGAUUAUACUCACCCCUAAUCCCAAGCACAUCCGGCUCAUUUUUCAAGGCAAGAGAAGAUGUAAUUUCCAACAUGAAUAAAUUUGCAAAAGUUGCCAAGUAAAGUGGACGAUUGCAUGGCUCUUUAAGGGGUAGCACCAUGUGAAAACUAAUUUUCCAGUGUGAACACCUUGACUCCUACUUAAAGUAUCGAUUCUUUCGGUUAAUUGGGUCAGGGAAAGCUGAAGGUCACCCAUCUUCAUUUUGAUUUGACUAGUCAUGCGGUCUAAUUACAAAGAAAAAGUAACAAAAUAUCCUCGAAAGUCUUAGGUGAGGUUGUCUUGCUGUCACUAGCUUUCUACGCCUUUUACACAGUCAUGAUACAUGUGUAUGUGUGUGUAUAUAUAUUAUAUUAGAUUUGGAUCAUUGAAAAUGACAAGAUUUACGUUAGUUUUAUAUGAGUCUUGCUAAAUCUAACGGUUUAAAUUCAAAUUAAGAUGAGUGUAUCUUGGAUUCACUUAUUACGUUUGGUAAUAUUUCUAUUAUUGAUAAUAAUUUUUGUUUAGAAAUUAUAUUUUUUAUUUCUAUUUUCGGAAACAAAGAAAUAGAUUUAUUUUACUUGUUGUAUAUAUUUCAAAUUUAUUUACCGGUUACUUUUUUAUUCUAACAAAUACACAAAUUAACUGAUAUUAUUGAACAGAUUUUUUUUUUAAAUAUAUUUGAAAGAAUAAAAGAAUAAAAGAAAUGAUGAUUAUUAAAUAUGCCUUGAAUAAUCACUAGAAAAAUGAGUAGGAAAUGAAUGAAGCGUCACAUGGACAUUGGUCGAAGGAAUAGGUAGAGGAGAGAAAAAGCCCACGCAUUUGUCGUACCACGUGAGUUGGCCUCCACAUGAUGCUUGUACCACACUCAAGCAAGAGGCCCACUAAGGAGUAAUGUAAAAGUAAAUGGGAAAAUCAUUGCUAUUGUUUCUUUUUUGAUAUUACAUGUGAAUGCAGUUUAGACUCAUUGAAUUUGUAUGUAAUUAAAUAUUUUUUACUUUAAAUUCAUAAGUACCCGUUCUUUAAAUUUUUGCUAAGUCAUAUACAAUCUAACUCACUAAAUAUAAGUUAAAUUGUAGAUUUUUUUUACCCAUUUUAACGCCAGCAAAAGACUUCCAUUUCCCUGGGAAGGGAAGACAAAAGGUCACUCAUCCUCACUUUGAUUUGCACGGCGAGGUGGUCCGAUUACAUGGUGAUCCAACAAAAGGUGAGGGUUAAAGAAGUAAAUCGUCCCAUCAAAGACAUCCAUGGUAAGAUUGUGUGUAUCCCAAGCACAUCUGGCUCAUCUUUCAAGGCAAGAAAAGAAGUAAUUUCCAACAUUAACACUUUUGCAAAAGUUGCCAAGUAAAGUAGAUCAUUACGUGGUUUUUUAAGGAGUACCACCAUGUGAAAACUAAUUUUUUUAAUGUGAACACCUUGAAUCCAAUGUAAAGUAUGGAUUCUUUUGAUAAAUGGGGCCAGGGAAAGCCAGAGGUUGCUCAUCUUCAAUAUAUAUAUAUAUAUAUAUAUAUAUAUAUAUAUAUAUAAGUUAAAGAUUUGGGCUAUUAAAAUAAGUUAGAAAAAAGAUUUUUGAUUAAUUUUCAUGCCUCUUCGUUCCAAUGGGCAAGGAAAGUGAAAAGUUACCAAUCUUUACUUUGAUUUUUGCAGCCACGUGGUCCAAUUACAAGCUGAACUGACAAAAGGUGAGGGUUAAUUAGGUAAAUUCUUAGGGGUGUUAAUGGUUCGAUUCGUUUCGAAUUAACAAUAAGCAAGAAUUGAAUCAAAUUGAAUCGUGACUCAAAAUUAAAAACUUGAUUUGGUUUGAUUUGAUUUUUCAAUUUUCCUUUUUAUGUCUUGUUGCAUAAGGGUGAAAAAAUGAGAGAGAUUUUAAGUGGACGUUAAACUUUUAUUGGGAAUUUUGAUUUGACUUAAUUAAUCGAAUUAAAAUAAUCUAAAAAAUUAUUUUUUAUCAUUCGAAUCGAGAAUUGAACUAAAUCGAAAAUGCAUGAUUUGGGCUCGAGUCCGACAUCCUCACAAAUUACCCCACAAAAGACGCACAAUCCACGGCAAGAUUGCGUGUAUCCCGAGCAGGUCUGGCUCAACUUUUGAGGCGAGAGAAGAAGCAAAUUCCAAUUUAAACACCUUGCGGAAGUUUGCCAAGCAAAAGUGAUGAUCACGUUACGACAAGAAAGGAAAAAGGGCGACGAUCUUGUGGCUCUUGCGGAGAAGCAAUGAAAUUUUUUUUAAAGUCUACAGUGAGGUAGUCUUACCAAUUUCGAGGAAGGGAGGUUUGUUUCUGUGGUCUUGGUCAAAAAGGAGAGGGUAAAAAAGCAGUCCGAUUGCCUCGUAAAAAAAACAACGCGAUCCUCUCCCCAAGAUUGCGCGUCUCCUUUGGGGCAAGAGGUUCCAAGUAAAGCUUUAUUUAAAGUCCCGAGUGCUUGUACCCCAAGAGCAGAAACGCCAAUCACCAGAAAUCACUUGAGACGCUCUUUCGCUCUGAGAUAUCUGGCUUUGAUAGCUCUAGAUUAAGGCGUGGAGGUGGUCUCAGAAUUGUUCUGCUUUUGAGACUCGGACACGACUUGAUUGCUUGAAGGUAACUCCUUUUUAAACAUUAAAGCCCAUCCUAGUACUUCCGUCUUUACAUCACUCCUCCAGAUUAGCGGUGUACAAUGAAAACUGUCCGAACAGGGAACAGCCGGACCGGGUGAUUUCGGGGUCGGAACCGGACUGACUGGACCGANNNNNNNNNNNNNNNNNNNNNNNNNNNNNNNNNNNNNNNNNNNNNNNNNNNNNNNNNNNNNNNNNNNNNNNNNNNNNNNNNNNNNNNNNNNNNNNNNNNNNNNNNNNNNNNNNNNNNNNNNNNNNNNNNNNNNNNNNNNNNNNNNNNNNNNNNNNNNNNNNNNNNNNNNNNNNNNNNNNNNNNNNNNNNNNNNNNNNNNNNNNNNNNNNNNNNNNNNNNNNNNNNNNNNNNNNNNNNNNNNNNNNNNNNNNNNNNNNNNNNNNNNNNNNNNNNNNNNNNNNNNNNNNNNNNNNNNNNNNNNNNNNNNNNNNNNNNNNNNNNNNNNNNNNNNNNNNNNNNNNNNNNNNNNNNNNNNNNNNNNNNNNNNNNNNNNNNNNNNNNNNNNNNNNNNNNNNNNNNNNNNNNNNNNNNNNNNNNNNNNNNNNNNNNNNNNNNNNNNNNNNNNNNNNNNNNNNNNNNNNNNNNNNNNNNNNNNNNNNNNNNNNNNNNNNNNNNNNNNNNNNNNNNNNNNNNNNNNNNNNNNNNNNNNNNNNNNNNNNNNNNNNNNNNNNNNNNNNNNNNNNNNNNNNNNNNNNNNNNNNNNNNNNNNNNNNNNNNNNNNNNNNNNNNNNNNNNNNNNNNNNNNNNNNNNNNNNNNNNNNNNNNNNNNNNNNNNNNNNNNNNNNNNNNNNNNNNNNNNNNNNNNNNNNNNNNNNNNNNNNNNNNNNNNNNNNNNNNNNNNNNNNNNNNNNNNNNNNNNNNNNNNNUAUACAGUAGCCAUCAUAUUAACUUCCAUUUUUCCAAAUUUUGCAAUCCAAUUCAGCGGCAAUAGCCACAAGUCUCGCUUUGCCUUUUCCUCUCAAAACCGUAACCCCACCCCUCUUGUUUGCUCGACGCCUUGCCCCCAACGCCUCACCUCUUGCUCCGAUGCUCGGCUCUCUUCCUCCGAGUGCCUUGUUGCAACGUCCCACCUCACACCUCGCUCCCUUGGACGCUCAGCUCUCUUCCUCCUCCAAGCGCCUUGCCCUAACACCUCGCUUCACGCCUCGCUCUCUUUUUUGUUAAAUGAAAUGAAAACAAGUGAUAGUUUAUUGGAACCGGAUUGGACCGGUUGGUCCAGUCCGGUUCUUAGUUCCAAAAUUAGCAGAUCUGGUCCACGGUCUAGAAGAGUAGGAACCGGUCCUCCUGGUUUGGUUCCCGGUUCUUGGGUGGAAUCGGACCAAACCGGGAACCGAUCACCUUGACUCCAGAUGAGUCGGAUAGUCUAUUACAAUAUGAUAGAACAAAAUAAAAACAUUUGAUUAUUUGAUUAUUACUCAUUGCAUGACAUCUAACAUCCUUAAAAGCAUACACAAUAUAGCAUGUGAAAUUCCAUCGACUUUUCCAAAUCAUGGUCAUCACAUAUGUUGCAAAUUUUUCUUACUACAUUCGCCUUUAUUCAAACCAAUCAGUAUGAGCGGUUGGACUGGUUAAACCUGGUGGGAUUUAGUAGUUCUUCCUACAAUCUCUCUCUCUCUCUCUCUCUCUCUCUCUCUCUCUCUCUCUCAUAUUUCUAAUUCUCACUUUCUGUAUCUUUUAUGUCCGGUCUCUCUCUUGCAGAACAAUUCAAGGCUAACAUCUACAGUCCUCACUCGCUUUCUUUGUUCAUUUCCCUCUUCAAAGUUCUCGGCGAGGCUUGUUUAGGGUAUUCUCUCCCCGAUCUUCCACCUCUUUUCGUAUCUCAGCUCGUAGAAGGUAACCGUUUUUUCAUCUCUUAUUAGCGUGUCAUUUCUGUUGAUUUGUUGCGGCUGAACCAGUGUGUUUUGGGCUCUUUUUGUCUAACGUGGGGGGCUGCUGAUGUGGUGUGUCACCACCUCAUAAUCGACUUCCGUAGAAAAGAGAAGCCUUUGCUUUCGGCUUUAGAUGUGACUAGUCAUGUGGCCUCUCUAUCUCAUUGUUCGUUUGCAUCGUAAUUCAGUGUCGGUCCUUUGUUAAGCUAGAAUGAGUUGGAAUGCGAGCGCGCUAGAUUCUAUUGCGCUCAAAAUUGCCUGUAUUCGCCUCAAGCCAAGGACCGUAUGGAUCGUGAGGUUUCUUUGUCUCUGAAGGUCUAAGAUCAAUUAAAUAAAAAAUGAAAUAGAAAAGAAAAAGUAGUAGGCCGGUUCGCGGCAAGUUCCAAGAUCAAGGGGGUUCGAUUUUCAAUUCCGAAAAUUGAGAACAUGCUCUAAUAGGUGGGUUUUAGGGUUUUGGUCCAUAAUCUACACACUCUGUAGCCAAUCACCCAUAAAAGCUAGUACUCUCUUAAUCAGAUUUUAUUCACAAUUUUGCCUUAGACAAUUAUAGGACAUUCUAGACAAAUAAUAUGUUGUCUUCCUCGAAUUAUUGGAUUGUAUAAUCCUAAAAAGUACAUUGCCUUUCACCUCUAACUCAUUUUCUUCCUUCAAAGUUUUGAAAAUUGAUGAAGUUAGUUACCCCAAAAGAGGGUAAAAAGAGGUUGAAUUGAGUAAUGAAAAAGUAUAGUUAACACACGUAAGCGACAAUAGCUAUUAUGCGAAGGUCAGAGCAUUUUUAACUCUAUUGCCACUUUCUCAAAUGAAAAAUCUCCAUUGCUACUUUUUACCUGCUCUCAAAUCAGUGAUAGCCUCAGUCAUCAUCACAAUACAAGACAUGCCAAAAUCCAUGGUAUGAUGCUUCUUAAGAUCUUUUAUGUUAGAACUAAUUGAUCUUUGACAUAUACACAUGAAAACAUUUUUAAAAAAUUGAACUAUACAUGUUUAUUAGGACACUCACUUAGCUUUAUGUCUCUCAUAUCUUCCACCUUUUUGCCACAAACUAUAAGUUCAUUCCUUAAAAUGUAAUUAAUCAAUUUAAUCUGACUUAUCACGAAUUUAGCCUAUAAUCCUAUUCUACGUCCAUUUAAUUGGAUUAACAAAACUUUGCAAUGAUAUUCUCAAGGUGGGCCCUCGAGGAAAAAGGGGGCACGCACUGAAGGCCAUUCUUUUCAAACCUUGGUCCUCUCUGAAUUUUCCUCAGCAGUUACCCUUUAUCUCCUUCGAUCAAAUCACGACCUAAUUUCAAGUUUUUCAGACUAGGGCAAAGUCAGAGCAAGGCAAACAAAGGGACGCACCAUUCGCUUCAGGUCGUUCCUUUGCCAUGCCCGUUGCACUGAUUCUUUUCCCUAUGCUUGUAUUCUAUCGUCUCGAGAAGAAGAAUAUGAGUGCAGAAAAAGAGAGCACUGAAGGAGCAUUUGCUGCUUCUUUGGUGUCAUCUAACAAAUGAUAGUUCUAUUCUACAGAUAAAAUGUCGAUCAAUUAUUUAAAUUUCUUAAAGUUUGAAGAGAAUACCUCAGUGAUGUCUUAUCAGGUUAAAGUGGAUUUGUUUUGCAUUAAAUUGCUAAUACUUAAGGGCAGCGAGGAACAAAUAAAAGAGAAAUAGCAAAGACCUUUUGUUCAUCUCUAUCUCAUUUCCAAAUCCAUUUAGAAUAUGACAAUUUGAAAUUAAAAUGUAAGAUCACAUUUCUAAUCACUAACCAGGCCUUUUAUUCACAUCUUCCACACAUUUCCAAUUUCGUUUGAACUCACUUAUCAGCUUUUAAAUGAUUUAUCAAAUUCUGUUCUUUUAAUAAUCAAACAAAAACAGAACCUUUGCUUAUUUAUUUUAAUGAAUGCAACUUGCUUGUACACAGAUUCUAGGUUUUUAUAGCCCAAUUAAGAAUUUAAUAUCGUGGGCGGACCAAGCCAACAUCUUUUGACUUGACUAGAGGGUGAGAUACAAAAGAAGAUAAGGCAAGGACUAAAAGCACCUGCAACUGCUUCUGUUCAAUCAAUUACAAAUUUAAUUAAGGAUUUCGUGUUAAUCUGUUCUUGCUUGGUAAAAAUAUUUUGGUGGGGUCAAGACUUAUGGAUGAAUAUGUAUAUUUUUUUUUUGAAAUAAUUGUGUUUAAGCAUAAUUUCCGAGAGUUGGCUAGGGCAGGGCACCCUCAGCCCCUCAUUAAAUCCACCCAUAUUGUCAGACAUUUUGGAUGUGGCAGGAGAAGAACUAAACAAGGAGAAAACUCAGGAGGGAAUGGGGAAUAUGUACUGCUGAGAGAGUUGAUAACUUAAUCAGUGGAGGUUAGGGAAAUGAAGAAAAUAAGAAAAAUAGAAAAAAACCAUUAGUAAUGAGGGCUAGGAUACAGACAUGGAUUACCCAUUUAGCAAGAAUGGUUCCGAAGGUCUGCCAUUGCUAGGGGAGCUAACUCUCCGUUUUUUUUUUCUUUUUCUUUUUUCUUUUGGGGUCAAAAGCUUACUCUCAUUGAGAUUGCGUGAACGAUAAUGCUUAGAGAGAAAGAGUCUGUCUAUUUUGGCUCUUCACUUUUUCUAAUUUUUAAANNNNNNNNNNNNNNNNNNNNNNNNNNNNNNNNNNNNNNNNNNNNNNNNNNNNNNNNNNNNNNNNNNNNNNNNNNNNNNNNNNNNNNNNNNNNNNNNNNNNNNNNNNNNNNNNNNNNNNNNNNNNNNNNNNNNNNNNNNNNNNNNNNNNNNNNNNNNNNNNNNNNNNNNNNNNNNNNNNNNNNNNNNNNNNNNNNNNNNNNNNNNNNNNNNNNNNNNNNNNNNNNNNNNNNNNNNNNNNNNNNNNNNNNNNNNNNNNNNNNNNNNNNNNNNNNNNNNNNNNNNNNNNNNNNNNNNNNNNNNNNNNNNNNNNNNNNNNNNNNNNNNNNNNNNNNNNNNNNNNNNNNNNNNNNNNNNNNNNNNNNNNNNNNNNNNNNNNNNNNNNNNNNNNNNNNNNNNNNNNNNNNNNNNNNNNNNNNNNNNNNNNNNNNNNNNNNNNNNNNNNNNNNNNNNNNNNNNNNNNNNNNNNNNNNNNNNNNNNNNNNNNNNNNNNNNNNNNNNNNNNNNNNNNNNNNNNNNNNNNNNNNNNNNNNNNNNNNNNNNNNNNNNNNNNNNNNNNNNNNNNNNNNNNNNNNNNNNNNNNNNNNNNNNNNNNNNNNNNNNNNNNNNNNNNNNNNNNNNNNNNNNNNNNNNNNNNNNNNNNNNNNNNNNNNNNNNNNNNNNNNNNNNNNNNNNNNNNNNNNNNNNNNNNNNNNNNNNNNNNNNNNNNNNNNNNNNNNNNNNNNNNNNNNNNNNNNNNNNNNNNNNNNNNNNNNNNNNNNNNNNNNNNNNNNNNNNNNNNNNNNNNNNNNNNNNNNNNNNNNNNNNNNNNNNNNNNNNNNNNNNNNNNNNNNNNNNNNNNNNNNNNNNNNNNNNNNNNNNNNNNNNNNNNNNNNNNNNNNNNNNNNNNNNNNNNNNNNNNNNNNNNNNNNNNNNNNNNNNNNNNNNNNNNNNNNNNNNNNNNNNNNNNNNNNNNNNNNNNNNNNNNNNNNNNNUUUUUAUUGAUUACAAAGAUUUGAUAUUAGAUUUUAUGAAUAUUAGUAAUUAGCACUUUGAUGAAGGCAGAGAUCAACUAUAUGCAUGUGCUUUCAAAUAGAUGCUUACAUUAAACCACUGAUCAGAGGCUUGAUUGAAGCAAAUAUGGAAAAUUUCUUAGAGGACCUGAGUGCAUCUGGCUUAAUAAAUUCGAACCUUUAUUAUUAUUGAGUUUCAUGUGAAAACCACAUAAUAUAAGUGUUGAGAUUCAUUAGGGGCAUAUGCAUUUGAGAAUGCCUAAUGAAAUAUAGGCAUCAACAUGUUAGCUUUAGUUAAUUUUACAUGUGAGCAUCAUGUUUAAUUUGUAACCAAUCAAUAAGAGACACGAUUAAUGAAAAUCACCUUGAUUAGGAAGGUCCAUGCAUCUAGAGGAUCAAGUCCAUGGGAAAGAGAAGAUGUGCAUUACACUGCUCCAAAAAAACAACUUGUAAUAUUUGAUUAAUCAAUAGACACCCGCCUAAGAAAACCCAUUCAUUAAACAUUGUGUACUGGGAAUCGUUCAUAAAUCAUGUGCUUUCCAUCUAGCCUUUUCACUUGCUUAUCUACAUCUUUUGGUGGAGCAGGAAGGCGUCUUCUCUUCAUUAAACAUUUUAGCAUUAGUAAUCGUUCAUAAUGCAUGCACCCUCCACCAAAGAUUAGGAGCCUUGACUAUAGGGCACGCAUGCAGACAUGAAAAUUAGCCAUUUUUUUCUUGUCCAUGAGUGGAGGCAACAUCAAUGAUGUUGCCUCGACGAGAGGGUGCGGUCCAUUGGAAAGAAAAGAUGUGAACUGCACUCCUAAGUCAAUAACUUUUUACUAUUCAAUUAGACAACAGACGGACUUGAUCAUUAAACAUUUUGGAUUCCAAAUCGUUCAGAAAUCAUAUGCCUUCCUACCAAAAAGCACGUGCUCUGCCUUUUCAUUUGCUUAUCUACUUCUUCUUUUGCAGCAGGAAGGCAUUCUCUCUUCAUUUUUGCCUAUAAGAUUUCCAUGGGGAAAGGGCAAAAUCUAAGCAAAAUGAAAAGAAAAAGAAAAAGAGCGCAAGAAAAAGGAGCACUGAGGGAGAAAAAGAGAAGAAUUGCUGAGAAAGAGAUCACUGAGGGAGCAUCUGCUUCUUCGUCCUUCCCUUCAAUACCCAUGGAAGGAGAUAGCGAUCAAUACGAUGUGUUCUUGAGUUUUAGAGGCUCUGACACUCGCAACGAAUUCACUGAUCACCUCUACCGCAGUCUGAUCAGUGUAGGGACUGUACCAAUUUCUGUGUUCAGGGAUGAUAAUAGCCUUGAAAUUGGCAAGGAUUUUAAUUCGGAGAUUCUC